CAGUGACAAUGGUCUUCCUGGGCCCAUCUCCGUACAUGUACACAUUAACAUGAUCUUUGGUGACGGUAAUGUACUCGCGGUAGAUUCCGGCCUUCACGUAGAUAACAUAUCUUCCUUUGAGGUUCUUGGGGUAGGCGGCGAGAGCUGCAGCAAUAGUCGUGAAAUGUCCGCUGCCAUCCUUGGCCACAAUAGCGUUAGGCGUAAGCCUGCCGUUGUCUUGUAAAGCCAAAAGCUUUCUGUCCGUGGCUGAGAACCAGGUGGGAUACCCAUCAUGGCCAAGUACUUCAAUUUCUCCGAGAAGCCUUCGGGAGUUGGGCUUGAGAUCCAGUGGGACAUUGAAUUUGGUGAGAAUUUGAGAAAGGUCGGACACAAUAGCUAGGGCGUUGCUGGUAAGUUGCGUGGCAUUGAGCAGACCUUUCUGCAUAGCGGCCUGAAACCGUGGUUCGAUGACUCCAUCAAGGCAUGUCUGUUGGUACGAAACAGCAGCACUCAACCAGUUCAUAAUCUCCGUUGAUAGUUGAUCCAAGGUCUGGAGAUCACUCUCACCCACAGACGAGAAUGAUUCCUGAAGCUCGUCAAUGGCAAACUGCAACAAGUCCUUACAGUCACCGAGGGCCAUUUGCGUCCUGGAGUCAUUAGUGGCUUGGAAGAGUUUCUCCGAAAGAUUCAUCGAGCUCUUAAUCUGUUUAAUGGUCACUUGCACAGCCGCCUGGAUGUAAUCCUUGGGCGUAGCACUGCUUCCAUUUUUGGGAACCGGACUGAGAGUUUGCAUACAAGCGUCCUUAUAAUCAGCAGUGGCACAAACGGAGGCAACAGCCUUCAUUGACGACGACAUGUUGGUGUCACCGUCAGUACGAUCGCUUCCAUGGGGGCGCGUUACACUGACAAUGCCGAUGAUCACACCCACCACAAGGAACAGAGAUAUCCCUGAAACUACUGCUUUUCCUAUCAUUUUGGUUCCCUUAUUUAUUCCCCUCUCCGCCAACUGGGGCUUUGCAACCGUACAGCCUCCUCCCCGACCAGGAGACGGAGAGAAAGAUUAAGGGGAAAGAGAGAAUUACCUCCCUUUUCGGGCACUUCUGGUGCGAGGCGACGAGGGCUGCAAGAUGCAUUAUAUUCAGCAUGGAGUUUCCAGGAUUAAAUAACCUAACAUUAUUUAAUUAUUAAUUUAUGUAACGUAUAAAUUAAGUUCUAUUUGAAUCUAACUUGAUAUUUUUAUUAUUUAAUUAAUCUAUUUACUCAAAAUUAAAAUUUAAUAUGAAUUAAAUCAAAAUCAAAUUAACAAGUAUAAUAUUAAGUAGUUCUAUUUAAAUCUUAUUUAUAUGUAAUGUUGUUUAUUAAAAAAACUGCACAUCUAGAUGGAAUUUGAUCCAAACAUACCAUUCUAUUUCAUCAAAACCCUUGAAAGAAAAGGUGUUAGUGUUCACGAAUUAUAUCAAAUUUUGUCAUCCCUGUUAUAUUUUUGGUCCAUUUUCAUUUUCAAUCAAUAGAAUACAUAAUUAUAAUUAUUAUUAAUUUUGAAAUGGAUAAUGAAAUUUGCACCACAUUUUCACAGGUUUUUUUUUUUUUUUCUUUUAAGAUCAAGGGGAACCAAAAUCAUAUUACAUUGCAGAGCAAAGAGGGACAAGAGGGAGGCCUACAGACCAAAAGUCAAGGAUUAAAGAAGAAACCAGUGGGUACUUCACAAUUGAAGGACAGUCUUCCCUCAAAAUGAGGCACCACUUGCUUAAUUCCCUCAAUAAGAUAGAACUCAGCUACACGCAUGAUGAUCCAGUCUGCAUGGCGCUCUCUCUUGAAUGUAUAUCCCCUCUCCUCGAGGCCAACAUGUCGAGCUUUAACGUUUGAGGCUUGGCAGAUAAGGGAUAUUAAUUUGUUUCAGCCAGAGGUUUCCCUGAAUGAAUGAGUUGACCGUGUACUGAAGAGCCUCGUUCCUGGUCUUGAUGAUCCUGUAACCCUUCCAUGUCACCCUGCUGCGGGUGUUUGCACCAGGGCCGCGGUUCCCAUACUCAGCGUAGAAGAGUGUGUUCAGGGCAAAGUCCCCAGCCCACGGCAUCCACCCGGCUGGUUGGAUGAAAUCUCCCAAGGUCGUCUCCAUUAUAAUCGUCUUUGAGUACGGCUUCCAUGGACGACCCAAGAAUGAAGGGAUCUUGAACCUGUCAGGGAACAGUUUUUGCUCUGGGACGAUUCUGCAAUUGUGGAUCACCAAUCCAGUGGUUUCACGCUUUUCAGCUUUUCCGUGUGCAGUCACUGUGUUUUGUUGGUUGUCCUUUGGCCUUCUUACUAUGAUCAAGGAGUUCUGGAUCACAGUCGUCGAGUCACCGAAGAUGAAGUCUAUGGUGCCCGAGAUGACACAAUUGCGGUAGAACUGGCGAUGGGCCUGGAUGUACAAGGUGUCUUGGUACCCGUCCAUUCUGCAGUUGAAGAUUGCUGACAUAUCUGAUUGGACGCGGAGAGCAACAGCCUGGUGCCCGUCAGGACCUGCGGUGUUGACGAAUCCCAUCGACCUCGCAACAAACCCCUUUCCAAUGGCCGCUGCAACCCAUAUUUACACACAUUAAAGCAUGGACAGUCAUUAGUCUUAACGCAAAAGAAAAGCAAUUAGGAGACUCACAGAAUGUGGCAGUCUUGUAAGUGGUGAUUCCGUCGCGGUAGCUUUUGGUUCCAGUGACAAUGGUCUUCCUGGGCCCAUCUCCGUACAUGUACACAUUAACCUGAUCUUUGGUGACGGUAAUGUACUCGCGGUAGAUUCCGGCCUUCACGUAGAUAACAUAUCUUCCUUUGAGGUUCUUGGGGUAGGCGGCGAGAGCUGCAGCAAUAGUCGUGAAAUGUCCGCUGCCAUCUUUGGCCACAAUAGCGUUAGGAGUUAGCCUGCCGUUGUCAUGUAAAGCCAAAAGCUUUCUGUCCGUGGCUGAGAACCAGGUGGGAUACCCAUCAUGGCCAAGUACGUCAAUUUCUCCGAGAAGCCUUCUGGAGUUGGGCUUGAGAUCCAGUGAGACAUUGAAUUUGGUGAGAAUUUGAGAAAUGUCGGACACAAUAGCUAGGGCGUUGCUGGUAAGUUGCGUGGCAUUGAGGAGACCUUUCUGCAUAGCGGUCUGAAACCGUGGUUCGAUGACUCCAUCAAGGCAUGUCUGUUGGUACGAAACAACAGCACUCAACCAAUUCAUAAUCUCCGUUGAUAGUUGAUCCAAGGUCUGGAGAUCACUCUCACCCACAGACGAGAAUGAUUCCUGAAGCUCGUCAAUGGCAAACUGCAACAAGUCCUUACAGUCACCGAGGGCCAUUUGCGUCCUGGAGUCAUUAGUGGCUUGGACGAGUUUCUCCGAAAGAUUCAUCGAGCUCUUAAUCUCUUUCAUGGUCACUUGCACAGCCGCCUGGAUGUAAUCCUUGGGCGUAGCACUGCCAUUUUUGGCAACCGGACUGAGAGUUUGCAUACAAGCGUCCUUAUAAUCAGCAGUGGCACAAACGGAGGCCACAGCCUUCAUUGACGACGACAUGUUGGUGUUACCGUCAUUACGAUCGCUUCCAUGGGGGCGCGUUACACUGACAAUGCCGAUGAUCACACCCACCACAAGGAUCAGAGAUAUCCCUGAAACUACUGCUUUUCCUAUCAUUUUGGUUCCCUUAUUUAUUCCCCUCUCCGCCAACUGGGGCUUUGCAACCAUACAGCCUCCUCCCCGACCAGGAGACGGAGAGAAAGAUUAAGGGGAAAGAGAGAAUUUCCUCCCUUUUCCGCCACUUCUGGUGCUAGGAGACGAGGGCUGCAAGAUGCUUUAUAUUCAGCAUGGAGUUUCCAGAAUUAGGGUGUUUGCAUGAAAUGGACGUUAAGCUUCUGUGGUUGCGCGGCCUUCGAGUAGAGACAAUGAGAGGUAGACACAAAGACUAAACCGUCAAAGCAAAAAUAUCCAACAUUCAUCUCUUAAUUACAAAACUACCCUUUUCCAUUUUCUACCUCAGUGGAGUCGCUCCUCAGAAUUUCUGGUUCUCACCCGAAGAUAUUUCUAAUUAAAAAUAAUUCUAAUAAUUAAAAGCUGAACUUGCGGGAACGAGUUCAGGACAUCUCAGCGAUGCGGGGUGAUGAGGCGAGGUUGUUGCUAGGGUUUCCUCCUACUUCUCGCGUAACUUUAUCUCAGGUACUCACCAUCCAAUCACUCUCCCUAUAAUGAUCGAUUAUUCAAUCGCUGUAUUAGAUUGAUUCCCUUGGUCAUCAACUCGUUGGUUUCUUCUUCACUUUCUUUGAAUGAUUGGUGUAUGGCGUGUGUUUAGUUGCCGAGACCUGGAUUUGAUUUGGAAUUAUGAUUUCAUGGAAUUUAAAAGUUUUUGUUUUCUCACGGAGGAUUUCUUUGUUUGUGCGGUGCUGGGAUCUGUGAAUUUAAAUUUUCAGUUCCAAAUCCAUUCGUAUGCGAAGCAACCAAACUCUGCAGCCACAAUUGGGUUUUAAAUUCCAUUUCCACCAACCAAACACCUCAUUAGUGCCUUGACUUAUAGUUUCAUUUCCGCAUAUGCAAGGAGACAGGCCUGAGUUUAACAGAAUCUCUGGUCUCAUGGUUAUCAUCUUGACUUAUAGUUUUUGUAUGUAAUAUAAGUCCUAUGGUGAUGAUUGAGUGUAGAUUAAAGCAGCUUACAAAAGCAAGGCAUGGGAGUACCAUCCUGAUCGCGUUCCAGUUCAGGAAAAACCUGGUGCAGAGUCUAAGUUCAAAUUGGUAAGCAUCUAAGAUCCUAAGCAGCUCAAGAUUUCUAUAAUUCUUUAGAAUAAGCCUCCAUGGGCUGCUCAUUUGGCAGACACUCCUACUCAAGAAUGUAUGGUUCUUGGGGAGGGGGUGUUUAUUCUUUGGUUUUCCCUGGAUCUAGCUAAAGCAGGUCCAGUGGAUUUCUGUGUUGUAAAAGAAAAAAGUUUCUAUAAUUUUUGGUCAUUCAUCAAAAAACUUUAUAUAUAAUUUAAAAGAGUUGCAUAUGUGCAGAAAAAUUUCCUUUUUGUGACAUCUUAUUAGUUUUAAAAGCAAACCGAUUUAUAGAAAGUUGUAUUUUUAAUGCCCGUAAUUGGCUUUAAUCAGCAAGUGACAUGAUACUCAGUACUGAUUCAUUGAGUACUUGAUUAAAUUGUGCUUCUGAUCACACUUACUUUUUAGUAUAUUUAUCUAUUUCUAAUUGACUGGUUACCAAGUAAAAGGUGUAUAGAUUCACUAGAUUGAUGGUAAAGUUUAAUCUUCUAGAAUGAAGGAAAAGCACAUCCCUGAUUGGUAAUCAGUUUGUGCCUGCAAAAGAAGACUUCUUGUUCAACAUCUAUACUGCAGUUUUUCUAUUUGAGGAUGAGUGAAAUUUUUUUGACUUAGGCAGAACCCUUUUUCUUGGCCUACAUCACCUUUACCAUCUAUUAACGGUAUGCAAUGCUGAACCUCAUAUGGUUGUCUCUGGCCUCUGUUUGACAGUAAAGAAUCUAAAUGACUUGGCGACACAAAUCGUUAUUACAACAUAGAGAUCACUGUUGUCCCCCUUGAUUUGGUUUGAAAGAUAUCUGAAAGGAUAGUUUCUACCAUAUAAUCAGUGUCUCUGCUGUUUUAGUUUGAAAGAUAUCUGAAUGUAUAGUUUCUAACAUAUUAUCAUAUUAAAUCUUGCAACAUCUGAAUUAUGUACUUUUUCCACAUAAUAUUUAAUACCAUUGGCAAUCAUUGGUCCAAUCUGACCUUAAUCAGUGCAUUUGCUGCAGAUUUCAGAAGCCUACAAUUUUCUGCUGGAUGGUAAUUCUUGUCUUCAUAUUGUUUAUGAAAGAUCAAAUGCAUAUUCUAAAGAAUCAUGGUUUGCAAACUUCCAAAUGGACUGGAAAAAUAACAGAAUGAAUUUGUCAGUCUGAAGUCAUAUGCUUGUGACAUUGCAUUUAAUUGGUUUACCCAGGGGUAAACAUGUAAAAUUUUGGUAGAUGCGAACUGUCUUUACCAAGCCAGUUUAAGCUGUUUCUCUUCCAGGUGGAUAUGAUCUCAAUUUUGUGAACUGUUGUUAUGUUAGUUGAUUUGAUUUAUUUUUAUUUUCUGGAAUUUUUAAUGUUUUUCUGAAAACUUAUUUUUCUAUAUAUAUAUAUAUAUAUAUUUUCCUUUUAAAAUUUGGAUUCACCAUUUAUUGUAGUUCUAGUAAAUAGUUCAGGUUUCCUCAAUGUAUCUAUUCAAGGUUUUUGAAGAGGAAAUAUAUGCCAGCUUCAUUCUUAAUGGGGAACGCAGCAGGAGGUUUACAAUUGUAAAAGGAUUUCCAGCAUGUCAAACAGACACACAAAUUGUACAACUGUAAUUCUUCUUUUCCUUCCUGUCUGGUGGACUGUUUUUACUUUUUAUAUUUGAGAAUUAUUGGGAAAUUUUCUUUUGAUUUGUUGGGUGCAGAGUUGCAUGCCUAGUUUUUCAUUUGUUUGAGUUGGAGAUUUUUUUCCUUUUUUUUUUUUUUAUAAAAUUUGUUUGAGUUGGAGGUUCAAAUUCAGAAUAUUAAAAAACCUUAUUUUGUUCCCCAUUUUGAAAUUCCAUUGAAUUGUGGCAUGGUUUUAUGAAAAUUCUUGGUAUUUCUCAAGAGUUUGGAAGAAUUCCUGACACUUUUAUUGACUUUGUGCAAUUUGGAAAGUUAGAAUUUGUGGGAUUACCGGUGAUCUAUAACUGAAUAUUUGUUAUCAUGACAUCAUAACCUUCGUUCUUAUAGGUCUCAGAUAAUGGCUGUAUAUGUUUAGUCCCUCAUUUAUUAAACUUAUAUGCAAUAGAAGGCUGCAUGUUUGAUGGAUUAUUGAGUUAAAAGCUUAAGUUUUUGAUGGAAGUGUUAGUUAAAUAUGGUAUUAGAGUUCUAGCUCCUAGGGAUCUUUGAUUCAUAUCUUUCUGUUUGUUCCCUUGUUUUGUUUGUUUAUGAUUGGUUAUCAAUCUAUCUACAUAUAUAUAUAUAUAUAUAUAUAUAUAUUGGAACUGAUGUGAAGAGGGUGUGAAAUUGAUAUGCAUUGUUGGUCUGUUCCCUAAAAGCCAAAAGUUUUUAGGGCGAGUAGUAGUUUAGUAUGGUACCAAAACUCUAGUUCCUAGAAGUCAGGUUGGGCCUAACAAUGCAUAUCAAGCUGAUAGCUCUUUUGACAUGCAGCCUCAAAUCACACAUGAAGAGACUAAAUAACCAAUCACAGACACAGUGAACUCAAGACCUCUAGAAAGUGUUUGUCAAACUAUUUGAUUUUUUGUGUGUUGUUUUUUUUUUUACAUCUGCUUAUUCCUUUCUAUCUUAUAUUUGGAGUUUUAGUUAUGAUGUGGAGGAAAGCAUGUAAAAGAAAUAAUGUGGAGGACUAUGUCAAGAGUUGCACUUUGUGUUUUUAAUUAUCUGCACCUGAAAUACCCUCAUACAUAAUUGGGAGACUGGAGGGACAAAAUGUUUUUGUUUAACAUUUUUUUGUUGAAAUUUUAGGUCUUGUUUGUUUAGUCUGUUUUUUGUUUUCAUUUUCAAAGAAAACAUAAAUUAGGUUGAAAAAUGUGUUGGGAUGGUAUUUUUCCUUUUUUAUUUUCUAAAAAACUGUAUUCAAAAAAUGGAAAAAGUGAGCAAUCUGAAUAUGAACAGGCAUCUUCAAAUUUCCACUAAUUGAUUAUAAUGGCAAGGGAGAAGCACCUGUUGGUUUUAAACAUAAAGGAAAGGCAAUAAUGGGUGAUAAGAACCUAGUUACAAGAUUUGCCCCUCUUCGAUCAUUAGGUUAUGUAGAUCCUGGAUGGUAACAUUGUGUUGCUCAAGAUGAAAGGAAGAAAAGGGUAAAAUGCAAUUGUUGUGAAAAAAUAAUGAGUUGAAGCAUAAACUGGUUUAAACAACAUCUGGCUAGGAUCCCUGGAGAAGUUGCAGAUUUUAUGAAAGUACCUCAAGAAGUGUAUCUUAAAAUCAAGGAGAACAUGAAAUGGCAUCAUAUUGGCAGAAGACGUUGGAAAUCUGAGACUAUGGAGAUAGCUGCCUUCUAUAUGCACUCCGAUAACAAGGAUGGAGAAGAACAGCACAGGGAGGAUCUAUUGUGAUGCAUAAGCAAGGACAAGCUGACAGUUGGUGAUAAAAGUUCUGAUAAUGACAUUAGAAAUAAGAUUAAGGGGAGGUCCCCUGGUAGCAGUAGCAGUGGUGCUGAAACCCAAUUGAUUAGAUCAAGAUUGGAUUCUUUUGUUCUGAAUAUGCUAAAAGGUCAAACAUCACCAGAUUACAAGCAAGUAAAUUCAAAUAUUGGUUUUGAUAAGGUUUCUCAUAAGGAAGUGAUAUCUGCUAUAUCUGCAAAUUCUUUUAUCAUGCAGGAAUCUCUCGAAAUGCAGCAAAUUCCAUGUACUUCCAUAAGAUGCUAGAAUUAGUUGGCCAAUAUGGGUGAAGUUUAAUAGGCCCUUCACGGUGAUUGAUAUCGGGUAGAUUUCUUCAGGAUUAGAUUUUAACCAUUGCAGACAAUUUGGUGGAGCUUAAGGCAUCUUGGGCUAUUACAGGUUGUUCCAUCAUGGCUGAUUGUUGGAAAGAUGUGCAGAGUGGGACAUUAAUCAACUUUGUGGUUUCUUGCCCUCGUGGUGUGUAUUUUGUUUCUUCAGUUGAUGCCACUGAUAUGAUAGAAGAUGCUCUAAACCUUUUUAAGUUAUUGGACAAUGUGGUGGUAGAAAUUGUUGAGGAGAAUGUUCUUCAGGUAAUUAACUGGACCCCAUGUGCUGUCCAUUGUAUUGCUUGAAUGCUUGUGGGCAUGUUUGUAUAAAUGGGUGAGGGAAUCCUUGGAUAAAGCCAAAAAAAUUACUAAAGUUCAUAUGAAGAGAGAAUACAUAGAGGAACGAGAACUUAUUAAGCCGGCUGUGACUAAGUUUGCCACUAGGUUUUUCACAGUUCAAGGCUUGUUGGACCACAAGAUUGGUCUUAAGAGAAUGUUCCAAUCAAACAAAUGGCUUUGUUCUUGAUUUCCCAAAUCAGAUGACUGUAAAGAAGUGGAAAAAAUUGUCUUAAAUAUCACAUUUUGGAAGCAGUAUUUGAAGAAAUCUUUGGAACCACUUAUCCAAUUUCUUCAAAAAAAGGACAGUGAUGAAAGUCAGUCAAUACCAUCUCUAUAUAGUGAUAUGUAUAGAGCAAAGCUUGCUAUCAAAUCUGUUCAUGGUGAUGAUGCAUGAAAAUAUGGACCUUUCUGGAGUAUGAUAGACAACCAUUGGAACUCGCUGUUCUACGAUCCCCUUUACAUAGCAGCUACAUUCUUAAUCCAUCACAAUCUUAUUGUCCUGAUUUCCUAAUGGUAUGAGAAAUAGUGUCUCCAUCACAUCAUAAGCUUAUUCUCCAGCCUCCUAAUCAUAAUUGUGCAAUUUUCUAUGUUAUUGUAGCAUCCUGAGGUGGUUCAUGCCGUAAAUGAAUGUAUUGUUCAGAAUGCAUUGUUUGGCUAGAACCAGGCACUGGGAAAAGGAUUUCUUCAUCCAUGCAAGUAAUGGUUCAUUCAUUUUAUUCUAUGGCUAUCCCAUGCUUGUUGGGAAUGACUAAUUCCAGAGCAAUUUGGUUACCUCCUUAUUAUUUCAAAGUCAAAAUGCCCCUUGCUCUGCAUUUAACUGUUGUGGAACAGAUCAGGAACAACCCUUGAUGAUAAUCCUUCCACCUGAACUGUUAAUGUUUUUCUUUUUUUGGUGUCAUUUUUUGAUUAAUAUUUCAAUAUCAUCCUAUCAGAUAGCUUUUGAUUAUGCAAAAGCUGAUUUUGGAACUGAUUUGGCUAUAAGUACAAGACCAGAACUAAUUUUGGAAACUCAUGAUACUGUGUUACUUAUUUAUUAAAGAAAUGAAUUCAAUCAUGUGACUUGUUAUGUUAUAAUGACAGGAAUUUGUAUGUUUUUGUAUUGUGUUCUUAGUAGCUGCAUGGUGGCAUUAACAUGGGAUAAGUUGCAUAGAGCUUCAGAGAAUUGCCAUUCAUAUACUGAGUCAGACAUGCUCAUUUGGGUGUGAGGAUAAUUGGAGUAUAUAUGAUCAAGUUCACAGAAAAUUGUGUAGCCAUGUGUCUAGAAAAAAAUGGAAAGACCUUGUCUAUGUUCACUACAACUUGUGAUUUAGAGAUUGCCAAUUGGGAAGAAAAUUUGAUACCUUGAACUCUGCUGACAGUGUCAUGCUGGAAAGUCUAUCAGCUGACUGGAUUGUGGAGACAGAGAAACAAGCUAUGCAAGAAGAUGUGGUAUUUCUAAUCUUACAUUACGUACAUCUUUCUCACAUGAGAUUUUGAGUGAAAUUCCUGAAAUCCUAUUUCCUGUUGUAGGAGAUCCUUUAUAACGAGAUAGAACAAUUCUAUGGAGAUGAAAAUGAUCAGUAUGAGAAUGAAUCAAAAUGCAGAGACAAGAGAGAGACCUGAAGAGUUGGUCACAUUGGCUGGUGUAGUUGAACCUUCAAGGUUAAUCCUUUUGAUGAUGAUCUUGAUUUUCUUGAUGAUGAUUUGACUGAUUAAUUAUUUAUAUCACAUGAACCAUCAAGCUAGAGUAAGCACUAAAAUCCCUCACAUCCUUGAUGAUUCCUGGAAAAAAGAAGUGGUUUGAUGCUACUGGAGACCACUUCUUGUCUUGUAAUUGUUGCAUGGUGCUUCUAUUUCAAGGUGUUCAUUUGUUGGCUAUUUGACAUGAGUUGUUUGUUCUCUUUUCUUCUGUUGACAUUUAUUUAUUUAUUUAUUAUUUAUUUUAAAUAAUAAUAAUUAUUAUUAUUAUUUAUUUAUUAUUUAGUAGGUAAGUAAUUUUGUUAUAAGUUGUUAACUACCAAUUUUUUGUUCUAUUUACUAUAUAAUAUCUACAUCACUGAAUAAGUUCAAAGCAUUCAGCAUAUUUUAAAAUUUUUUUUUUUAUCACUUGAUCUAGUUGUUGCUGUUUGGUUUAUCUAUAAAUAUUUUAAUUUCAAUUGUAGUACUUGCUGUAUUUGAUGAUACUGCAAUUCCCAUUCUGGUUUUCUAGCAUGUGUAUUGAUGAUGCUUAUUUUGGGUCACUCUUUCUUUCUUAUUAAAUCUUAGAGCCCCAUGGUUAGAUAUAUUCACUGUCUUCCCUACCUAUCAAAAUCUGCGAGUCCUCAAUUCUUGGAAGUUCAGAUCCUUGUUUAUGGUUGCAGAUAGAUAUAUUUCUGAUUUCCAUAAAACUCUGGUGGAUUAGUUGGACAAUACUGAGUAUUAUUCAAGUUGCGAGUGCACUCAGAUUUAUUUUUUGUAUCCAUUUUCAUUAUAAUCUUUGUGCAUGUUAGGCAUUGAAUUAUUGUUUCUUUUUUAUUUAUUUUUAUCUUUUGUGUCACUCACACCCUAGAAAACAGACUGGAAAGAAUUAUAUUUGAGAUUGUGAUGGCUGUCAACUAGAGGUUAUUCAAUAAGGAUCUAUUUGUCCAUUUGGGUUUAGUUUGCAAACCACGAUUGAAAUUCUGAAUAACAUGUCAAAAAGAUUAUGAAGUGGUUCUAUAUUUUUAAUGUGCAAAAAGAAAGAAAGAGAAGAAAAGAGAUUAAUAUGGAUUACCAUGCUUCCUGAAUAUUUCAUGCCAUGACCACCACAGGUGCAAGAGGAGAAGGUUCAUCUGCAGGUACUUUUCUUCCUUAAGAAUGUUUGUUAUACUUUUAACUUUGUUUCUUUAUUGCCCCAUCAAACGUAACCUCUCUUGACUAGCUACAUACACUCGCGUUGUGAGAACUGGAGUUCCAAGCGUGCACAAGGGAAAAAGUAAUGGUGCUUUGAUUGGGAUUCCCUUUCUUUUGAUUGUUGUGGGAACAGUUGGAAUUGGGGCACAUCGUGCUUAUAGGUGAUUGACAAUCUCAGGAUGGUCCUUCUAUAUGUAUAUAUUUUUUAAGUUUUUGGAGUUGCUUUAGAAAACAUUCAAGGGGAUCUAAAUGAUUGAAUAUCUUUAUUUCAUGGAUCCUUUUGCAGGGCCUAUGAAAAGGAAAAACUGGCGCACCCUUCUCACAAUCCCUUUCUUCCUUGAUCUAAACUUCAAGUGGAACUGGUAGAUAUUGGUUGCAUGGAAUAAUUAGUUUGCCAUGUGCAUUAAAGUUCAGUUUGUAAUGCAUUGGUGCAAUUUUAACUACCAUAAAUAUUAGUAAUUGCUGAACUUCUGUGGUGCUGAGUCUGCAGCCCUGAUUCUUGUUUCUUUGUGCAUACUGGCAUUUACUUAUUCAAAAUCUUUACUUGACAUAGUUUUUUCUGCUUCCAUGUGUUAUUGUGGUCUGAUUAUUUGUUAGCCCUGGUUUGCUGCUGCUACAUCACUUCCCAAAUGGCUGACAAGAAGCUGUUGCUGCAGUCCACUGGAUGGGAGCAUAUGCUCAAUCUGCAAGGAAAAACAAGGUAAAAUGCAAUUAUCGUGUGAAAAUUUUCAGGAUGAAGCAACAUUUAGCUAGAAUUUCUGGGGUAGUUACUGUGGAAAUGUUACAGAAAAAAUUAACUUAGAGAGACCACAACUUUCAUGGGUAUGUAAAAUGAAUGGACAGGAUUCACUUUGGUGGUUGGUAUAGACACUUGGCGUCGGUUUUUCUUGUUCUCUUGCAUAGGUUUCUUCACUUGGUUUUGCAUCACUCUUCCUUGACAUUACAGAAAUUCACCAUUUUUCUUCCCUUGUUUUAGUUUCACUAUUUGACGUAAUGAUUUCAUUUGGGUGACUCCCUCAAAAGUUCAAGAUUAGUUUUAACUUCGCCAUUUUUCUGAAGUGUUUGCUCUGUCUGAUCCAGUAUCACUGGGAUUGUUUUUUGUAAAAAAUACUUUUGGUAACCGUUUUAAAAAACUGCUAUGAAAAACAAUUUUUGAGAACUUUGUUAUAAUGUUUUGUAAAACAAAAGUCUGUUUGGAAACCUAAAAUGUUUUUAAUUAUUUUUAUAUUUUUAAAUAUGUUAUAAAAAUAAUUUUUAUGUCUAGUAUUUUAUUUUUAAUUAUUUGAUAUAUUUGUAUAAUUAUUUUUUGAAACAGGCCUUAUAAAUAAGUGAAAAAGCAAAAAAUAGCUGAAGGAUGGUUUUUUGUUCUUAAGAAUAUAAAAACAAAAAAAACAGUUUUUGAUUGUUAAAUAUGUUUUUUUGAUUUUUUGUUUUGGAGAACAAAAUAGUAUUUUCAAAAACGGUUGUCAAAAAGUUUCUUAGGCUUUGUUUUCUAAAAUUGUAAAAAAAAAAACAAAAAUGGAAAUAUAUUUGGAAAUUAGAUAAUAGAAAAUAAAUUUUUAUUCUUAAAAACAAAAUAUGAUAUGUUUUUAAAAAGUAUUUUUUAAUUGUUUUUACUUAUUUUCACUUGUUUUAAAAAUGAUUUUAUAUACAUAGGAGAAUGGUAAAACAUAAAUCACUAAUUAUAAAAGUUAUCUUUAAAACGUAUUUAAUAACAUAUAAAAUAAUUUAAGGUUAAAGAUAUUUCAAGUUUUUAAGGAGAUUUUUGUUUUAUAAAAUGUGAGAGAAUAGUUUUAAAAAUUAUUUUUAAAAACUGGUUUUGAUGGUAUUUUCUAAACAGAGCCUUAUGCUCCGUAUCAAGAAGUCGCUAUAUAAUAUCAGUACUACCAGUCAUUUAGUACUGCAACAUCGUCAGUAAGAAUGUAGGCCUCAUUCAUAUUCUGCUCUCCCCCUUAUCUCUGAUCAAAGUUAUUAUUAUUAUUGACCCAGAUGUUUCAAUCAAUACAUAUUUUUGACCCAUCUGAUUUCUGCUCUAGGAAUCUUUUGUGAUCUCUAGAUGUUAUAUGGAGGUAAGUUGGUAACUAACACCCACCCCAACUGGAAAGAAACAUAGAAGGAGAAAAUUUAGGUUAAAUAAACCACACUGCCUGUAUGCCAAUUUACUCAAUAACAUAAAAGAUGGACUGGGGCACAGAAUCAGAUGUAAAAGGGCAAAUGUGUAGAUGGAUCUUAAUAGAAUGAUCAAUAUCCCAUAGACAACAAGCAUCUCUCUCUAAUCUCUAUGUUCAUAAAGGCAUCUCCUGCAAUUCUGUUGCAGGCGGCAAAUGCUUCAAUUCAAAAAAAAAAAAAAAAAUACAAUUACUUUUGUAUCUCUUAACUUGGAUGUAUCCAUGGUUAACAAUAUAGGUCCUGCCACUGGUGUCAACAUUAAUCUGUACGCCGUGAUAUUGAAACUGCACCACUGCUGAAACGAUCAGUAGCUAUCUAAUUAGUAAUAAUAAUUUUUCAACCAUUAAGAAUAGGGUUCAAAUGAAUCAAGGUGCUGAUAACAAACCCCUCAGAUUAUAACAAGUCCUUAGGUUUAGAGUCAUACAUGGCCCAAAACCGACUGAGCUGAAGCUUGAACUGAACAACUCACUAUGAUCAGCUCGGUUCAUUCUAGGCCCCAUUCCCAAUUAAGAAAUUUGGUUGGACACAAUAUUUUUGGGUGGUUAAGAGGUUGUUGAUCUUAAAAUUAAAUGGCCAUGUAGUGAUUACCUUCACGAGUGAAAAUGAACAUUCUGAAGCAGACAUCGAGCAUUAUGCAGAACCGCAUUGAUCUCCUCAUUUGCGGCAUCAAGCAGGCGGAGUUCCCUGAUUUCCUCCUGCCACUUCUCUAUCUGUUCCUUGUGUAUCCUAUAAGCAUAAAUUUGAGAAACAAAUUGUGUUUACGGAAAAGGAAAAAACCAACAGCAACUCCAAUAGUUUUAAUUCUAAAAAUUCAGUAACAGACAGAAUCAUUCGUUCUUCAAAUUCGUUACUCAAAUCCUUGAAGAGCGUCUUUCCUGAUUCCAGCAACUCAGAUACCUGCACAAGUCAUGGUUACAAGUUACAUCAUUCCGUUCAUUUGGAGAAGAAGGGCAGUUUACCAGAAGAAAGCUUUGAAUCUAGCACGGAAUCAUCUCAAACUAAUUGACAAUCGGAAAAAAAAAUAAAAAAAUUGUGUUGUUAUGAUAGGUACCAGCUGAGUGAAGUUUUCAAUCUUUUCAAGAAUGCGAUUGAUGCUAAGCUCCAUCUCUUCAGAUCCGGCAAUGUUGGUUUCAGUUUCUUCUUCUUCUAUUUGAUCCACAAUUCCAUCUCCGACCUCGCCUUCGUUCUCAUCCAUCUACCACAUCAUCGUCACCAUCAACAAAAUUAUAAAAAUCAAAGGAAAAGGCACAAUAGAUGAUUCGUUCCAAAGUGGAAAGAAUGAAAAGGGACAUACAGCUGGUUUCAUGCGUUUUCUGGCGACUUCAGCCCCUUGGCUUUCCAUCGGUUAACACUGUAGAGUGUGGACACGUUACAGUUACAAAAUUACACUAAUCACCAGAGUGAUUCAAACAACAAAUGGAGCUGCUUAGGUUGAAUGUUGCCGGAAACUCACCGUGGAUGAAGCCCUCGUCUCUUCGCUCUUUCUCCAAUCUACUGCUCAGCAAAUGCCUCAAAUCUCAAUCAGUCUCAACUUCUCACUCUUUGCCUCGAUGGUUAGGCGCCCCCUUUUGUUCCCGAGAGGUGGAGUUUUCUCAAUUUUUUAUUUUUAUUUUUUAUAAUUUUAUUUAAUAUUAUCAAGUAAAAAUUAUAUUUUUGAAAAUAAUUAUCCAACCCAUAAAAAAAAAAAAAAUUUAAAAAUAUUAAAAAAAAAUAAUUUAUAAAUAUAUAUAUAUAAAAUUCUAUAUAUUUUUAAAAAUUAGUAUGUAAAAAUCCAUUUUCCCUUAUUAUUAUUAAAAUUUGGAGGCAGUUAAAAUAAAAAAGGGGAGUUGAUGGAAGAUGCUCUUGUGUUGGGUUGCGUUUGGUUGAGUUGGGUCGUGUUUGGUCGUGACUUUAAACACACCCUCUUUCAACUUUCAAACCGUACGCUUCUCUUCCCGUACAGACCGGGCUUCACUGUAACUUUUUUCCACUCCCCAAAGUCCACAGAAAAAGUGGGGGCGACCCUCACACUCCCGCUCCCUCACUCCCUCACUCCCUCACUCGCUUCAUUUCUGGAAUUGGCCUUUUCUCCCCGGACAUCAGCCAUGCCAGGCCGUCUCUUGUCGUUUCUUUCUUUCUCUGCUCUGGUAAGGGGAUAGAUUCUCAGACUUUCCUCUCGUUUCCACAGCCCUACAAUUGCAUCGAUUCUCCCUGAGGGAAAUUUUCAAACAGGCAGGAAUGGCCACCAAAUUACGGAGACAUCGUCCUACUGCCCACCGUCGUUUCCUCUGCUUUUCACUUGUUGUUGUCCUAGGCAUCUGCUGGGCUGUGGCCAUGGAAGGGACUUCUUUAUCUUCUUAUUCUUCUUCUUCUUGGGAUGAUAAAUUAACAUUGCUUGAGCUCAAAUCCUGUGUCACCCAAGACCCACUAGGGUUUCUCACCAAUUGGAACCCCAACGACCCAGACCCUUGUUCUUGGAACGGUGUCAUCUGUGACACCCUUUCCCGCCGUGUUACUGCCUUGGAUCUCUCAUCCAACCGUAACUGCUCCUUUCUUUCCCUUUUUGCUACUCCUGCUAGUGAUGUUCAUGCUGCAUGCUUGCUAGGAGGAGGGUUCAACAAGAGUUCAUCAUCUGCUUCAAAAUUGAGGGGGAGGUUGCCCCCCAUCGUCGGUCGUCUCUCUCAACUUAGGGUUCUGUCGCUAGGGUUUAAUGGGUUUUUCGGAGAGGUGCCCCGGGAGAUUGGCCACCUGGCCCUUCUGGAGGUUCUGGACGUUGCCUCUAACGCUUUUCACGGACCCAUACCCCCUGCUCUUCGAAACUGCACCGCACUGCGGGUGGUUAAUCUUUCGGGGAAUCGGUUCAAUGGAACAAUUCCGGAGUUGCUUGCUGACUUGCCCAGUCUGCAAAUACUUUCCCUUUCGUAUAAUAUGCUCAGUGGAGUUAUUCCGGAGGAAUUGGGUCACAACUGUGGGACUCUGGAGCAUCUUUACCUCACCGGGAAUUCUCUGUCUGGUUCCAUUCCUGCCAGCUUGGGAAAUUGCAGUAUGCUCCGUUCCCUCUUCUUGUCUUCUAAUAAGUUUGAGAAUGAAAUUCCUUCUUCUUUUGGGAAACUUGGGAUGCUUGAAGCUCUGGACUUAUCCAGGAAUUUCUUGAGUGGGAUCAUACCAUCCCAAUUAGGCAACUGCACGCAGUUGAAACUGCUUGUGCUCAAGAACAACUUUGGCCCUCUAUUAUUAUGGAGAAAUGAGGAGGUGGAAGAUUACAAUUAUUUUGUUGGCCAACUGCCCAAUAGUAUAGUAAAACUUCCCAAUCUUCACGUCUUUUGGGCCCCCCAAGCAAAUCUUGAGGGCAUUUUCCCUCAGAACUGGGGGUCUUGUUCUAACCUGGAGAUGCUGAAUUUAGCCCAGAAUUACUUUACAGGACAAAUACCCACAUCCCUGGGCAAAUGUAAGAGCUUGUACUUUCUUGAUCUGAAUUCCAAUAACUUGACUGGGUUUCUUCCCAAAGAAAUUUCUGUUCCCUGCAUGGUUGUCUUCAACAUCAGUGGAAAUUCUCUGUCUGGAGAUAUUCCGAGAUUUUCUCAGAGUGAGUGUACUGAGAAGGUCGGAAAUCCAUGGAUGUCAGACAUAGAUUUGCUUGGUCUCUACUCUUCCUUCUUUUAUUGGAAUGCUGUCACCAGUAUUGCUUACUUUUCUUCACCUUCCUAUGGUCUGGUCAUGCUGCAUGAUUUUAGCAACAAUCUGUUCACUGGCUUGGUUCCUCCCUUGUUGAUCACUUCUGAUAGAUUAUCUGUUAGACCUUCAUAUGGAUUUUGGGUUGAGGGCAAUAAUCUCAAGGGAAAUACUUCAACUUUAUCAUUUGAUAGCUGCCAGAGUUUGAAUAGCCUGGUCUUCGAUAUUGCUUCCAACAAAAUUACUGGUGAACUUCCUCCAAAAUUAGGCAGUUGUAAAUAUAUGAAACUUUUAAAUGUGGCAGGAAAUGAACUAGUUGGUUCAAUUCCUCUCUCAUUUGCUAACUUGUCUUCCCUUGUUAACCUCAACCUCAGUGGAAACAGAUUGCAAGGUCCUAUACCAUCAUAUAUUGGUAAGAUGAAGAAUUUGAAGUAUCUUUCCUUGUCUGGAAACAAUUUUAGUGGUACAAUACCACUGGAGCUAUCUCAAUUGACUUCAUUGGUGGUGCUGGAACUUUCUUCAAACUCCCUCUCAGGACAGAUACCAUCUGAUUUUGCCAAGCUUGAGCAUCUUGAUAUUAUGCUAUUAGACCACAACCACCUCUCUGGGAAGAUACCAUCCAGCUUUGGUAACUUGACCUCGCUUUCAGUACUCAAUGUGUCUUUCAACAAUUUAUCUGGAUCUUUCCCUCUCAAUUCAAAUUGGGUAAAAUGUGAAAAUGUGCAAGGGAAUCCAAAUCUUCAGCCUUGUUAUGAUGAUUCAUCAUCCACUGAAUGGGAGCGGCGGCACUCUGAUGAUGUUUCCCAACAAGAAGCUUAUCCUCCCACUGGAAGCAGAAGUAGAAAGAGCGACGUGUUUAGUCCUAUAGAGAUUGCCUCCAUAACAUCUGCCUCAAUCAUUGUUUUUGUUCUUAUAGCAUUAGUUCUCCUCUAUGUGAGCAUGAAGAAAUUUGUAUGCCACACUGUGUUGGGUCAAGGAUCAGGAAAGAAAGAGGUUGUAACUUGCAACAACAUUGGUGUUCAGCUGACCUAUGAGAAUGUUGUCAGGGCCACUGGAAGUUUCAAUGUUCAAAACUGCAUUGGAAGUGGAGGUUUUGGAGCCACAUACAAAGCUGAGAUUGUUCCCGGGGUUGUGGUGGCAGUGAAGCGGCUCUCAGUUGGGAGGUUUCAAGGCGUUCAACAGUUUGCUGCUGAGAUCAGAACACUUGGAAGAGUGCAGCAUCCAAACCUUGUUACACUAAUAGGCUAUCAUGUCAGUGAGGCAGAAAUGUUCCUAAUCUACAACUACUUACCAGGAGGCAAUCUGGAAAAAUUCAUCCAGGAUCGGACAAGGAGAACUGUUGAAUGGAGCAUGCUUCACAAGAUUGCUUUGGAUAUUGCACGUGCCCUUGCUUAUUUGCAUGAUGAAUGUGUCCCAAGAGUGUUGCACCGUGAUAUCAAACCAAGCAAUAUAUUGCUGGAUAAUAACUUCAAUGCAUAUCUUUCUGAUUUUGGCCUUGCCAGACUUUUGGGUACUUCUGAAACUCAUGCCACUACUGAUGUAGCAGGAACUUUUGGUUAUGUUGCUCCAGAAUAUGCGAUGACAUGUCGUGUUUCAGAUAAGGCAGAUGUGUAUAGCUAUGGUGUUGUCCUUCUAGAAUUGAUUUCUGACAAGAAGGCUUUGGAUCCAUCCUUCUCUUCCUUUGGAAAUGGCUUCAACAUUGUAGCCUGGGCAAGUAUGCUCCUCAGGCAGGGCCAGGCAUGUGACUUUUUCACAGCUGGACUAUGGGAAUCUGGACCCCAUGAUGAUCUAAUCGAGAUACUUCACUUGGCUAUUAUGUGCACAGGUGAGUCUCUUUCCACCAGGCCUUCUAUGAAGCAAGUUGCCCAACGGCUGAAGCGGAUUCAGCCCCCAACAUGCUAGUGGAGGUUUUUAGAGGAUCACCUUUUUGUAAGUUAACACUGUUAAGCUAAUGAUUUGUAAUUCACCAUUGAUUUUUGUCAUUGAUUCUGAGUUAUAUGUCUUGUAAAAAAACAAAAAAAGUUUUCAUUAUAAUGUUUGCAACAAUUUUCCCCUCAAGCCAUGUAUCUUAACCUUUGCCAAGAACCUAAUUAUAGCUACUGUCUCAAAACUUAAAUUAAGUCAAAGCACAUUCUUCCUUUGGUCCUGAUCCAUUGGAGUUAGGGUUCUUUUAGAGGGGAGGAAUUAAUGAAGUUGUCUAUUAUAGUUGGAUGAACCCUAGCAUCUGUUAAUGUGCCAACCAAAAUAAACAAGAGGAAGUUGUAGGUCCUCUAAGGAUCUAGAAUCCCCAUCACUCAGUGGGAGUAAGUCCAGUGGCUAUAGUCACUUUCCACUUUAUCAAAGUUGAGUUGUUCACUGAUGGGUAUUUUGCAUAUUUGGGUGUAUAAAUCCUCGUACUUGUUAGAGUGGAAUGAGUUUGAUAAUAAUAUAAAUAUGUUAUAAACAAUAAUGAUAUUUAUAUUUAUAAUAUAAAUAUGGUAUAAACAAUAAUGAUCUUUAUAUUUAUAAUUUGAUUCCUAAUAGUUUCAGGAGGUUGUUAUUUUGAGUACUUUCAAUGGCAAUUUCUAAUGCUAUAAAGUACCUUUAAGAAGAUGCACAAAUGUUUUAGAGCAUUUUAGAUAUUUUCAACUACCAUUGAUUUGACAGUCACGAAGUUAGAAAAUAAGCUUACAUAUAGGGCUAAAAGCAUAUACAAGGGAGGAUUGCACACUUUGAAUAAUAAGUGGAAUUUGGAAUGAUUAACUGUCCUAUUUUAAUCAUAUUUCCCUUUUAUCUACAUGCUAUUUAUUGGGACCUGCCAUGUUAAACUUUAGGGUGGUUUUCUUGAAUCAUCCUGCACAAAUACAUUUUCCAAUUGCCCUUAUAACACGAUGUAUCAUAUUGUAUUACCAGAUCAUCUUCAUUGGGAAAUUUCCUUGGUAAGAUGUGAUUCUUUUUUAUUUGGCUUCCCAUCCUCACAUCUAUUCUCUCUCCCCACCGAACCCCCCCCCCCCACUCUUUUUUUUUAACAGAAGCAAACCUACUCAUUGAUAUGGAUUUAAAACUUGUAUUGGGGUAAUUAUCCUCACAUCUUUUUUGAUUGAUUCGUUUUCCUUUUGUGCCUGUUUGACCAUGUAGUAUUUAUUAGGCAGCUUGAUUUGUUUAUUCAUGGAGAGCAGGUUCUCUUUUCCUUUGUUCCAGUAUGUGGCAUCUGUUUGGGCAGAUUGAGUUGUUUUUUGGGCAUUGAUAUAUUAGCAAUUAAAUUAUACCUCUAUAUCAUAAUUGAAAGGAAAAUUGUUUCAAAUGGGGAAGGUGUGGUUAUAAAUCACAUUCACCUCCAAGUUAUUUUGUCCAUUGGAUAUGCUUUCCCUUUAAACUUUAAACAAGAUAGAAAUCUUCCUUUUGGGAAUUGAUUUUACUUAGUCAUAUGUUCUGUUUCAUGGGCUUUAAAACUUAUCAAAAAUAAUAAAAAAUAAAAAUUUGUUUCAUGGGCUUUAAUAUUUUAUUUAGUUCUUUGCAGGAUGGGAUUGAGUUUUUUAUUUUUAUUAUUACAUUUAAGAAAUUUUAUCCUUGUAUUUGAAUGGUGGGAAGGGGUAUGCACUUGCAGAAUGAUAGGUUAAAACUAAUCAUAUCUUACCUUCUUCUUCUACCUAGACCCAGUUUUUCAUCCUCCCCUUUUUAUUUUUUAUAUUUAUUUUUGGUUUUUGUUAAGGGGUUUGUUCGAGUAAUUGGAAUUUUGCCCUAUCAUCACCUAUACAUGAUGCUUGCUGAAUAGCAGGAAAGGAUUCCAGAGGAUAAAGUUUUGAGUUGAUUUGAGUUUAAACGGUACAUCUAGUAGUGAUGGUCUGUUGCUAAUGGAAACUUUUUACAGAUUUUACAUGCGAGAUCCUAGCAUUUGGUCUCAUAUGACCUCAAAGAGAUUCUGUACCUAUCUUCUGUAUCUCUCUACUUUGAUUGGUUGCCUACAUCAGUAUCAAUUCAGAGGAAGAGAAUAUUUUGAUUUUUUUAUGGUUUGGUGUGUCAACAGAAAUACUUUGCAUUAAAAAGAAGAUUUAAAGGGUGCUGUUAUUUUUUGCUCUCUCUAUUGAGCCCCAGUAAGUUGCAGGUAAUCACAUUUCAUACAAUUAAAGGUGCAUGACUUUUACAUCAGGAAGGAAAUGAAAUCACCCAUGGUUCAGCUACCCAUUCCUGGUGUAUUUCUGGUUUCCAGAAAACAGUAGUGUAUGGUUGUAUGUACUCAGGGUCUUCUGAUCUUUUCACCAUGAUAAUCAUAUUCAGAUUGUUCCUACUCAAAAGAGGUAUGGUCAGUAAUCUUCAAUUCUAUUAGAGGCAUCCUCUACUAUAUUUAUUUGCUUCUUGUCUAAGUUCUGAUUUUUUAUUUUAUUUAGUCCAAUUUGUUACCCUCCAAUCAUAAAUUUGCCUUACCCUUAUCAUCUGUUUCUGUCCCAUAAAUGUUGGUACAUGGACAAUGAAAUGGAUGCCUUUUUUAAAACUAACAUUUUGAGUUUAGCGAUCUACCAAUUGGGUGAAAAACUGUGGGAUAUCUUGAGGCUGGAGGAUCUUCCUGUGGCUUCAUUUAUGUGGAUGAUUUUGAGUCUGUGCUGUGGCUUGCUUAAAUUUAAUUCUUCUUGUUUAAUUAAAUGCUGCUUCAAAAAAUGAUUGCUUCAUCUGACAUUGUGAAUACCUUUUACUUGGUGACAACUCCUAGGUUUGUUGCUAAAGGGAAGCUGCAGGUUGAGGAAAGCUACCAAUGGACCAAAACAAAUGUCCACAGCCUUGGUUUAACAAGUCGUGUAGUGGUAUGCAAGAGAACCACUUUAGCUAUGUCUGUUCGAUCACAGGGGAAUGGUUUCAUCAAUCUGCCUUUUUCAGAUGGAUGAAGUUGUAGGAAGUAAUGAGGAAGGCGUUAGGGAACUUGUGGACUAGUUGAGCAAAUUAGGAUAUUUUCUUCGGUAAAAGGUAGUAUGGCCACUUGAUGAAAUUGGCAUGUUGAAUCUUGUGCUGGCUGUUUCUCUGGUGGAAUUAUAAGCUUGAUAACAUACAGAUUAGUUAAUCAGUGAUCCACAGGGGCAUGGGAGACUAGUUGGUAUAUUGAUCUAUCUUACUUAGCUUUGCUGUUGCAAUGGUGAAUCACUCUGCUCCAAUGCCCAACAGUGAUCAAAUUGUGUAAGGUACUGGUUUGCUUAGAUACAUAAUCUUUGUUUUUCUGUUCUACAAUGAAAAUAUGAUUGAAGUGUGCAUGCAUAGGGUGUCUUUUGGAAGGCAACUUUAGGCAGAAUUACUUAUAUUUAUAUUCUUGCAUUGAUAAUGUCUAUCACUUUCUUUUUCAUGUCUAUCAUAAGUGAGCAACAUAGUCUGAAUUUCUUCUAGACUCAAAUUGGUUCAUGUCUAGAAGUCACAGAAACCGCAAAGGAGUUGUAAUCAGCUCCUAAUCUCCAAGCAGGUAGAGAAUGUGGUCUUGUUCAGGACUUGAUUAUCUGAUCACCGCAGGAUUAUCUAUAACAGAUUUCACCUUGAGAAGAUACUCCAUGUUCAAGCUACCUUUCCUGAUGGUCUGAAGUUGAAGGCGAAGUUGCAUAAUUCUUGCUUUUGACACUGUCGAAAGAAUGUCUCGAGAGCAUUCCAGAUCUUGGUGGCAGAAUUGAUAGAAGAAAAUCAGGAUUUACAAAUCUCUGAGUUCUCAAGAAACCUUGGUGGACAGGGUCCUCAAGUCCAUUACCAAUCACAAUGUUGAGCAUCUGAGUGUGCCAUAGGAGAUAACUUGAGAAUCAAGUCUGAUGGUGAAUGCUUAAUUCAGAGAUGUCAUAAUUGAAGCAGCACUUGGGCUUGAACCAGUGCCAUAGUAGUGAGGACAGUAGAACAUGAGGAACCUUCAGACACCAUGGAGCCUGAGCUUCAAGGAUCAAUUGCUCUGAUAUCAAGAUAAAAUUCAGAGAUCUGAAAUUCUUUGGAAGAAUGCCAAAAUAUUUUGAGAGAAGAGCAACUCUAUGUAUGCGGAUAUACAUUAGAGAAGUUACUAAAACUAUUACAGCAACUGAAGUGGUUACAACUAAGUCUUAACUAUUAGCUUAUGUCACUUACAUGAAGUUAUGUUUACAAUUUUCAAUUUGAAGGCUGUGUUUUUAAAUGUGAUGAUUAUCUUGCUCCUUUGACACAAACAUUUCCUGAUUUAAUUUCCAAUGUCAAUGACCCCUGAAGUCUGUCUCUGCCUCAUUCAUCUCUACCAAGACGAAUACCAACAUUCCUGCAUAGACUACUCCUAACAUUUUCUCUCUUUUUCUUUUUCUUUCCUUAAUUUUUUCCAAAAUCAAAUCAAUUGAUUAAUGCAUGGCUGCAGGCUGCAGGGUUCAAAUAAACAAGCCCAACAGACCAAGCUUCUCCACUGAGAGAUGGGUUGAGGUCAGAAAUCGGAAAUCUGCUUCUGGUUAUUUGUAGUCCAAUUCCAGUACUGGAACUAAAGGAUUGACAUAAUUUCUCAUUUGAAGUGGGGUGCAUGUCCCACUCAAAAAGGCCAACGCUAAUUACCAAAGCCUUAACUAAGCUUAGGAGGAAGCCUUGCUCUGGCAGCUCUCUUCUCCAUCUCUCUUCUGCAGUAUCCACCUUUCUCAUUAAAAUUGUUAGACAUAAUUUGAGUACACGAACCACUCAAGGACGACAGUCACAUCCUGCUGUAAAAAAUCUCAAUUCAGCUUUGAUAGUGAUGUGAAAAACAGAAUUCUUGGGUGGAUUGGAGAAAGUUUUUGCACAGUAAGGAUGGAAAUAUUCCUAGGUUGUAUCAUUCAAUUCUAUGAAUCAAUUUCAUAUUUCAAUACAAUUGUAAUGUGCUUCAUCUCAUUGAAUAUGUGGGCAAAAAUUUGUUUAACACCUUUCAGAAUAGUGUAUAUCUAUGCACACACAAAGGAGGAUACAAAAGAUUUGGUAGGGGACUUAGGAAACCAUUUUCUAAUUUUUUUUUUCUCAAGAUAUCUAGGCCUUAUUUGAUCAACUUACAUUGCAGAAAAGACUCAGCAACAUGUAAGAAAAAGUCUUUCCAAACCUAUGAAGACUAGGAAAGUAUAAUUUAUCUUAUUCCACCUUAUUGCAUGGAUGAACAUUUGCAUGUAUGCCCCUCUGAUGCUCCUUUCUGUCAUCGCUUCAUUGGAAAAACAUUGUUCCUAAAUGAUUGUCUCGUCCAUGAUUACAGAAUUCUUCAGCACAACAGUAAUUCCUGAUCGAAUAUAAAAGCCCUCCGAUGGUCUAUCCGCCUCUUCUACCUUCUGCAAUUCAUUCAAAACAUAGAAAGUCAGCAUUCCCUGAUGAACACAGAGUCAUCUUUGCAUUUUAAACUGAUACUAGUGAAAUGAUCAGAAUGAGAGUCCGGAAAACAAUUAGAUUGUGGUAAGAAUGCAUUUCAACAAUGUUGGAUCUAACCAAUAUCCUUCCUCAUCACACCUCCCAUCCCCAUCAUUCUGGUGAAUGAAACAAAAUUAAAUACAGAGUCAUUAGUUAACCAUAAAAGAUCUUACAUCCUUGUUUGUGAUGACGACGUUCUUUCCAAUCCUUGCAUUCUUGUCAAUUAUACAGUUCCUGUGAAUGAGGGAAUUUAUCAAGUGAAUCUCAUGAAGCAGUAAAAUAACAAAUCUUGUAACAAGGAAAAAGGAAUUGAAUUUGCUUAAUAUCAUUGCAGAGGAUAAUUUGCAACCCAGGUGAAGAAAAAGAGAGAAGCUGAGACGAUUAUCCCAGCAUCCAUGGAGAUACUAAUCCUCAUAUGAGUUGUCUAUGUGAUUCAAAUGUUACACAUUAGAACAUAAUCUUCAAACCAGAUACUAACAUAAUUUUCGUGCCUUUCCCAACCCCUAUUGGAACCUUUCCCUCUGCCAGGAAGGCUGCUAUCUCUUCCUCAGUUUGGUAAUAGUCAGCACCCAUCAUCAUGGUAUCCUGAGAAAAAAAUGAAAUGAUUUCAUAUUACCAUCCAGAAAAAGAAGCAAUAACACCCAUCAUCAUAGUAAGCCUGCUUCUAAUUACUACUGGUUAUGAAGGACUAAAAGAAUAAACAAAUCAAUUCCUUGAUAUGACUCUUUUAUACACCAAGUCCAUUUAUCAAUCUCAAUCCCAUAUGGACAGCCCAAAAACAAUAUAUAUGCAUUUUACAACGAGCAAUUUAAUAAUUUUAUGCACACAGCCAGAACAGCAAUUUCAUCUUCAAGCUGGUUAAAGAAGAGUGUUAUGGGGGCAUCACUGCAUUAUGUGAACAGGGAUAGGAAUGUGGUAAGCUGCUAGAUUUAGAAUUCAGUACAAUAAGGGCAUUCUCAUUUAGAUAACCCAAAAUGCUAUAAGCUAGUUCUGAAUGCAGAAGCAUUUUCCAUUCAUCCUAUUUCUAGUUUCUUACAAGAAGAAAUAUUUUUUUCCUGUCCAAUUUAUUCUUUAAAUGUGACUUUCCUCAUGCUUGUGCUUAGGAUGAACAUUUGGCUACCUUCUUUAAUAAGCAAAGGAUCCAAUCCAAAAGGACAGGGAGAAUCAGUCACCUUCAUCUCUACGCCAUAAUCCAGUCUUGAACGAAUCCCCACAAUUGAAUGUUCAACACUGCACUCCCUCAAAAAGCACCCAUGUGAAAUUAUAGAAUCCAUGACCUAUAACAAUCCAGGGUCAGGCUCAAAAUCUGUCAAUCAAGCUCUGAAAUCUUAGCAGCAUGAGAGAUAAGUUUAAAAAUGAUACCCGACAUUUCUCUAUUUUAGUUGGUGGUAGAAACCGAGGGGAUGUGAAGAUUGGCUUGAGUGGGUCGUAGAAGUGAAACUUGGGAGGCUUCAAAGACAAGAAAACUAUGUUUGAGUUCAAGAGCUCAUUUUACCAAGAAAAAGACCACAGACACUUUAAAAGGAAGCUACCUGAUCUGUGAGUGCUAAGUUUGCAUCGAAAAAGGAUUUUAUGGUCCCAAUAUCCUCCCAGUAGCCAUUGAAUAGAUAUGCCUGUGAUGGAAUGAUCAACAGCCACCAAUUAGCAACAGUCCCACUCAUAUUCAGAAAGAGGAAAAUACUAAUUAAUCAAAGACUAUUGUUGCAAUCUACCUGGACAUUACAUUCUUCAGCAGCCAUUGGGAUGACCUCUGACCCAAAAUCAUUGGCUGUUGGAUAACUCCACCUAAUAGCAAAACAAACCAUAGCAGAAACUGUAACUUUGUCCCCUUGCUGCUUUGUCCAGUGGACUUAAGAAUGACCAAAAUAUCAGUUCAAAUGAUUCCAUCUUUGACUUCUGGGGCCAAUGAGUCACUUUUGACUAAGAAAUGCAAUGAAUCCAGUUGAAACAAUUACAAAAGUAUUGUUCAUUAAACAAGAAAAGGUUUGAAAAUUUUAGAUAAUGCAAACCCAUAUAUAGUAGCUAAAUUUUUUACUUCUGUUUUGAGAGGAAAAAAAUAAAAAUAGUCAAACCUGAACCAAGUGAAAGAUUUAUCUAGUUGCCCCUUCCAGACAUGUAUGCCACCAUUAACAAGAACUUUGCUCAUCUUGAGAGCACAAAUGAUGUAAAAUAGAUUAGCAGUAUAAAUAGCAAGCUAUCUGAGGCAAAAGGGGCCCUUGUAGAUAAUGGUGCUGUAAACAGAAUGCCCUAUAAUGUAUUUGAGGGAAGGAUUCACAACUGAAAUUAUGGCUUUCCAGAAUUGUAGGAGGACAUGUCAGAUCAGCACAGAUUUGUGUGGGCAAUUACUGAUAAGGAUAGUUGAUUGAAUAAUAAAACAUAGAAAAAGAGAUUGUUCUUGGGAUUUCAUGGAAUGAAGUAAGACAUUUAAAGAUCCAUCAACCAUGAAGAAGAUAAAGGCCAUCUAUCAUAGGGUUCUUGGCCACCAUCUAUUAUUCGGGCAUUCUUCCAAGGAGGCAUUGUAUGACCUUACAAAGCAUAAUUAGUUUAUCUUUAUUUUUUAUCAUUAAAAUUUACAUAAAUUGAUCUAUCCUUCAAGUCAUCUUUCAAAUCAAUUCCUUCUUGUUUUCUUGUCCCUAAAGUUGGGGUUUGGCUUGGGAAUACCAUCUUGAAUGUUAAAUGAUCCAUCAACCAUAAAGAAGAUAAAGUUCAUCAUCCAUCAUUGGGUUCUUGGCCACCAUAUAUAAUGCGGGUGUUCUUCCAAGGAGGCAUAGGCACUUUUAAGAGCAUAAUUAGCUUAUCUCAAAAUGUCUUCUUCAGAUAUAUGGAUCCAUGUAAAGGACUCCAUUCCCUUGUCUUGAUCUAAACUUGUACCUUGUCGAAGGAUGUCUUGAAAAUAGAAUUAGUUUAUCUCUAAAUUAUAUGCUUAAAUUUUACAUGAAUUGAUCUAUAACCUAAGUUGUCUUUGAAAUCAAUACCUUCUUUUUUUAUAAUAUAAGAAACACUUUUGUCCCUAAAGUAGGGGCUUGGUUUGGCAAUAGCAUCUUGAAUGUUGUGGAUUUAAAGCAUCUCCAUGCAGUCAUUUGAUGAAACGAUAUCCUGACAUUGAGUUCUUUUAGUGAAGUCAAUCAAUUGAAGAAGACAGGAAGGAGAUAGAAAGCGCACCUAACAGCAAUGAGUUAAACCCAAAGCUGCACUUAACUCAUAGGAGGGACAGGAUUCAAUAUCACAUAUCACAUAAAAAAUAGACAACUACCACGCUGCAAACUUUGGGUUCCAGUAAGUAUUUCCAGAAUUUGUGAAAGAGCUAUUCCUGGGCUGGAAGGUGAAAGGCAUGGACAAGGGGCAGUGGAAAGUGUGGAGUAUGGCUCCUCUUUGUUUGUUUUGGCGUGUGUAGCAAGAAAUAAAUAGUUUAAUGACAUUAAGGUAAAAGAAUCCCUGCUUAGGUCUCUUAUGGAUUGGUCUGGAAUAUUAUUAGGGGAGGGAUUGUGCUCCUCUUUUGGACUUUAUUGAUGAUUCAAAUUGUGGAGGCAGCUUUUAGUUUGUUUUUCUAGUUGGGGCUGCUUCUUUUUCAUCUAGGUGGGUCCUCUUGUAUACUCCCUCUUGGAACAUUGAAUAUUAGAGUUUUGAAAAGUUCAAAUAAACAAAACCUCAAGUAGGGAAAAGCAAUUACCUGAGAAGUUUUAGUAGGACAUCUGUUUUGAACAAAUAUAUACCCAUUGAUGCAAUGUAUGGGAAUUUCUUUGCUUCUACAGGUGAUAAUCCUAGAGCAGUUGUAUCCACUCGCUGUGACAACAAAACUUGCAAUCAGAACCAACUGCUAUAGGUUUACAACCAAUUUUGAAAUUUCAUCUGCAUACACCAACUAAUCAACACAAAUGGAAAGUGUAACAACCAUAGAUUUCAAAGUUUCACCCUUGGGUUUCUCAAGAAACUGCCGUAUCUGUCCCAUUUCAUCAAUCUUAAUCAACCCAAAAUCAGAAGCACGGCUGCAGGAAACAAAGUUAUGAUAAACAAACUUCAAUACAGAUUUUUUAUUGUAAUUCAAUUUUUAUAGGCAUAUUUACCAUCUUAUAUAAGGCAAAGGAACAUUUUAGAAAUGUUCACCUUUCAUCCAUGGGAAGACAGGAGACAGAUAUAUCAGCAUCUGAAUCGAUGUGCUUCUGCAAGCAGAGAUUUGAGUUCAUAUCCAAAAGUAAAACAUGUAGUAAAUAAUGAAGCAAGGAAAAAAAGCCCACUCAGCAGGUGAUGUUUGACCUGUACAAACUCCAUGUAAUCCAUUCGAUAUAGAUGAUCACCAGACAAUAUCAGAAUGUUCUCAAUGUGUCUAUGCCUAGCAUCCUACACAAGUUGCCAUGAUUAUGCAUUAGAUUGUAGCAUGGAAGUUCCAAAAGACUAAUUCCUGGCAGUUGCUUGACAUACUCUUAUGCCACAAUGUUUCCAUUCUAAAUUAACAAAUAAGGAUUAAAUCUGCCAAAACAGAAAAAUUCAAGAACACACCUCAAACAACCAAAUGAAUUGUCUCACUGCAUCUGCUGUUCCCUGAAACCACUUCUUUCCAGAUUCACCAGAUGUUUGAGUAGCUGCUAAUACCUGUCAUAACAAAUGAAGUGGAAUUAGGAAUACAGGAAGUAGGAACACUAAAUUUAAUCCAUCUCGAAAAGGGAAAGCAUGUCAUGGACAGGUUCAGCUUCUCUAUAAUACCCCUCCUUCCAAUCAUUUCCAUGAUAUGCAUGUCAUGGAGAGAAAAGAUUAAUAAGUCAAUUGGUAAUACCCUGAAAUCACUUCAUACCAAGAGGUGUCCCUUCCACUGAUUGAUGAUCAGAUGGCAACAGCAAUAAUUAUAGAGCACCAUUGCUUCCCAAACAUGCAAGGGACUCUUCCAUUGACAAGCAGUAGAAUGAUGGAAUCCAACAUACCUCAACAAACCCAUCGCCGAAGUUUACACCACUUCCCAAAUUGUAUGUUCUAGCAAUAUGACGGUUGAGGGAUUGAGAAUUGAAUUGGGUGAGGAUGUAGAUUUUGUUGAUUCCACUGUUGAUGCAAUUACUCAUGGGUACAUCUAUAAGUCUAUAGCAUCCCCCAAUUGGCACCUGAAAACCAUGUACAACUUCAUAUACUUCUAUAUUAUUAGCCAUAAAGAGAGAUGGAAUCCCCAACUUACAGCUGGUUUGGCCCUUGAUUUAGUGAGAGGAAAAAGCCGUGUUCCUGCUCCACCCCCUAAUAUGAUAGAAGCAACCGUUUUUGGGUCUGCUUCUGGUUUUGCCAAUUCUGGGGCAUCCAAGGUCUGAAUUCACACAAAAUUCCAUCACAGGAAUUUCAGGGAAAUUGCAACACAAAAAAAAAAAAAAAAAAAAAUACUACCCCUUGAGAAUCAAACAUAGAAAUUACCAUAAAAUCUUUAUAAACAUCGGCAAGGAGACAAGCAGCAGAGGAGCCUUUUGUUGGGGCCCAUAUAUUCAAAUUUCCGGAAAUCCUAGAGUUUGAAUGCACAACCGGAUCCCGAAAGACAGACCUCCUCCUGUGAUGGACCCUUGAAGUUGGCUGGCAAGAGCCCAGAAUUGAGUAAAUAGGUGCCUGCAUUUCUAUUUCAUGCUGGCCCUCUUCUGGCCCUUGAAUUGAAUCUAGUAUCUCAAAUCAUCAUCUAUCGCUCUCCACACUCAGCCUCCACUAUGUACACAAACAAAUAAACCACUGAUUCAGUUUAAGAUUUUCAGUAGCUUGGGAAAAAUGAAAUCCGUUGCCUCAAAACAGAGCAAGGAAUGGCUCCACCAGCCACCAUCCCAUCCCCAGCUCACCCGCUUUUUGUCUGUCAUGAAUCCCGGGAUGUCUUGGAGAUUCUCAGCAGCUUAGCGGCAAAGCCACCUCCUCAUCUCAUCAAUACCAGUACGGCGUUUUCCUCUCCUCUGGGUUUUCUCAUUCCCCGGUCACUAUGGAGACUGCAUGUGCAACGACUCAUGCAUGCAUCUUCCUUUUCUUCUCCUCCUUUUUUUACAUCAAGAAAUCUAUAUAUUCCCUUUCUUCCAGAAGGAGAUGAAGUUGGACAGUGAUCAAUAAAUUUAUUUAAUUAAAUAAAAAGGAAUAGCUCAAACCCAAUCUUUAUCUACUUCCAAAACCAAUGCUAGUUGACCGUUUCCCUGGACUUAUUAGACCACCAACAAAUUUUUUAAUAUAUGCUGCACCGACCGUUAUUUUUACCGCCAUUUUUAUUACUUCGUUAUAAUAAAAUUUGAACCCCCAUCUAUUAAAUGAAGAAAUUUAUUAAGAUAUAAUCAUCACCCACCAUACAACGAGUGGAUAAAAAUAACAAUAAAAAUAAAAGCAUGCAUAUCACAAGAUAUUAAAAUUUUAAUUCAUUGUUCCGUGCUAAAAUAAAAACUAAGAUAUUGUUUAUUUAUUUUUAUUUAAUUUUAAAUAGAACUUAAACUUAAUAAUGUUAAAUAUUGUAUUAUCUAUUUUGUAAUAUAUUUUUAUUAAAUAUUAAAAAAUAAAGAAAAAUCAAUAUAUUACUUUUUUUUUAAUUCAAAAAAAGUAAAAUAUUUUAACUUUUUUAUUUAAUAAAAAAUUUAUAAUGAAUUACAAAAAAAUAAAAAAUAAAAUUUAAAAUCUAAAAAUAAAUUACUUUCAACUCAAAAGUUAAAAAAACAAACACCUUCUAAGAAUCAUUUGAUAGUGUAAUAAGAUCUGAACUUAAACCUAAAAUUUGAAUUUAGAAAAUGAUGGGCUAAUGAUAUAUUAUUCUUGUUUAGGCUUUGACUCAAUAGAAGAGGAAAACAAGAACCCUUGUCAUCAUAAGGAAUACUACUUGCUUUGUCUACUAAUUGCUUUUAAUUUUAAACUUGCCCAAUCAAAAAGUUGUGACCAUCAAGUGAAGGAAGAAGACUCAAUUGUGGGGCAGUAGAGAGGAACUUGAGUGUGGAGGAAGGUUCAUCCAUUUUAUUGAUGGAGAAGAUAAAAUAAAAUGACAGUUUAAACUUUAGAGCCUGGUUGUUAACACUGUUCUCAAAACACAAAAAUAUGAUAUGGUAAUUUUAUGAAAACAUAUUUUAGUAGCUUUAAGUUAUUUUCACUUUUUUUUAGGAUUAUUUUUAAAAAUAAUAAGACAAAUAUGAAGAAUAGUUAAAAAUAAAACACUAUAUAUAAAAUUUAAAACUAAUUCAAAACAUUCCAAAUUCUCGGAUAGACUUUUACUUUAGAAAACAUCGUAAAACUUUUGAAAAUUAUUUUCAAAAACAUUUCUAGACAGACCCAUCAUGUUUGAAUGUCAAAAUGACCUGUCAGCUUAAUGGUAAUGAAUUGUGAUAUACAAUUAACUAGUGCAAUAAAAAGUUAAAAACACAUAAUAAAAUAAAUAAAUCAAUAAAGAUAUAGGGAGUAAAAAAAUAGUUCACAAAGAAGCAACGGCCUCAAGGAGAAAGGAAGAAAUAGGUUCAUUUCAUGUAGGUAUUUGGCCUUUUGAGUUUUUGCUUUCCUGCUAGAAACCUGGAGAGAAGUACCUAGAACUAAAAUGAGCUGUACUUUUUGUAGGACCUAUUCACACAACUCUUUAUUUUUUCAUUUUUUUUUCUCUUUUCCCCUUUUGGUAAGCUGCUAAUACUGGAGAAACUGUUACAAGGAUAGAUAGCCAGCUGUGCCUGUACAUAAAUUUAUCUGCAGAUGAUUGCUAUAUGUCUGAAAUCAUUUAUCCAUCCUGAGGUUAUUACAGAGAUGGCCAAGUUCAGGCCUUGCAUCCAUCCAAGCUGUGAAUUCUGUCUCGGUUGCAGAGGUGCAGUAAAGGUAGGACCUGAAUGUGAUGAGGAAAAAGUACCGCCUGCAAUUGCAAAAAAGCCAAUAAUUACUUCAAACCAAAGGUAUGCUGCUAUAGCUGACAACCUAGUGACUAAUUGCUGACUGAGACCACUAACUGUAGCAGAUAAUAUUCAUCAUACUCUUCGUUCUAAACAUUGAGAGGUUGGGCAUUCUGCCCAUGGAAAACUACAACUCAUUCAUUUUUCUCAGAUUUAUCAGUGCUCAGAAAUGGAUCCAUGUGUUGAUCUUGGGGAUCUUUAAUUAGCUAAUGAAUGGGUCCAUGUCUCUACCAUUAAUCAUGGGAAAGGAGCAAAAAAAUGACCCACUUAACUACCUGUAAGGUUUGAUGACUCAAUAAUGUAAACUGACCUUAAAGCUUUAAUGCCCAUAUCCAUGAGGUAUGCUCGAUGCUCAUCAUCACCAUUGGAGAACUUCUCGAGUUCCUUGCUAUAAAAGAGAAUAUCAUGUCGUAAAUUCCCAGCACCUGCACACCUUUAAAACAAAGGAACAAACAAAACAUCGUUCAGAGAAAGAAAAGCUAUCUUAUUGACACAUCCUUUCAUUUUAUCUGCAAAUGGUAUUCAACUAGGAUAGGAAUCAUAAUAUAAACAUAAUUUGGGGACAUCUCCAUGGAGAUCAGUGAACAUAGACUCUAAUGCCUUGUCAUGCCAUAAAAGAGAACCCAAGCUAACCAUGUUUCAUAGAAUCUCAAUGGUGAUUCCAUCUCUGCCUUCUAACUUCCCUAAGAAAUGUUUGAUUGACACCACUAGUGAAGAAGUUUACACCCCUCUCUCCAUGCCAAUUUGAGGGAGAUAAUCCCUAUCCUAUAGGUACAUGGACAAAGAGUCAUGGUACAUCAACUAAUCAUGUGGCACACAUUGUUGUAUGAUAUAAUGGCUUGUUCUAUUGAUAAACAAAUAGCAAAAAUAAAUUUAAUAGAAAUCAAGAGUUCCUUUCCCUAUCAUUUUCUGACAUGUGAAGUAACAUUUACCAAACAAUAUAAAGUUUUUCUUUCUUCACCUAGGGUUUUAUUUUCCUUGCUGAUUGUCUCUCUAAAGUUAGGGUAGGAAAUUUUCUAAACAUGAUUACUACUGAUAUUAUCCUUAUUAGCCCACAUUUCUUCCUCUUUUGGUUUCUUCAAAGGACCAAAGAAAAGAGUCUACCUUUUGUAGAAGAAUUUCAAAAUCUUUCACACAAUAUUAUGACCAUGUCCAAUAAUAAUAUUAUGUCUUUAUAUUUAAAAUGCAUAAUAUUAAAAGAAAUAAGAAAGCCUGAUAAAAAGAAUCCUUCACAAACUAAACAACUAAACUGCUAGCCAGGAGUACAGCCCAACUAAAAGCAUUAAGUUACAAACUUGAAUUAGUCUAUUCCCAGGAUGAGUUGAAGAGAUGAUUCUCAAGUCCAACAAACAAGAAUGAACCAAGAGGACUAUUAGAUGAUGUACAGUUAUUUAGGUUAUUUACUUUUCCUUUUCCUUUUCCUUUUCUUUCCUUAUUGUAUUGUGGGUCCCACUAACAUGUAUAUAUACCCAAGUCCAAUGUGUAUUAUUAACAGUUUUUCAAUAACAAAAAUUAGAGAUUCUCCCUUUUCUCUCUUUUCACAUGGUAUAAGAGCCUAGGGAGAAAAAAACCCUAAUUAUUUUCGGUUUAUCCGUGAAUUCAUUCUGGGAAAUAUUUCAGUGACCGUGUUUCAUUCCGGUCACCUUUCCCAUCUCCUAAAGCUUUCCGAUCAACCGUAUCGCCGUCAGAAAACUCUCACCGCCGGCGACUUUUCCGGCAACCUUUUUCCGGUGAAGUCCUUUUUCGACACCAACCAUACCAUCAGGUGCGCAAGGAGGAGAUCUUCAAGUUUUCUCAAAGCACCGGAGGGAGAUUCUCAGCCACGCGCUGUCCAAGCGCGUUUCUUCUCUGGCGGCCUGAACCUCACGCGUCGGCGUGUGAGGGCGCGUGGAGCACUUUCCGGCCACGCGCUUCCACUUCCAGCCUCACCUAACGCCGUCUAGCCACCUUCCAUUUGUGCUUGUGCCAUCCGAGCCCUGAAAGUGCAUUUUUUGGGGUUUUUUUUUGUCUCCGUCGACCCUCUAAACAACCUUUCCGACAACCUCCGGUGACUUCCUCUCCAUCCCGAGCCUUGCACGUGUCUUAGGAAGUGUUCUUCUACCCUUCCAGUAGUGCCACAUUUGUUUUUCUUUACUAUUUGGUCUCUCACAGCCGUGGAUCCUCGGUUUUUUUUCUUUCAGCCGCGAUCUGAAGCCGUAUUAGGGCUCUCUUCGAUCCAAACAUAUUUUGUUCUCCAGAUAAAUAGAUAUGGCUACUAAAAGUUCCACUUUUUCCUCUGUCAUAUCUAGAUCUCCUAUAAUUACUUCGUAGAAAUUGGUUGGCAGUGAAAAUUAUUUGUCUUGGUCUGCCUCUAUGGAGCUUUGGUGUAUGGGUCAAGGUUAUGAGGAUCACCUUGUUACGCAGGAAGCGGAUAUCCCUGAGGUUGACAGAGUACAAUGGAGGAAGAUAAAUACACAGUUAUGUAGUGUGUUAUGGCAAUCAGUUGAUCCUAAGAUUCUGCUUCAUCUUCGGGCCUACAAAACAUGCUUUAAAUUUUGGAAUCAAGCGAAAGGGCUAUACACGAAUGAUAUCCAACGUCUUUAUAAGGUGGCUUCUUCUAUUGUCAAUGUUAAACAACAAGACAUGGAUUUAUCUACUUAUAUUGGUCAGAUUGCCUCUCUUAAGGAGGAAUUCUUGACCGUGAUGCCUCUUACUACUGAUGUUGGGGAUCAACGAACACAGAUUGACAAGUUCUUCAUAGUUCUUAUGCUUAUUGGCCUCCGUCCAGAUCUCGAGACCGUCCGUGAUCAGAUUCUUGGUAGUUCCUCCGUUCCAUCCUUGGAUGAUGUGUUGGCUCGCCUCCUCUGUAUCUCCUCCACUCAGACUUUGUCAUUUGAUAACACUUCAGAUUCUUUUGUGUUAGUUUCUCAAACUAACUCUCGAGGAGGACGCAGUGGUAACUGAGGUAAAGGCCAACGUCCUCAUUGCACUUAUUGCAAUAAGCUUGGCCACACUCGUGAUCAGUGUUAUCAGUUACAUGGGCGACCUUCCUGCACUGCCCACGUGGCCUAGUCAUCUGAUCUUCAGUCGCCUUAGCCUCCUAGUUCCUCCACAUCUCAGGGUAUUUCCCUCACUGACAGUGAGUAUGAUGACUAUCUCCGCUAUUAGGCCACCAAGUCAACUUCUGUUGCUUCUAUUGCCUAGACUGGUAAUGCUUUUACUUGUCUUACCCACACAUCUUCUCUUAGAUCUUGGAUUCUAGAUUCUGGCGCUUCUGAUUACAUAUCUGGUAAUAAGGAUCUUUUCUCUUCUAUUACUACUACCUCUGCCUUACCUACUGUUACUUUAGCUAAUGGUUCCCAAACUAUGGCUAAAGGUUUUGGUAUCGCUCAUCCUCUCCCUUCCCUACCUCUCCAUUUUGUCCUUUAUGCCCCUGAGUGUCCUUUUAAUCUUAUUUCCAUCAGCAAAAUAACUUGCACUCUUAACUGUUCUAUCACUUUCUUUGAUAAAUUUGUGACCUUGUAGGACCGGAGUACGGGGAAGACGAUUAGCAUAGGACGUGAGUCUCAAGGCCUCUAUCACCUCCUCGCCUUCAACUCAUGCAGUUUGCAUUUCCACUGAUGCUCCCCUCCUCAUCCACAGUCGCCUAGGCCACCCUAGUCUAUCCAAGUUCCAGAAAAUGGUCCCUCGUUUUUCAUCUUUGUCGUCGCUUGCGUGUGAGUCCUGUCAGCUUGGGAAACAUACUCGUGUCUCGUUCCCAAAGCGUUUGAAUAAUCGGGCAAAGUCUCCUUUUGAACUUGUCCACACUGAUGUUUGAGGUCCUAUUGGACCGCGUCUACUUUAGAAUUUCAGUAUUUUGUCACUUUCAUUGAUGACUAUUCUCGAUGUACUUGGUUAUUUUUAAUGAAAAAUCGAGCUGAGUUAUUCUCUAUUUUCCAGAAAUUUUAUGCUGAAAUCCAAACCCAGUUCAAUAUUUCUAUUCGUGUGUUGCGCAGUGACAAUGCCAAUGAAUAUUUUUCUGCACCAUUUACUUCAUUUAUCUCCCAACAUGGGAUCAUUCAUCAGUCUUCUUGUGCUCAUACUUCUUAACAAAAUGGGGUAGCUGAACGUAAGAAUCGACAUCUUGUUGAGACAACUCGUACUCUCCUUCUCCAUAGUAAUGUUCAUUUUCGUUUUUGGGGGGACGCUGUUCUUACAGCAUGUUAUUUGAUUAAUCGUAUGCCCUCAUCUGUAUUACACGAUCAGAUUCCUCAUUCCCUUCUUUUCCCUGACCAACCACUUUAUUUCCUUCCUCCACGUGUUUUUGGUUGUACUUGCUUUGUUCAUAUUCUCACUCUUGAACAAGACAAACUUUCUGCCAAAGCCACAAAAUGCAUCUUUUUGGGAUAUUCCAGAUUUCAAAAGGGUUAUCGUUAUUAUUUCUCUAAGACUCAUCGCUACUUUCUCUCCACUGAUGUCACUUUCUUUGAGGACUCACCGUUUUUUUCCACCUCUAAGUCUCUUCCUGUUUCUGAAGUCUUACCCCUUCCCAUUAUCUCCCCACUUGAUGCAGUGCCUUCUCGCCCACUUCAGGUUUAUCAUCGCCGUCAUCGUGUCGCUGUUCCUCCUUCUUUGGCCGAGGUACUUGCUGACUCACUUCCUAUCCCUUCGGUUUCUCCUGCCCCGGCUCUGCCUCCUUUUGCUGACUUACCCAUUGCUUUUCGGAAAGGUAAUCGAUUUACUCGUAAUCCUCAUCCCAUUUACAAUUUUUUGAGUUACCAUCGAUUAUCUUCACCCUAUUCUGCAUUUGUUUCUGCUAUAUCUUCUGUUUCUCUUCCCAAGAGUACCCUUGAGGCUCUUUCCCAUCCAAGCUGGCGACAGGCAAUGGUAGAUGAAAUGGCUGCUUUACACUCCAAUGACACUUGGGAUCUUGUUGUUUUACCCUUUGGUAAAUUUACAGUUGGUUGUCGUUGGGUUUACAUAGUUAAGGUUGACCCUGAUGGUCGGGUUGAUUGCCUUAAGGCCCGCUUAGUUGUUAUACUCAAGUUUAUGGUUCUGAUUAUGGUGACACUUUCUCUCCUCUUGCCAAGAUAGCUUCUGUUCGUCUAUUGCUCUCCAUGGCUGCUAUGCGUUCUUGGCCUCUUUAUCAGUUAGAUAUUAAAAAUGCUUUCCUUCAUAGGGAUCUUGCUGAGAAAGUUUAUAUGGAGCAACCACCUGGUUUUGUUGCUCAGGGGGAGUCUGGUUUAGUGUGCAGGUUACGCCAUUCUCUAUAUGGCUUGAAACAAUCUCCUCGAGCAUGGUUUAGCCGUUUUAGUUCUGUUGUUCAGGAGUUUGGCAUGUUCCGUAGUACAGCAGACCAUUCCGUUUUCUAUCAUCAUAACUCUUCGGGAUAGUCUAUUUAUCUGGUAGUUUAUGUGGACAUCGUCAUUACAGGCAGUGAUCAGAAUGGUAUUCAGAAACUAAAGCAACGCCUUUUCACCCACUUUCAGACUAAAGACUUGGGGAAACUCAAGUAUUUCUUAGGGAUUGAAAUAGCUCAAUCCAGUUCCGAUGUGGUUCUUUGCCAAAGGAAGUAUGCUUUAGACAUCUUGGAAGAAACCGGUAUGUUAGACUGUAAACCGGUAGACACUCCUAUGAAUCCAAAUGUCAAACUUAUACCAGGACAGGGGGGAGCCUUUAGGAGAUCCUGGGAGAUAUCGGCGACUUGUAGGUAAACUGAACUACCUCACCAUUACUCGUCCAGACAUUUCUUUUCCUGUAAGUGUUGUUAGUCAAUUCCUACAGUCACCAUGUGAUAGCCAUUGGGAUGCUGUAAUCCGCAUUCUUCGAUAUAUCAAAAGCACACCAUGCCAAGGUGUGUUGUACGAGAACAGAGGUCAUACUCAAGUUGUUGGUUACACAGAUGCGAUUGGGCUGACUCACCCACAGAUAGACGUUCCACUUCCGGGUAUUGUGUUUUUAUUGGAGGUAACCUAAUAUCCUGGAAGAAUAAGAAACAAGAUGUAGUGGCCAGAUCUAGUGCUGAAGUCGAGUAUCGAGCUAUGGCUCUGGCAACAUGUGAACUCAUAUGGUUGAAACAUUUUCUUCGGGAGUUGAGAUUUGGAAAGGAUGAACAGAUGAAGCUCAUCUGUGACAACCAAGCCGCUUUGCAUAUUGCAUCCAAUCCAGUCUUCCAUGAAAGGACCAAACACAUUGAAGUUGGUUGUCACUUCAUUAGAGAGAAGAUCGCAUCAAGAUGUGUGGCGACUAGUUUUGUCAAUUCAAAUGAUCAACUAGCAGAUAUUUUUACUAAAUCUCUUAGAAGUCCUAGAAUUAAAUACAUUUGUAACAAGCUUGGUGCAUAUAACAUAUAUGCUCUAGCUUGAGGGGGAGUGUUAGAUGAUGUACAGUUAUUUAGGUUAUUUACUUUUCCUUUUCCUUUUCUUUCCUUAUUGUAUUGUGGGUCCCACUAACAUGUAUAUAUAUACCCAAGUCCAAUGUGUAUUAUUAACAAUUUUUCAAUAACAAAAAUUAGGCAUUCUCCCUUUUCUCUCUUUUUACAAGGACAAUCGACAAAGUUCUUAGCCAUAGGAUUCCAAAUAGAGGUUGAAAAGUCAAUCAUGUUCCUCAACUUUGCAAGUAUUUUCUCUAUCCUUUAAAAUCAUAGUAUUUCAUUAAAUCAAAAUCACAAAUAUGAGCAAGAAAUGCAGAAUGCCAAAGAAUUUUGAUCCUUCACAGCUCCAAAUUUCAAGAUACAGGUACAUGGCCAAAAAGGAUCUCAAUCAUAAGUAGACGACACUUGGACACAAUAUUAUAAAAGAAAAAAAAAGAAAUAAUUGGAUAUCAGUCAAAAGAAAAGUAUCCUUGAUAAAAACUUCCCCUCUUCUAAUUAUCUCAAAUAUUUUCUUUCUUAUCCAUAGGCCACAGGCAUUCUUACGAAAGUUCAUUUUUUUAAACCUCUUUCUUUCUUCAAUAUAAAUAUUUGCUAAGAAAGUUGAAAGUAAGAAACAAAUCAAUUAAAAUCAACAAUAUAUCCAAAAUGUAUUAGUAGUUAUCUAACAAGUAUUUCACACCCACACCUAUGUCCUAUCAUGCCUACAUGAGUAACAUCGGGUGAAGUUGCAAAGUCUGAGUAUCAUAGCUGCAAGGGAAAGAAGGGUACUAAGGGGUCCCUACAAGGAAGAUGGCUUUUUUUUUUUUUUGUUUUUAGGUAAAUAGCUAUUGCUGUUCCUCAAAGAAAGUGACUCAGUAUAAUGUCAUGUUAUCAUGAGAACUUACUGGUUGCACUCAAAUGGAUAGAGGACGCUUAGGUGGUUCCAUAAAUGUCUUUGAAAAUUCAUUUCCUGAGGACCCCAUGACUUUGAUUGCUUAUUUGUUUGAUUAUAGGAAAUGGUUCAAAAAUUCUUUUAUGGGAGAUUUUGAGGGAGGUUAACUGCUUUGCAUCCUUUGUCCUUGACUUUAUGCCCUUUCUAGGGAAAUAUAUAUUCUCAUACUUCUCAUUGUUACAUCAACCCAAAUCUCCAUAUCCAAAACCCUUAUUAAUUUUUCACUGUAAAUUGUCCAAUUAAGAUAUUGGUAAUCUCCCCUAUCCAUAAUCUCUUUGCAACAUAUUUAUUUCUCUCAUUCUUUCCUAGACGAGGGGUGCUGAACAAAUGCUUCUUUUGACAUUUUUCCCUCAAAGUUCUUUUACCAUGCCUUCUUAAAGAGCAAUCUGCCUUGCAUUUUUCCCUAAGUCAAUUUCAUGUAGAAGUCUAAAGCUCCCUUAAAAUUCAAGAGCCUUCACAAUGUUAGCUGCCAAGAAAAAUGCAAAUACCAAUGACUUGCUAAAAAUUGGGACACCUUAUACCACCUCUGAGCAGUGCAUUCCUUGUUUAGGUAGGGGAGAGAUGAUUAAGCAUCUCUUCCUUGUCUGGUUAGACAAGGCGUGCCACAGAGAUUGUUUGGUUUAGCAGGUAUCUCCUGGGAUUCUUCUAGAAGCAUCACAAACAUGAUGUUGAUGGUGUCCUAGGAUUUUGGGAACAAACUGAAGGGUCGAACAAUCUUGCAGGAAGCAAUUCAUGUCAUUCCUUGGGUGAUAUGGACUGAGAAGAAUACAGGGACUUUUUUAAGACCAGUGGAGAACCAUAGAUGCCUAGUGAGAUUCAUCUCAAUACUUAUUUUAUAACAGUAUCUGUUACUAAAGAGUCCAGUGGUAUUCCCAUAAAUAUAACUAUGAUGGAUUAGAGAUGAGUUAGCAGUUACUUGAGAAGGAUAUUUCCUCCUACAGUUUAGGUGGAAACCUACACAUUCUUAAUCUUGAUGGCUGUUCAUUGGACAACUUAGGCCAAUGUAAACUGGUAGUUCAUUUAAAGAUUCUGAGAGCAAGGUGGUUAGGGGUUUUUUUCCCAAGCCAGUUGGAUUUAGCUUGGCCAUUGAAGCAAAGGCCUUUGUGUUACUGAAGGGUUUGCUAGAAGCAGCCCAUUUAAUAAUAUUUUCAGGUGGAACGUGACUUGGUUGAUGUUCUUUCACGGAAUCAUGGGUGCCUCAAGGAAAAAGGGGGCUGUGAAAAAUGGAACCUUGGAUUAAAAAGAUUAUUAACUUCUCAACAAUAGGGAUGUUGUUUUGCUUGGGAGGCUAGAUCCAUACACCAGACAGCAGAUAGAUUGGUCAAAAAGGAGACCCUAUGCUAGAGGCUUUUCUUAAGCUUUUCGUUCAAAGGAAAUCUAUAUGUUUAUGUUGGGGUCUAGUUAGGGUUUUUGGAGGAUAUCUUUUGAUGCCUUCUUGUACGAUUUUGACUUCUUAUUCCCUUUCUUGCUGUGUUUAUCUUUAAGGAUAACUCAUCCUUCCUUGCAAUUGGUUACUUUUCUAUUAAUAGUAUCAAAGAUAGUAUACUAUUUUCGUAGUAGUUGAUGUCUUAAGCAGGAUGUUGAGAGUAGAGGAAAAUGGUAUCUUGGAAGGAUUUCCAAUUAGGGAAUAAGGGUGUCCCACUUGCGAUUUGCAAAUGACACCAAUUUUUUCUCAAGUGCUACUAUGGAAGAUUUGCAAAACCUUAAACUAAUAUUGUUAGUUUUUGGGUACAUUUUAGGUCUUAAGAUCAAUUUAAGCAAGAGCACUUUAUUUGGUAUCAACAUGAGUCAAGAUUAGAUCUCCAGGCUGGUUUUGAUGCUUGAAUGUAAGGUCUUUGAAUGACCUUUAACCUAUUUAGGUCUUCCUCUAAAGGAGCACCCAAAGGCUAUUGAUUUUUGGGAUCUAAUAGUAAAUAAAAUUUUGCAAAGGUUAGAUGGUUAGAUAAAGUGGUUCUGUGUUCAAGUGGACGAAUUAUACUAAUCCAGUCUUGCUUGUCUCGUAUUCCUAGUUAUUUCCUUUUGCUAUACAAGAUCCCAUUAGUAGUGACGAUAAAGAUUGAAAAAAUGUAAAGAGAUUUUUUAUGGUUAGGGACGAGGGAGGAAAAAAGAGAUCAUCUCAUAAGUUGGGCCUAAGUGUGCAAGCGUAAGAUGGAAAGGGUUUGGGACUUGGGAAUUGGGAAGAUUUCUUUAAGGAAUAGAAUACUCUUAGGGAAAUAGCUUCGGAGGUUUCCUAGGAAAAGUGACACUCUUUGGCAUAAAGUAAUUUUGAGUAUCUAUAGUGUUGAAUAUAAUGUAUUUAUAGUGUACAAUCUUUCUUUCAUUUCUUAAUAUAGGUCACAUAUAUGGUAGUUAGUUCAACCUAGCCUUGUAUAUAUAUUUCUCUAUUGUAAGAAGUUAAUCAUAUGAAUGAGAAUUAAGGUUUUCUCUCUCUCUCUCUCUCUCUCUUUCAACAUGGUAUCAGAGCCAAGGGAGAAAGCUUUAUUCUUUCUGGUUUACCUGUGUAAUUAAUUUCGGGAAUUCGUCCAGUGAUCGUAUUUCAUUCCUGUCACCUUUUCCAUUUCCCAAAACUUUCCAGUCAGCCAUAUUGUGGUCAGAAAACCCUCAUCACCAUCAACAUUUUUCCGGAGACUUUUCCGGCGACUUUUUUUUCCGGCGAUAUUUUCCGACACUGACCACAUCAUCAGGAGUGCAAAGAGGAGAUCUGCAACUUUUCUCAAUGCACCGGAGCCAAAAAAUGAUCCACGUGCCUCCCACGCGCCGUUUUUCUCCGGCGGCCUGAAUCCCAUGCGCCAGCGUGUGAGGGCGCGUGACCCACUUUCUGGUGUCGAGCUUCUACCAGCAGGCUCGUCCGGCACCGUCUUGCACUUCUAAGCCUCCGUCAGUCCUCUCCGAACCCUACUUCUCCAUUUUUUUGGCAUUUCAGCCUCCGCGGGUCUUCUUUCAGCCUCCUCCGGCCUCCGACGGUAGCUCCCUUCCUUGGUCGAGACCUGUGUGUGCCUUGGGAAGGCCUCUUCUUCAUCUCCAGUCACUUUUCUCCUUUGUUUGGGUCCCGACAUACCAAGUUCUUUUUCCACAGCUGUGAUCCGACCUCCCUUUAGGGCUCUCUUCGAUCCAAACGUGAUUCAAUCUCAAGUGAAGUGGAUAUGGCAACUAAAAAUCCUAUUUUUACAUCUGUCAUCUUUGGAUCUCCUACUAUCACAUUGGAAAAAUUGAUUGGUAGUGAGAAUUAUCUCUCCUGGUCAGCGUCCGUGGAACUUUGGUUUAUGGGACAAGGUUAUGAGGAUCAUCUUGUUACACCUGAUGUUGACAAAGUGCAAUGGAAGAAAAUCGAUGCACAAUUAUGCAGCGUAUUAUGGCAAUCUGUUGAUCCCAAAACUUUACAUCAUCUUCAUGCCUACAAAACCUGCUUUAAAUUUUGGACUCAGGCUAAAGGAUUAUACACGAAUGAUAUUCAACGAUUUUAUAAGGUGGUUUAUGAUAUUGUUCAUGUGAGACAGUAGGACAUGGAUCUGUCUACUUAUAUUGGCUGAAUUGCAUCUCUUAAGGAGGAGUUCUUAACUUUGAUGCCCUUCACUAAUGGUGAUGAAGCUCAACAAAUACAGACUGCCAAAUUUUUUAUGGUGUUAACCCUCAUUGGCCUCCGUCUAGAUCUUGAGUCUAUCCGAGAUUAGAUUCUUGCUAGUCCAUCAGUACCAUCAUUAGAUGAUGUGUUCGCUCGUCUCUUACGCCUUUCCUCUACUCAGACCUUGUCGACUGAUGGUCCUUCAGAUUCAUCUGUGUUAGUCUCUCAGACUAACUCUUGAGGAGGACGUAGUGGCAAUCGGGGUUGAGGACAACGUCCUCAAUGCACCUAUUGUAAUAAGCUUGGUCACACUCGAGAUCGUUGCUAUCAGUUACAUGGACGACCUUCUCGCACUGCCCACAUUGCUCAGUCAUCUGAUCCUCUACUAUCUCAACCUGACUUUGUUGCGAGCUCCACAUCUCAAAGUAUCACCCUUACUGGUAGUGAUUAUGAUGCCUAUCUCCAAUAUCAGGUAGCCACAUCAGCUUCUGUUGCCUAGACCGGUAAUGUCUCUGUCUGCUUUACUCAGUCUCCUUCUCUUGGCCCAUGGAUUCUAGAUUCUGGAGCAUCUGAUCAUAUCUCUGGUAAUAAACACAUUUUCUCCUCUAUUACUACUACCUCUGCCUUACAUAUUGUUACUUUAGCUAAUGGUUCCCAAACUAUGGCUAAAGGUAUUGGUUUGGCUCAUCCUCUCCUUUCCCUACCUCUCCAUUCUAUCCUUUAUGCCCCUGAGUGUCCUUUUAAUCUUAUUUCCAUCAGCAAAAUAACUUACACUCUUAACUGUUCUAUCACUUUUUCUGAUAAAUCUGUGAUCUUGCAGGACCGGAGUACGGGGAAGACGAUUGGCAUAGGGCGUGAGUCUCAAGGCCUCUAUCACCUCACAUCACCUUCAUCUCUUGCAGCUUGCAUUUCCACCGAUGCUCCUCUUCUCAUUCACAGUUGUCUGGGUCAUCCUAGUCUCUCCAAGUUCUAGAAGAUGGUCCCUCGUUUUUCCACUUUGUCGUCUCUUGCGUGUGAAUAGUGUCAGCUUAGGAAACAUACUCGUGUCUCGUUCCCAAAGCGUUUGAAUAAUCGGGCAAAGUCUCCUUUUGAACUCGUCCACAAUGAUGUUUGGGGUCCGUGUCGGACCGCAUCUAAUUUAGGAUUUUAGUAUUUUGUCACUUUCAUUGAUGACUAUUCAAGAUAUACUUGGUUAUUUUUAAUGAAAAAUCGAGCUGAGUUAUUCUCUAUUUUCCAGAAAUUUUAUGCUGAAAUCCAAACACAAUUCAAUGUUUCUAUUAGAGUGUUACGCAGUGACAAUGCUCGGGAAUAUUUUUCUACAUCCUUUACUUCUUUUAUGUCCCAACAUGGGAUCCUCCAUUAGUCAUCUUGUACUCAUACUCCUCAACAAAAUGAGGUUGCUGAACGUAAAAAUCGACAUCUUGUUGAGAUAGCUCGUACCCUCCUUCUCCAUAGUCAUGUUCCUUUUCGUUUUUGGGGGGAUGUUGUUCUUACAGCCUGUUACUUGAUUAAUCGUAUGCCCUCAUCUAUAUUACAUGACCAAAUCCCUCAUUCCCUCUUUUUUCCUACCCAACCUCUUUAUUUCCUUCCUCCUCGUGUCUUUGGUUGUACUUGUUUUGUUCAUACUCUCAUACCUGGACAGGACAAGCUCUCCGCCAAGGCUAUGAAUGCAUCUUCUUGGGAUACUCUCGACUUCAGAAGGGCUAUUGUUGUUAUUCCCCUGACACUCAUCGUUAUUUUCUCUCCGUUGAUGUCAUCUUCUUUGAGGACUCUCUAUUCUUCUCAUCCUCUGAAUCUCUUCCCAUUUCUAAAGUAUUGUCACUUCCCUAUAUAUCCCUUCCUUUAGAUGCGCUCUCUCGUCCUCUUCAGGUUUAUCAUCGUCGACAUCGUGCUAUUGCUCCUCCUCUCUCUUCAGUUGAGGUACCUGAUGACUCACCUCCUGUCCCACCGAUUUCUCCUACCCCGGCCCUAUCAUCUACUGACCAUUUGCCUAUUGCUCUUUGGAAAGGUAAUCGAUCUACUUGUAAUCCUCAUCCUAUUUAUAAUUUUUUGAGCUACCAUCGAUUAUCUUCAUCCUAUUCUGCCUUUGUCUCUACUUUAUCCUCUGUUUCUCUUCUUAAGAGCACUAGUGAGGCACUUUCUCAUCCUGGGUGGCGAUAGGCAAUGGUUGAUGAAAUGGCUGUUCUGCACUCCAAUGACACAUGGGAUCUUGUUUCUUUACCUCCUGGUAAAUCUACAGUUGGAUGUCGUUGUGUCUAUAUUGUUAAAGUUGGUCCUAAUGGUCAGGUCGAUCACCUUAAGGCCCGCUUGGUUGCCAAAGGUUAUACUCAGAUUAAUGGUUGUGACUAUGGUGACACCUUUUCUCCUGUUGCCAAGAUUGCUUUUGUUUGCUUAUUUCUCUCCAUGGCAGCUAUGUGUCAUUGGCCUCUUUAUCAGUUGGAUAUUAAGAAUGCUUUCCUUCAUGGUGAACUUCUCGAGGAAGUGUAUAUGGAGCAACCACCUGGUUUUGUUGCUCAGGGGGAGUCUGGUUUAGUGUGGAAGUCACGCCACUCUCUAUAUGGCUUGAAACAGUCUUCUCGGGCAUGGUUUGGGCGUUUUAGUUCAGUUGUUCAAGAGUUUGGAAUGCUUCAGAGUGAAGCAGAUCAUUCAGUUUUCUAUCAUCAUAACUUUUCAAGCCAGUGCAUCUAUUUGGUAGUUUAUGUGGAUGACAUUGUCAUUACAGGCAGUGAUCAGGAGGGUAUCCAAAGACUAAAGCAACACCUUUUCAACCACUUUCAAACCAAAGACUUGGGCAAACUCAAGUACUUUCUAAGACUUGAAAUAGUUUAAUCCAGUUCAGGUGUGGUUAUGUCACAAAGGAAGUAUGCCUUAGACAUCUUGGAAGAAACAGGUAUGUUAGAAUGUAAACCUGUUGACACUCCUAUGGAUCCAAAUGUCAAACUUGUAACAGGACAGGGGAAGCCUCUAAGAGAUCUUGGGAGAUAUUGACGACUUGUAGGCAAACUGAACUACCUCACCAUCACUCGGCCAGACAUCUCUUUUCCUGUGAGUGUGGUUAGUCAAUUUCUACAAUCACCAUGUGACAACCAUUGGGAUGCUAUGAUCCGCAUUCUUCGAUAUAUUAAAGGAACACCAGGCCAAGGUAUGUUGUAUGAAGAUAGGGGUCAUACCCAAAUUGUUGGUUACACGAUGCAGACUGGGCUGGUUCACCCUCAGAUAGGCGUUCCACCUCAGGGUAUUGUGUUUUUAUUGGAGGUAACUUAAUAUCCUGGAAGAGUAAGAAACAAGAUGUAGUGGCCAGAUCAAGCGCCAAAGCUGAAUAUCGAGCUAUGGCUUUGGCAACAUGUGAACUCAUAUGGUUGAGGCAACUCCUUCAGGAAUUGAGAUUUGGAAAAGAUGAACAAAUAAAGCUAGUCUGUGACAAUCAGGCCGCAUUACAUACUGCAUCAAAUCUAGUUUUCAUGAAAGGACCAAGCAUAUUGAAGUUGACUGUCACUUCAUUAGAGAGAAAAUCGCAUCAGGGUGUGUUGCUACAAGUUUUGUUAAUUCAAAUGAUCAACUAGCAGACAUCUUCACUAAAUCUCUCAGAGGUCCUAGGAUUAAAUAUAUUUGUAACAAGCUUAGUGCAUAUGACAUAUAUGCUCCAACUUGAGGGGGAGUGUUGAAUAUAAUGUAUUUAUAGUGUACAACAUUUCUUUCCUUUCUUAAUAUAGGUCAUAUAUAUGAUAGUUAGUUCAACCUAGCCUUGUAUAUAUAUUUCUCUAUUGUAAGAAGUUAAUCAUAUGAAUGAGAAUUAAGGUUUUCUCUCUCUCUCUUUCAACAUAUAGGAUUCAUCCAAAUGGUUGGAACACCAGCAUUCUAGUUAGGUGGUCACAUAGAUGCCCUUAGAAGGCCAUUGCUCAAGUUUUCUAAGAUUUCAUUGGUCAUACUCGUUUUGUGAUAAGCGAUGGAGCAAGGAUCCACUUCUAGGAAGGCUUAUGGUGGGGGAUCAACCUCUAUACUCUCAAUUUCGAAAUCUUUUCAGAGUUGUGAUGAUUAGAAAUUCUUCUAUCUCAUAUGUUCUUGCAACCUCCCAUCCUUUAUUUUUCUUGGAAUCUUAUCUUUCAUUUUAAUCUCACUAAUGUGGAGAUAGGAUUUGAAAAGACUAAUUUCUUCUCUCUUUUGUGAGCAUUUGAUUCCAUCUAUCCUUGAUAAGAGAGCUUAAUCUUUAUAUUUUUCAAGUAUAUUUCACUAAAAUCCUUCCUUUUAGUCGUGUCCACUCUACUAGUUUCUAUUUAUUUCUCUAUCAAAAUUCAUUUGGCAAUCUAAAAUCCCAUCUAAGGUCAAGUUCUUUGCCUGGUCAACACCAAUGACUUGCUUCCGGUGAGAAAACCUCACAAAAUCCUUAGUCCUCACCAUCGCACUAGGCAUAUGAUGAAUGACGGGAUGAUUGCUCAUCAUUUUUUAUACUGAUCAACGACUAUGGUGCUUUGACAUAGAUUGUUCAAUGUGGUCAGGCUAGAUUAGGUUCCUCUAGGGGGCAUAAGUGAUAUGAAGACCAUUUCCUUUACAGGCAUGGCUUGGGAAGUACAAGUAGAGGCAAAACCCUUUAGAAAAGCCCAUGCCUCAAUUUGAUUUGGAUAUAGUAUGGUGGGAAAGAUAUGCAAGGAUUUUCAAGGAUAAAUGGAGAAGUAUAGAAUCGAAAUGAGACAUAAUUUACUUUUAUUCCUCUUUUAGGCCUCAACAACUUCAGAUUUCAAGGGCACUCCUCUUAGUAUUCUUCAGCUCAAUUGGAACUUGGUAUGUAAAUCGAGGUUUUAAUACAACAUAUCUUGGAGCAAUGCUUUGACCUCCUUUUGUAGCUGCAUUGAUUUCUUAGGAGGUUUUGAAUAGAACCUCUUUUCUUUUGUGCAGUGUGUGGUAUGUAAGUGUCUUAUUUUAUAUAUAUAGGCUUGUUACACAUUACAAAAGCAAAAAUAAACAGGACUCAAAUAUAAAAUGCAAAUGAUAGAACAAAGUGUCACAACCAGUAUUGUUGUUCAAGUGCACCCUCAUAGUUCAAUAGUGAACAUGUAGAUUAGUGGUGGAGUUAGAAAUUUGUUUUAUACAGGGCAGAGAUAAGGAAUAUAUUUCCAGUGUGAUGGGUUGGGAAAAAAUAAAUCAAAUUUCUAUUGUGGCUUGAUGAUAGCCACCUUAACCUCUUCAUGAAAGGCAAAGGAUCAAAUCUCAUUUUAGGACUGUUUUGGUUUUCAUUUUUCUCUCGGCACCAUGUGGCUCCGCCACUGAUGUAGAUCAUCAGCUGAAAUAGGUUCACCAUGAGUUGUGACUGAGUUUAUGAAGGAGUCAUGUUUUGUGCUAAUUCAACAUGAAUAUGCAAGAACAAAAUCUUCUUGAGAUAUGGGUUGGGUAGCUGCAAUAAGGCUAUUUGCAAUAGUUUUCAUUUUUAAUAGAUAUUCAAUGAUACAAAGAGUUUGAUUUCCUGUAAUUGUAAACAAAGAAGCUUGAUGUGAGCAUAGUUGAAAGUACCAGGUAACAAUGUAGUGUUUGAUGAAGGAACCACCAUUGUUGAGGAAUUGAGGUUGACUUGAACAGAGAAGAUGAAGAUGCAGCAAUGAUAUUGAGGCAUUAGAGUAGUAAAGACAAUAAUUUGAUGAAGAUAAUUUCUCCACUUCUCUUUUUGGAGACUAUAUUUAGAUUGUGUCACACUAUAAUUGAUCUCUCUACCGGGCUUUAUUAGAGAAUCAUAUAUCGCAUAUAUAGUUUCCACACAUUAUUCUAGUAUAAAUUUAAUAGGAUUUAAAUACAAAAAACCCAUAAUAAAACAUAAACAAAUUCCUUGGAGAAAUACAUAUACUUAUCCUUACUUGGUGUGUGUGAAUUCUCAUCCUUGUUUGGUGUGGCUGAAUCCUUAUCCUUAUUUUAUGUAUUGUGUGUUUGUGUGUAUAAAUGUGUGCAUGCACUUACAUGUGUAUGACCUAUAUCUGGAAUCUACCUUGAGGUCACCUAAAAUUCUACUGAUUGCACUUUUUUGAAUAUGACAAUUGUAAUGUCCUCAUAACAUAGAUGUAGCAUGUUUCCUAUAUUAAAUCAUUGUAGAGUUAAAGUUAUAAGCUUUUGUAUGUUUGGCUUAUGAGCCCUAACAAAGAGAUUUUUCUCUUUUAUUUCCUAUAUAUUACUCGUUUAUUAAAAGAAACUAUGGAAUAUUUUCAUCCAUUUAUUCCUCUAAUAGGUUUAUACAGUAUGAUGAUAAUUAAAUUGUACAUACAAACCUCUUCUUCUUCUUUUUCCCUUAACAAAUACAUAUAUCUAUUUAUAUGAUUUUGGCACUCAUAUUUGUACAACUAAUGGUCCUAAAAUGCGUUUGUGGAGGGUAGACAAAUAUUGGAUGUAGUGUUUGUUGCCAAGGAAGCCAAUAAUUCGAUUUUGAAAAGCAAUGUUGGCACGAUUUUGAGCAAACUUGACAUAGAGAAGGCUUACGAUCAUGUGGACUGGUCCUUCCAGAUUUCAGUCUUGGAAAAUAUGGGUUUUGGGGAGAAGUAGAUCAGGUGGAUUAAGUGGUGUAUAUCCACUACCAGUUUUUUUGGCUUUUUCCAAAGCUCUAGGAGCCUAAGGCAAGGAGACCCUUCGCCUUAUUUGUUUGUGAUUACUAUGGGAGCUCUUAGUUGCCUCCUAAAGAGAGCUGUAAGCAGGGGUUAUUUGUCGGCUUGUUAGGUGAAGGGUAGAGGUGGAGGGUUGAGAUCUCCCACUUGUUGUUUGCAAAUGAUACGUUGGUUUUUUGUUAGGCUUCUCAGUACCAGAUGACUUAUUUAUGAUGACCGCUUAUAUGGUUUGAGGCUAUUUCAGGGUUGAGAGUUAACUUGGAUAAAAGUGAGUUAAUUUCAAUGGGAAGUGUGGCUAAUGUGGAGGAUUUGGCUUCAAAGCUUGGUUGUAAGUGGGAAGCUUACCCUCCACUUACUUGGGGAUGUCGUUGGGUGCUCUUUUCAAGUCUAUGGCAGCUUGGGAUGGAGUAGAAGAGAGGUUUCGUAACAAAUUGACUAUGUGGAAGAGAUUAUAUAAUGCCAACGGAGGGAGAAUUACCUUGAUAGGAAGCACUUUGUUGAACCUACCUAUUUAUUUUAUGUCUAUCCUUUAUAGCCAAGUAUGGUCAGAUUAAGGUUUGAGGAAAUUCAAAGGGAUUUUUUGUGGGGAGGUGGGGCUUUAGAGCGAAAACCUCAUCUAGUAAGAUGGGUGACCAUUUGCUAGAUAAAGGAAAAUGAGGGAUACCUUUCUAUGACGAUGUCAACAUCUGCUUUGCUCUUGGGACCAUACAUGAGGACUCUUGUGAGGCUUAAUAUGUCCCGGUAAUCACCCAUUUUAUGCACUUCAUCAGAAUCCCGAGAAGGUGAGUUCUCUUCAAGUGUAGAAAACAAAUUUGGUGUGCUAAUCAAAGGUUCUGGAACCUUUGGUGCAAGCUUUGCCUCUGCAUCAAGUUUAAUGCAAAUAAUAGCCAUUGCGUAUGCAACUCCUCCAAACCCUGUAUGUGAGACGAAAAGAUAACAACCUGCAGAGCUGUAAAUAAAAGUUAUUAUAGUUCUUGACAUCAUUUUCGGGUUGAAAAUAUAAUUUCAGAAAGGAAAUUUUUCUAAAAUGAUGCUAAAAGAAUGCUCUCUCCUUAAAAAUUAUUGACUAAUUUAUGCAUUAGUCAAUCCUCAAAAAUGCCAAGAUCAAUACCCAAACCCAAAGUAACAGUUUGAUCAAUUUCCAUCAACAUCCGCAACUUUAGAAAAAGAAAGAUGUCCUUGCCAUAACAAUUUGGACAAAAAGACUAGCAGAAUUAUCAGAUCCCUUUUACCCUUUAGGGAGGAUAACUUUUGCACUUAAAAAUUUCAAAACCAUAAAGAGUAUUUUGAAAUUGGGAAUUUUAAUCUUCUUGUACCAUGUACAAAACAAUGUUCCUGACAUCUAUCCAUCCGAUUUUUCUUAUUUGAAGAAUCAAAAGCUAUGGCAAUUUGGUAUCAACGCAAGUUCUGAACUUCUAGAAAAAAAAAUGAUUUAUCCCCACAAAUAUGUGAAAAAACAAAAAAGAUUAUCAAAUACAUUAACAUUAAUUGUUCUUAUAGAAUUAAAUUAACCUUUGGCAAAUGCAAUGCUGCAGCUACAAACUAUUAUAUUUAAAGAUUGAUUGCUAAAGAUGAUGGGGAUAAAUCUCCAAAAUCUACUCAAGAAGAAAUAAAAGGAAAUAAUGAAAUCCGAAAUUACUCUAUCAAGGUGUUUAGGCAAUUUUGAAUCGUUUUAGGUUCUUUACUGUCAUAGCUGAUUAAUACUUGGUAUUUGAGCUGCAUUUAGAAUUGGGAAGUUUAUUUAUUGGAAAUUUCCUUACAAGAAGUUUCUAUAUUUCUACACUUUCUAAUUUUUUUUUUUUUAAAAAGGAAUUAUUUUUUUUCUUGAAGUUUCUAUUUUGAGUCCCUAGAAUCUAGAAUUUUCUUUAUUAGAAACCUUUAUUACAAGAAGUUUUUAUAAAGUUUCUAAUUUUGAAAGAAAAGUCUCUAUUUUCUUUUAAUUUCAUUAUUUAGAAGUUUAGAAGUUUUAAGAAAGAAAUAAGAGUCCUAUUAAGUUAAUAUGUAGGUUAGGUUUCUUUUUUCAUAGUUUUACUAAGUUUUUCGGGUUUUCUAAAGCUUAUAAAUAAGGCUAAUUGACAUAAAACAAGAUUAAUGAUUGAUGAUGAAUAAUAUUAAGUUUUUUGCAUACCUUGCAACUUUCAAUAGUGAGACUGCAUUGAUCUUCCUUAUCUUAAAAGGUCUUAUUAAGACUCUAAAGUUUCUUCUAUUUCUUCUUUAUCUUUUUUUUUUUUUUUUGUUAUCUUUUAUUUUAUUUUAUUUUUCCCCUUGUUAUACUCUUAUUCUUGUUUCCCUCCUGAACUUUUAAUAGAUUGAAACUCUAGCGAUGAAGAUAAAGAUGUUAAACUACACUUACAUUAGGUGUAAAUAUAGGAAGCGAUAGAUUUUGUUAUUUAUUAUUUAUUAAUUAUUGAUAAUGUUUUAUUAGAGUUAGGAUUCUUCUAAUCAGUUUCCUACUAGAGUUAGAAUUGUCUAUCUAUAUAUAGGCACAGUGAUGUUAACUACAUGAGACUUUUCUGAUUAAUAAUUUUCAUAAUUUCUUUGCAAUCUCUCUCUUCUACUUCUAUUCAUUCUUUUCUCUAUACUGUUCUGCAUCAUUUCGUAUCAAAUCUCUACUGUUCGACAUCACCAAGCCUCCCUUAUUUGAUUGUAGACCACCAUCCUAGGGUUGUACUACAUCAUAAGAUGACAUGUUCAACUAGCAAAGUGAAACAAACGUGUAAAGAUAGUGUAGACUUCUAGGUUCUCCAAAUAUUUGAUUCCAUGGAUUGGGACAUUGCAAUACAGGCACACUUUGAGGUUGAGUUUUCUACUUGGGGAAAUAUGGUAGGACUAUUUACAUGUAAUCAUGGGAAAUGCAAUAGAACUAAAAUUAGGAUUUGUUUUAGUAAGUAUUUUAAUUCUAACAGAAGCUUAUUCCAUUCAAGUUUUAUUUAUGAAUAUUUUGUACAUGGAAAGAGGUAAAUUUCCAAAUGCAUUGGGGUUUAAGUUUAGAAGGUACUAGAAAUAGUUUAUUCUGAUUGUCAUCCAAAUAAUAAAUGGGUAUUAGAUUAGGUGUCUUUUGGCAUGCUUGGAGUAUGUAUUAGAUUAGAUGUAUGUAUAACUAAUACAUACAUCUAACUGAAAUAAAAGGCUAAAAUAAUGCUUGAAGGGUGAAUGCCAGAUUUUGAUGAAUAAAAUUUAUUAAAUAUAUGUUUGGCUCAAUGAUCAUGAAACUAGCAUGCCAAAAGGCUCAAGUUGAGCUUGUCUAUGCUUGACACUCUGAAGUCAAGUCUAGGCCAAACUAAAUUUUUUAAAAUUAAUCCUCAAAGGGUACUAUAAUAAUUUCAUCCUGUAUAAAUAUUUAAGAAGAAAACAAUCCACAGAGAGAGAGCUUUUUGCCCUUUCUCUAACCCUGUCCUGACUUCAGCCCCAUUUCCUUCCAAAGUUCAGCAGUAAACAUGACUCUCCCUCUCCCAAGCCUACACCACAGGUUGCAAAAAGCUCUCUCUCUCUCUCUCUCGCUCUCCCUGAAUUGUUUUCUUCUUCUUUCUCUUCCUUAUUUCCCAUUGGGGAACUGUCUUCAUCUUAUUUCAAAGAACCAUGCAAGGUAUAUCACCUACUUUAAGAGUUGGUAAAGAGGAACAAUUUACAUACAUGGGUUUGUUGGCACAAUUACAUCACCUGAUCCAACAGCUGGUUCAGAACUAUGCAAGUUGCAACACCUACUACAGUGAUUGGUCAAAACCAACAACUUCUGAAGCUAAAGCUUUUAAUAUAGAAAUUAGUUUAAAAGCUUCCCUUUUAAUGUACAAAUUACUUUCAAUGUAGAAACUAGGAAUUGAUACUUACUCAUCUUUACAGUACUGGAUUGCAUCAACAUCUGAAGCUAAAGCUUCCCUUUCUCUUGUUAAUGGUAUCCUUCUAUGUGCUAUAUUAUACCCCUCAUCUUUCAGAGCGGCAUAUACUUCAGCAGGCGUCUUGACAUCAUCCACAAAGAUGUUCUCCCAGUAUCCUAUGACACUGCACUGAUUUAAAGCAGGGCUAUAUUCUUCACGAUGUAAAAGCAUUCGGCCGCCAGACUGUCUGACCUCAGAUAAUAUGUCUUCCUUCAACCGUGCCUCCAUGUGUUCCACCUGCAAAAUGUUUACAAAAGGAAAGUCAGGAAUAUAUUUGGCCUAAAUUACUCCUUAGAAUAAAUUGAAUGUGAUGACAAUGACACACCACUGGACCAGUAAUUCCCACAUGCUUGAGUGUAUCAACAGGUUUAUUUAGUUCCCUAAGGACAAAGGGUGUGCCAUUAAUGUAAACAACUGCCUCUUCUCUCAAAUCAGUUAAUAUCACUUUCUGAUGAAAACUUCCUUCUGCAAUGGGCUUGGCACCUAAAUAGGCUAACAUCUCUUUAGCACCAGUAAUAGUUGGAGUUGCCAUGCUAUACACAGGGUAUCCAUCCACCUGAAACAUAUGAAAAUUUUAGGCCACAAAAAAAGUGCAGUAUGCAGUUUAUCUCCUCAUAACAAGACAAGAUUCUAAGAAAAGGGAGUAGAAUACAAUCACAUGUUAAAUCUUUAGGCGAAAAAAGAAGAAGCAGAAAUAACAUAUAAACAAAGGCUCAGAAGUGACAUUUUAUGAACUUUAUCUCCUCACAAGAAGAUGAGCUUCUAAGCAAGUCUCCUUCUCUCUCUCUCUCUCUCUCUCUCUCUAUAUAUAUAUAUAUAUAUAUAUAUAUUUAAGUUCAAAAGUAACAUUUUAUGAUGAAGUUCAUCUCCUCACAACAAGAUGUGUUUCUAAGGAUGUCUCUUUCAAUUUCUAUCUCUCUCUAAUGCAAUACUCAAGUGCACCAUCAAUUUUAUACAUCUAUUAAGCUAAGGCCCAACCUGUACCCUUUGACCAAGCUAAGACCACACCCCAACCUGUACUUUUAGCCACCCUACAUAUGUAGACCUCUCUCCCUCUCUUCUCUGUUGGAAAAAUAUAAUCUUCUUAUUAUUUCUUUGAAAAAUUAGUACAAAUAUAUAUACAACUUUCAAACUUAUACAAUAAAUGGAAAUAGAAUAAGAUAGUUGACCUAUUUCUAAAAUUCCUCCUACAAAUCUUCUAAAUUACAAUUUCCCUAAUUUACAUAGUCAACUAACCUAAAUAUGCACAAAAUCAGGAAUAAAUCAAAUAAACUCCAUGAAAUCAAGAAUAAUUAUUGGAUUCUAACACUCCCCUCAAACUGGUUCAAAGAUAUCUUUCAUUCCCAACUUGCUAACCAUAGAGUUGAAUGUAGGAUUUUGAACUCCCUUUGUGAAGACAUCAGCUAGUUGUAGUUUGGAUGCAACAAAUGGAGUGCAAAUCAAUCCACUAUCAAUCUUUUCUUUAAUGAAAUGUCUACCAAUCUUAACAUGUUUAGUCCUAUCAUGUUGUACUGGGUUGUGAGCAAUGUUGAUUGUAGACUUGUUACCACAAUAUAGUCUCAUGGGAUUCUCAAGAUUAACUUGUAGUUCCCUCAAUAAACCCUUUAGCCACAUGAGUUCACAAAUGCCAAGGGCCAUGGCUUGAAACUCCGCUUCAGCACUAGACCGAGCAACUACAUGUUGCUUUUUGCUUCUCCAAGUAACCAAGUUGCCACCCAUAAAAGUACAAUACCCUAAAGUAGAUCUUCUAUCAGUAAUAAAACUUGUCCAAUCUGCAUCUGUGUAAGCCUCAACUCUAAGGUGAUUGUUCUUUGAGAACAAUAAACAUUUUCCUAGCGUUGACUUCAGGUACCCCAAGAUUCUCAAGAGUGCAUCCAUAUGCUAUAUCUGGUCUUGUGUGGGAUAAAUAAAUUAAUCUCCCAACAAGUCUUUGAUAUCACCUUUUGUCAACUACUAUUCCUUCAGUGAUGGUGCCUAAUUGAUGAUUUUGAUCAAUAGGUGUACCCGCAAGUUUACAUCCUAGCUUCCUGGUUUCAUUUAGCAAAUCAAGGAUAUACUUCCUUUGAGUAACAUAAAUUCCCCUUUUUGAUCUUGCCACCUCAAUGCCAAGAAAAUAUCUUAAAUUUCCAAGAUCUUUGAUUUCAAAUUCUUUUGCCAACUUUCCCUUAAGAUUCUACAUCUCUUCUACGUCAUUUCCAGUGACAAUUAUGUCGUCUACAUAAACAAUUAGUGUAAUAAUCUUUUUUUUAGGUGAUUGAUUGAUGAAAAGGGUAUGAUCUCUUUGGUUUUGGUGAUAGCCAAAUUUGAGCAAAGACUUAGCAAAUCUCUCAAACCAUGCCUGAGGAGACUGCUUCAAACCAUACAAUGAUUUCUUCAAUCUACAAACCUUUCCACCACUGAAUUUUCCUUCAAAACCAGGAUGCAAAUCCAUAAAUACUUCUUCUUCCAAGUUCUCAUGCAAAAAGGUAUUUUUUACAUCAAAUUGUUGUAGAGGCCAAUCAAGAUUUGCCACUAAGGAUAAAAGAACUCUAAUCGAAUUCAUCUUUGUCACAGGUGCAAAAGUUUCUUUGCUCCUAACCUAGAUUUAUAACUCUCAAUCGAACCAUCAACUUUGUAUUUUAUAGUGAACACCCAAUUGCAUCCCAUUGGUUUUUUUUCUUUAGGCAAAUCAACAAUAUCUCAUGUUUCAUUUUUAUACAAGGCUUUCAUCUCCUCAUUUAUAGCUUCAUUCCACCUAAGAUCACUUAGAGCCUCUUGUACAUUUUUAGGAACUAAAUCUGAAGACAAAUGAGUGGUAAAGGCCUUAGAUUGGUGGCAAAGUCUAUGAUAGGAUAGGAAGUUUGACAAAGGAUGUUUAAUACAACUUCUAGCACCUUUGCAAAUAGCUAUAGAAAUAUCAAGAUCAGUGUCAAAACCAUGAUUAAGAAGAGAGGGAUUAGAAGGAUUAGAUGUACCUAAUUUUGGAGUUGAUGAUUGGUCAUGUGUAAGAGAUUGGGUCUUGCUCUUGCAUUGGUAGCCUUAGCCUCCUAGUGUAAACCAUCAAGUUUGAAUCAGCAUUUUCUGCUACUGCUGGUUUUAUGAUGUCGAUUUCUUUUUUUGUCGUUGGUUGUAUGAUGCCUAUCUCCUCUACAUCACCAUGUUCAAUAGCAUUUUCUACUACUAUUGGUUUUAUGAUGUCGGUUUCUUUUCGUGAUGUUGGUUGUAUGUUGUUUACCUCCUCUACAUCACCAUGUUCAAUAGUACGACUCCAGAUAGGUAAAGGAAGCAUCCAAGACUAAUCUUCUUGUAAUAUUUUCUCCUCCUGAAGAUUAGAUUUCUAGUAAUAGGGUUGGUUUUCAAAAAAACUUACAUUCAUAGAGUCAAAUUUCCUUUGUGUAAGUGGAUGAUAGCACUUGUACCCUUUUUGUGUGGGGGAAUAGCCCAAAAAAAUACACUUAGUCGCUUUGGGAUCAAGUUUGGAUCUAUUUUUAUAUAGGAUAUGGACAAAUAUAAUACAACCAAAACUUUGGGUGGAAGGGAGCCAAGGCAAUUUAUGUGAGGUAGGUGGUGUUUUAGGAUGUCUAUUUGAGUCUUGGAGUUUAAGCUUUUUGUGGGCAUCCUAUUGAUAAGGUAGGCAGCUAGCACCGCAUCUCCCCCAAAAAAAUUUAGGAACAUUUCUAGCAAAUAUUAAGGCUUUAGCUACUUCCAACAAAUGCCUAUUCUUCUUUUCAACUACCCCAUUUUGUUGAGGAAUACUUACACAAGAGGUUUGAUGAAUAAUCCCAUUCUCCAAGAAAUAAUUUCCAAGGGUUUGGUUUAAAUACUCCCCUCCAUUAUCCGACCUCACAACUUGCAAUUUUGCAUUAAACUAGGUUCGGAUCAUUUGAUGGAACUGUUUAAGAGUGAGGAUAGUAUCAAAAUUUUCUUUUAGGAGAUAGAUCCAUGUGGUUCAAGUACAAUCAUCAUUAAAACUUAUGAACCAUUUUGCUCCUGAAUGACAAGGAACUUGUGAAGGACCCCAAACAUCAAUGUGAAUAAGAGAAAAAUUAAUUUCACUUCUUUUACUACUCAAAGGAUAAGAAAUACGGUGGUUUUUUGAUAACUCACAAACUUCACAUUGGAAUUUAGAAGGAUCCAGGUUGACACACAAUUUAGGGUACAAAGUUUUCAAAGAGAAAGAACUUGGAUGCCUUUAUCUUUAAUGCAUUAACCAGAGUUCUCCUUUUAUUUGAUGAGCUUGAAUCUUUCUUUACUCCUUAGUAACCAAGUAAUAGAGACCCUCUCUCUCUUUAGCACUACCAAUCACCUUCGCCGUAGUUAGGUCCUCAAACACACAAUGAGUGGAAAAGAAAGUUACAGAAUAAUUUUGAGAUUUUGUUAAUUUACUGAUGGAUAAUAAAUUACAAGACAUAUUUGGGACAUGCAAAACAGAUGAAAGAGUGAUAUUUGGAGUGACUGAAACAUUGUUUUUACCACUAACAGGAGUCAAAGAUCCAUUAGCAACCUGAAUUUUUUUUGUUACUAAAACACGAAAUGUAAGAUAAAAAAACAUUAGACUCUUUAGUCAUGUGAUUAGUUGUCCUUGAAUCAAUAAUCCAAGUGUUAGAAUGAAAAACACUAGAAGUACUAAGUGUUGUUUUAAAAGUACCUAAUUGUGCAAAAACACAAGAAGUGGAGGAAGAGGAAACAUCAGAUUUUCUGAUAAUCUUAUACAAGAGAUCUAGUUGUUCUUUUGUGAAAGGGAGACUGUUUGAGGUUGAUGUUUCUAAAUUGCAUCUUACCCUUGUGGCUGUCCUUAGCCCUUGAUUGUGGCUUUCCAUGCAAUUUCCAACACGUCUCUCUAGAGCAUCUUAGCUUAUUGCAAUGAUGACAAUAAAAGGUUACAAAUAUGAUAGGCAAGGCUUAACAAUGAGGCUAAGAAGAAAAAAGAAAACUGCUAAAAACCUUUUUCCAACUCUGAUACCAUGUUGGAAAAUAGAAUCUUUUUAUUAUUUCUUUGAAAAAUUAGUACAAAUAUAUAUGUAACAUUCAAACUUGUACUAUAAAUGGAAAUAGAAUAAGACAGCUAACCUAUUCCUAAAAUUCCUCCUACAAAUCUUUUAAAUUACAACUUCACUAAUUUACAUAGUCAACUAACCCAAAUAUGCACAAAAUCAGGAAUAAAUCAACUAAACUCCAUAAAAUCAUAAAUAAAUCAAAUAAACUCCAUGAAAUCAGGAAUAAAUCAAAUAAACGCCAUGAAAUCAGGAAUAAUUAUUGGAUUCCAACACUCUCAUUGUUCCAUGUGCCAUCAAUUUAUAUACAUAUUAAGCUAAGAUAAAAAGCCCAUUCUGUACCCUUGGGCUACCUAGACUUCUAUAGCCUGAAGUACUGAGAGCAAAUCUGACCCCAUAUUACACCUCUAUAUAUGUAGCCUUACCUGAUCCUGCCCCAUCAAUUAUAUAUAUAUAAAGAAAAGACGGAGGCCCAACCUGUACCCCUUGGGCUAGCCCAACUUCUAUGGCCUGAAGCCCCAAGACCAAACCUGAUCCUGUUCUACCCCUUAGAUAUUGUAGCCUUAUGAUACAAAGUAGGAGUUCAUGAACAUACCUCAUAAACAUGGGGCGCACCAUGAAUUUGUAUGUGGCUGGAGGUUCUCUGACCAGGAAAGAAGUACAUCUUAAGUAUAGAGCCCUUCCCCAGAACAGAACCAUUACGAGCCUUGACAAUGGCCUCCAUCACAGCAUCUCCAUGUUGAGACUCAUGUGGUGCUCUCAACUCCUCCUGGAAUAGAAAAUCGAGAAUUGGCAUGCAAUUAAAUCCAGAAACAAAUAGAAACAAGAAACUUUAAGAAAUGAAAUGUUUCUUUAAUCCCCUGAUACCCUAAGUUCGUAAAGAGAAGAAAAUUUACAGGAACAGUAAAAAAUCGUCCAGGCCUCAAUCUUAUGCUCCAUUUCAUUGCUUGGACCUCUGGUCUCCGUUGCAACCAGCUCUUAAAUGUCAUUUUGGAUUCUCCUUGUCCACAAAACCCAUCAAAUGCUUCACUUCCAAGAUAUGCUGCAAAAGCAAUUAAACGGAAGUACCGCUCCAAGUACUCAGCACCACGGUUUAACGCUACUCUUCUUACCCUUGGCUCAGCAUGCUGUUGAUUGAAUACCUUCCUGUAUUGCAGAACAGCUUGGCGAAUGUUCUGCAAAGCUGAACAUCUAUCAAUAACAGCGUCUAACGCCUCUCGACAUUCCACCCCAUUAUCAAACAAUCUGGUUAUCUUCCACAACAGCAGGAUAUCAUCUAUACCAAAUGCACGACCUUGCUCUUUUUCAGUUCUUACAUUUGAAAUACUUGAUGUAGAUGCAGCACCAUUACCUCCUGUCUCUUCACCACUUGAGCUACCACCAUCAACCUCUUCAUGGGAUAUAUCAUCGAGGAGGAUUCUAAUAGGUCUCCCAUAAUCAAUUCGAAGUUUAAGAAGACAAGCAAUUACAGUGCCAGUGGUUGUUCUUCCUAUACCCAUCUUUGGACAUUAAGAAGACAUUAGUUGAGAGACAGGAAAAGGAAAGAUAUUUCACAGAUUCUUGUGAGGUCAUGACAUAUCAAUAUAAAAGUACAAUCAAAGCAGAUUAAGAAUGAAAAAUAAUACCUGGCAAUUGAAAACAAAUGCGGUGUCCUUGGAAGCUGAGGCAAUAUUUACUGCUAACGUGUCAAAGUCAGAACUUUUGGGAGCUUUACCAUCAGUAAUAGGGACACGUGCAUACUUAAUGGGAAAACCAUUAGCCUCUAAGCAUCUGAAAACCUCCAGUGGUGUCUGGACUGAAUCAGAACUAACAUGUUCCCAAGCAUCAAAUAUUUUCCGAUCAUCUGUUUCAUGAAUAACCAUAAUAGCGUGCCCAUAGUGUUCAGCCUCUCGCAGAAUAUCUUCUUUCAAUCGAGCUUCCAUUCUUUCUACUCUCUCACGUUCAAUUCCCUGGAUGCAGAUAUCAUAUCAUUUCAACUUUAAUAGGAGGAGGAGGAUGAGGACGAGGAGGAGCAGAAGAAGAAGAAGAAGAAGAAGAAGAAGGAGGAGUAGGAGGAGGAGGACGUUCAAUUCUCUGGAUGCAGAUAUCAUAUCAUUUCAACUUUAAUAGGAGGAGGAGGAUGAGGACGAGGAGCAGAAGAAGAAGGAGGAGGAGAUACAAUCCUUGAUAUCUAUCACACAUCAAACCAUCUCCAACUCAAUGCAGCACACUAUGUAAUAGGUUCUCUGGUCUGAAGAGCAUUGACAUCAACUAUAUGGACAUGGUUUUAUUGUCCGGGUACAUUCUACUGACAACUUAUAAUGAGAAAAACAAAUAUUCACACAAUCACAACCAUUUGUCCCAUCAUGCGCAUGAAUCUGUUAACAAAGUUAAAUACAAGCCAGACACUCUAAUCCAUAUUCCCAUAUAACAAAGUUGAUACAGAUAUAAUGGGAAAAGUAGGCAUUUACCGUGUACUCCAACAUGUUUUUGUAUGGUCUUUCAACCUCACGAAGCACAAAUGGUUUGCCAUUGAUGUAGAUAACAGGUUCUUCUCGCAUAUUGUGCCAAAAAACUGGACGGCCAGAUUUAGAGCUACCAAUCCUCCAAAUGACAGAUUGAAUGCCAUCAAUGGUUGGAUUAGCAACUCCAUAAACUGGAAAACCAGGAACCUCUCUGAAGUUAGGUGCACCCUCCACUCUCUCUGGCAAACUUGAGUUUUGACAACCAGGACAGUGGUCACUUUUUAGAACUGUCUGACUUCCAAGAACCUCCCCAUUUCUCCGGGCAGCAACUACACCCAUCUCGUAAGGGCGGCCAUCAGCAGAAUCAGCAAUCUUUGUUAGAGAUGGCUCCAAGUUUGCAUAACCAAGUGCACCCAUGGGAUCCCUCCUGAGCAACCUGUAGAGAAAUACUGCACUGUAAGAAGUGAACUUUCCCAAGAUUUGAACUCAAUAUGGCAAAAGACCAUACAACAUAAAAAUCAAAAUAUGUCAAUAAUUAAUAGUUAUGAUAUGUUAGGAAAAACUAUUCUUCAAAUAAACUCCAAAAAAUUGGCUUUGGAUGAUCAUUCAUCCAGAGAAAAUAUGUCUUUUAAUCUCCAAGGCAUAAAUCCAUCCGUGUUGGUGUCUUUGCAGACACAGUAUUCUGCAAAUCUAUACAUAAAAAUGAAGAGAUUGCACUAUAAGAAUAACGAGUAUCAGGAAAUACCAUUAUCAAAUUUGAACAGCAGUGUUGUGGCCUUCAUAAGAAUGUAAUUCAUUUGCGUGAAUCAGGAGUGUAAAAGUCAAAACUUGAGCCACGAGAAGUCUUGGUGAGAGUUGGUCAAAUUCAAAGCCUGACUUUUUACCCAGGUCCCCCCUGGGUCCUCAGGUGUGUAUCCAUGGUUUAAUUAUUACAUGGAUGAAUAGGUCUUUGUAGGUUUAUUUGCCAGUUGAAUCUAGCUUCUAAGUUUCUUUUUUCAUCUCAUUCUUCAGUUGUAUUAAGCAACAGAAAUUUGUCUAUGAAACCAUGGAAGAAAGUAAAUGAUCAAGGAUGAAAAAUUGAAAGUCUCCCAGAAAAACCAGUUUCUUCUUUUACCAAGGAGGUCAACCAUGCAAGCUAGAAGCCAGGAAAUCAAUGUAAAGGUUUACAGGGAAGAAUAGAAUCUUCACAUGGUUCUUAUUGACUUAGAUAAAGCAUGUGAUUGAAUGUCUUUUAAGAUAAUGAGGUGAAUUUUAUGGAAAAGACGGUACUGAGUAGAUGUACUGAUGUGAUCAUUGCCACUUAUAAUGGAGCAGUAACUACAAGUCAAAUCCCAUCAUGAUAGCCUUACAGGAUUACACUGAGGUCGGCCCUACCUUUUGGUGUUGGUCAUGAACUUACUAUGAUGACCCAGGAUGAGGUCCAACAGUGUAUGUUCUAUGCCGAUGGCAUUGUUUUAGUUGAUGAAACUUGGGCUUAGAACUAUGGAAAGAACCUUAAGUAUGAUUAAGGCAGAGUAUAUGGAAUUUAACUUUAGUAACAUAGGCAAAAAAUGGGGGAAUAGUUGAAAUUGAUGUCAAAGGACAACUUGCUGUCCACACUUCUUCUUUCCUUAUUUUAGCCCACACUUCUUUCCUUAUUUUAGCCCACAAUUGUUUCCUUAUUUCCCUAUUUAUUAUUCUGUACAAUUAGCAUACAUUAUUUGACAGAUUAUAGUUUACAUGUACAGGGCUAGAAUCAUGCGGGAAUUUAUUUGCUUUUAUUUGCUUUCCAUGUAUAGCAUCCUUGUAAAGUCUAUAUAUAAUAUACAAAACUCAAGGCCAAGGUAUUCGGCCAUUCACACAAUAUUUUGACAUGGUAUUAGAGCAAGGUUGCUAAUUUUUCUUCCCUCAAAUUAUUUUUUGUUUUCUCGGUUUCGGAGGUGCCUCUCGUGUCUUUCGGUCAAGUCUGUGUUGAUCCGUGCUGCACCCAACCACAACCAUUUUUCUCGGUAUUUCUAUGGCUGUCAUGGGUCAGUUUUCUUCUGUGAUUUUUUUUUUUGUCUAUCCUUUUGUCUCGGGUUCUAUUUAUUUUCUAUGGAUUCCGCAUCUCUGUGUGUUAAGUUUACAGGCACAAAUUAUUCUACCUGCGCAUUUCAGUUUGAACUUUUUCUCAAGGAAAAAGACCUUUGGGGUCAUAUUGAUGGCACGGAUGUUGAAAAACCAUCCACUUUUGACAAAUCUCAGGAUGUUGGGUCUUCUCCUUCAUGGGCUGUGCUUGAUGCACGCAUCAUGUCUUGGCUUCUUGGUUCAGUGAAGCCUCAUAUUGUCACCCACUUGCGGCCCCAUCGCUCCGCUCAAUCUAUGUGGGCUUAUUUGAAGAAAGUUUAUCAUCAGGAUAACGAUGCUCAUCGCUUUCAGUUAGAACAUGUGAUUGCCAUGUUUCAACAUGGUAGUCUUUCCAUCCAGGACUACUACUCGGCAUUUCUGACUCUUUGGCAUGAAUAUGCUGAUUUGGUUACAGCGGAUGUUCCUAUUGCCGCUCUCUCAACUAUUCAGACUAUUCACGCGACUACCCGGCGUGAUCAGUUUCUUAUGAAACUACGUCCAGAAUAUGAAUCUAUCUGCUCCUCUUUACUGAAUAGAUCUCCUGUUCCCUCUCUUGCUAUUUGUUUUGGUGAGUUACUUCGCGAAGAGCAACGCCUUAGUACUCAAGCUAUUCUAGAGCAAUCUCAUGGCAGUUCCGGGACGGCAACUGUAGCUUAUGCCGCCCAAGGACGUGGACCACCUAUGCAUUCUAAAAACUUGCAGUGUUUCUGCUGCAAGGAAUAUGGGCAUAUUGUUGCCACUUGCCCUAAGAAGUUUUGUUCUUAUUGCAAGAAGAAGGGUCACAUUAUCAAAAAAUGUCGUAUUCGCCCCCAGAAUCGUCAGGCCCAAGCAUUUCAGACUUCGAUUAUUGUCCCUUCUGUAGCAACUUCUGUAGCACACGACUCUCCUUCAGAUGCGUGCUCUGUUCCUGCACCUCCUGCACCAAAUUACUGCACCCCAGAAAUGGUGCAACAGAUGUUAAUUUCAGCAUUAUCAGCAAUGGGGUUUCAAGGUAACAAUUCUACUAAACUUUGGUACGUGGACUCGGGGGCCUCUAAUCACAUGACUAACAAUCCCACCGCUUUGUGUCAUGUUCGGCCCUACAUUGGUUAAUCUUCCAUUCAGACUGCCAAUGGUAGCUCUUUGCCCAUAGCUGCUAUCGGCGAUGCCUCUUCUAAGUUCAUUGAUGUGUUUCUUGCUCCUCAGCUUUCCACAAAUCUCAUUUCUGUUGGCCAAUUAGUUGAUAACAAUUGUGCUGUUAAUUUUUCUGGUAAUGGUUGUGUUGUGCAGGACCAGGUAACGGGGAAGCCGAUCGCGAAGGGACCUAAAGUGGGGCGCUUGUUUCCACUAUUUUUACCGGUUCCAGAUUUUUCUCCACUUUCUUCUAUUAGGUCUUUUGCUUGUAAUAAUGUUUCAGAUCUUAGUAUGGUGCGGCAUCGUCGUUUAGGCCAUCCCAAUACUUAGAUCUUAUCUCAUGUAUUGAACUCUGAUUUACCUGGUAAUAAGGAUCGUUCUUCUUUAUCUCUUGAGUGUGAUUCUUGCAAACUUGGUAAAAGUAAAACUCUUCCCUUCCCUUUGCAUGCAAGUAGAGCAUCUCACUGCUUUGAUCUUAUCCAUAGUGAUGUUUAGGGACCUUCCCCGGUUAGUUCACAUGAGAAAUUUAAAUAUUAUGUGACUUUCAUUAAUGAUCAUAGCAGAUUUACUUGGGUCUACUUUUUUCGUUCUAAAUCUGAAGUCUUUCGUACUUUCAUUGAGUUUUUAGCGCAUGUUGACAAUCAAUUUUCUACUUCUAUUAAGACAUUACGCACAGAUUCCGAUGGUGAGUAUUUGUCUACUGAGUUUCAAGCAUUCUUGGCUUCUAAGGGUAUUAUUCAUCAACGUUCAUGUCCCUCUACUCCUCAACAAAAUAGAGUUGCCGAACGCAAAAAUCGUCAUCUUCUAGAUGUGGUACGUACUCUCUUGUUAGAAUCUUCUGUUCCAUCCAUGUUUUGGGUAGAGGCUCUAAAAACUGCUACUCACUUGAUUAAUCGUUUACCUUCUCAAGUCCUACAUAUGGAGUCUCCCUAUUUCCGCUUAUUUGCUAAGCAACCUAGUUAUGAUCACCUUCGUAUUUUUGGUUGUAUAUGCUUUGUUCAUUUACCUCCUCAUGAGCGACAUAAAUUAUCUGCUCAAUCUGUUCGAUGUGCUUUCUUGGGAUAUAAUGUGUCAAAAGGGAUUUGUUUGCUAUGAUCCUACAUUACAUUGUACACCUAUUUCUAGGAAUGUUAUUUUCUUUGAAAAUCAACAUUUCUUUCCUGUAUCCUCUUCUACUGUGGUCCUCCCCUCCUUUGAGCAGCAGUUCUCAGAUCUUCAUCCACUCAGUUCUCGCUUUCAACCAGGUAUUGUGUAUACGAGACGCUCCCGCCCACAGUCUCUUUCGGUGGCUCACUCGAUAUUUGAUCCUACCACGCUCCAGAUUCAGUUAGUUGCAGCACCUCCAGCACCUUCAGUACAUCGCUCUUCUCGAGUGUCUAUACCUCCGAAUAGGUAUGGAUUUCCCUCUUCCAGUUCUGGCAAUUCUAUUUCAGCCCUUACUGCUGCAUUGUCCAAUUUUGAUAUUCCCACAUGCUACUCACAUGUUGCCAAGCAUGAUUGUUGGUGACAAGCUAUGCAGGAAGAAAUUGCCGCUCUAGAGGCCAAUCACACUUGGGACAUUGAGCCCUGUCCUCCCACUAUUGUUCCUCUGGGUUGCAAAUGGGUUUACUCAGUCAAGGUCCGAUCUGAUGGAAGUUUGGAUCGUUACAAAGCUCGGCUUGUUGCACUUGGGAAUAAUCAGGAAUAUGGUGUCAAUUAUGAAGAGAACUUUGCUCCUAUGGCUAAAAUGACUAUUGUUCGUACGAUUCUAGCUCUUGCUGCUUCCAGUGAUUGGCCACUACAUCAGAUGGAUGUAAAAAACGUUUUUCUUCAUGGGGAUCUUAAAGAGUGUAUUUAUAUGAAGCCACCCCCGGGAUUGUUUCCCUCUCCGACUUCACAUGUGUGUAAGCUUCGUCGCUCUCUUUAUGGUCUCAAUCAGGCUCCGAGGGCCUGGUUUGAUAAAUUCCGCACCACUUUAUUACAAUUUUCAUUUAGGCAGAACAAGUAUGACACUUCCUUGUUUCUUCGGAAAUCAGACAUAGGUAUUGUUGUUCUUUUGGUUUAUGUUGAUGAUAUUAUGAUCACUAGUUCCGAUUCUGCUUUACUUGGUUAGCUUAAAACUCAUCUCUCCGAGUCCUUUCAUAUGAAAGAUCUUGGGUCUCUCACAUAUUUUCUUGGUCUUGAGGUGCAUCAUAGUCCCUCUGGUAUUUCCCUCAAUCAACAUAAGUAUGCGAGUGACUUGGUGGCUACAACUGGUCUACAAGGGGCUACUUCUAUUGAUACUCCCAUGGAAUUAAAUGUCAAGCUUCACAAAGAGGAGGGCGACUUACUUGUUGAUCCCAGUUUAUACAGGAAGUUGGUGGGUAGCCUUGUUUAUCUCACCAUUACUAGACCGGACAUUUCUUUUGUUGUACAGCAAGUCAGCCAGUUCCUUCAGACUCCUCGUCAUCUUCAUUUGGCUGUUGUCCGUAGGAUCAUACGCUAUGUUCAAGGCACUUCUACUCGUGGCUUGUUCUUCCCUGCAUGCAAUUCUACUCGCCUUGUUGCUUAUAGUGAUGCUGAUUCAGCUGGUUGUGUGGAUACCCGUCGCUCCAUCACUGGUUGGUGUGUGUUCUUAGGUGAUGCAUUGAUAUCUUGGAAAAGUAAGAAGCAAGACAGAGUCUCUAAGUCAUCUACGGAAUCUGAGUACCGGGCGAUGUCUCUUGCUUGUUCUGAAAUCAUUUGGCUUCGAGGUUUGCUUGCGGAGUUAGAUUUUUCUGAGAUCGAUCCUACACCUCUACAUGCCGAUAAUACAAGUGCUAUUUAGAUCACGGCCAAUCCUGUCUAUCAUGAGCGCACAAAGCAUAUUGAAGUGGACUGUCACUCUAUUCGUGAAGCCUUUGAAGCUCGUGUUAUCACUCUUCCACGUAUUUCCACUGACUUACAAGUUGUUGAUAUCUUCACCAAGGCUCUCCCUCGUCAUCGAUAUUGCUUGCUAAGUAGCAAAUUGAUGCUUGUUGAUCAACCUGCAUCAAUUUGAGGGGGGCUGUCAAAGGACAACUUGCUGUCCACACUUCUUCUUUCCUUAUUUUAGCCCACAAUUAUUUCCUUAUUUCUCCAUUUAUUAUUCUGUACAGUUAGCAUACAUUAUUUGACAGAUUAUAGUUUACAUGUAUAGGGCUAGAAUCAUGCGGGAAUUUAUUUGCUUUUAUUUGCUUUCCAUGUAUAGCAUCCUUGUAAAGUCUAUAUAUAAUAUACAAAACUCAAGGCCAAGGCAUUCGGUCAUUCACACAAUAUUUUGACAGAUCAUUCAUCAUAGAAGGGAGAUUGAAGAGGCAUUGCAAAUAGCAUUAGUGUAGGAUGGUUAAAGAGGAAGAAAUGCUUCUGAAUUAUUGUAUGAUCAUCAAAAUAGACAUCCAGUUAGAGGAAAAAUAUUACAAGAUAGCACAUUUUCAUAAGCGAGCACCAAGAACAGAUUACAGAAUGUCAAAGGGAGUGUAAACCAAGUCUAAAAUAUGUAGACAAAUUCCACUCCUAGAAAAAACAAAGAAGCCAUGUAACCAUCACCCCUCAAAGCAUGAGAACAACACAUGCUAUCAAUGAAAUCUAUCUCCUGUCCACUAGAUUUUGUCAUCCAAGUAUAUCAUGAUCACAAGAUUAUGUCUAUCAUCUUCCUCAUAGAGUUUGGCCUCCUAAAGAUUUCUUCUAUUGCACUCCUUCCAAAUUUAUACACCAAGCCUCCACUCUUCCCUGGCUUAUGUGUGCAUAUUUUCUUCCUUUACAAAUGAAAGGGUUUGAUCAUUGACAUUCUUAAGACUUUUCACGGUGAACUCUUUUUACAAAGCUCUCUAUGCUCUCCACCACCCCACACCCCACCCCCCCUGCUCUUUUGUCUUGACCUCUUUUGCACCUAGUAAUUUAAUCUAGAACUCAAAAGUUCCAUUGAAGGUUAUGGAAUUUGCUUGGCUUGUGGCUAAUAAGAGGGUUAAUACCAACAACAUGUUUCAGUUGAGGAGGCCUUCUAAAGCUCUUGGUCCAUAUCAUUGCAUUAUGUGCAUGAAGAGUAAUGAAUCAGCCAAUCAUCUCUUUUUCAUUAUCCCAUUGCAAUAGUUAUUUGGUAAGGAUUGUUUUGCUUCACCAAUCUUGAAUGGGUCCCUCCUAGAGGCAUAGAAAAAAUGAUGGAAAUCUCCCUUAAGGGCUUUGAAAGCCUUCCAAAAGGGAAGAUUCUUUGGUAGGUGGUUGUUUUAUCCUUAAUAUGGUUGGAAAGGAAUGUAAGGAUAUUCAAGGAUAGAUAGAGAUCUAUGGAUGUCAUUUGGGACUUGAUUUACGUUCACUCUUCCUUUUGGGACUCAAUGACCAAGCCUUUUGCAUAUAUCCCUUUGUUUAUUUUAAUGUUAGAUUGGAAGAGUGGUUGUUUCUCAAAGGUUGAUGAAGAAAGUAUUGAUUGGUUGUUGUCUCCCUCCAAUAGAUUUGGUAAAGUUAAAUUUUGAUGUAUGUUCCUUAGGUAACCUUGGUCAAUGGGUAUUGAAGUUGUGAUUAAGGAUCACUCCGAUACAGUGCUGAGAGUCUUCUCCAAGUAGGCAAAAGUGGGGUUGGCUAUUGAGGCAAAGAUAUGCAUUGUUGGAGGGUUUGUUGCAAGAUAAAGCUUUAGGCCUUUCCACCCUAACUAUAGAGGAUGAUUCAAUUACUGUUAUAUCUUAGGCAAUUAAUAAGGAAAGAGCUCCAUGAAAGUUUGAUAAUUGGAUGUGCAAAACAUAGAUGUUGUCGGUGAGUUAGGUUUCUCCCUCACUUAGAUUCCCCAUUCAGCUAACCAUGUCACAGAUCAAUUAGCCAAACAAAGAGCUAAGCUUUUGGCUUCCUUUGUUGGAGACUUUCUUCCCCUUUGAGUGUGCUAUAUUUUUAUUCUUCAUACAUUGGUUUUUAUUUGUAAGGUUGGGUUGGUCAUUGCGAGGCUUUUUUUUUUUUUUUUGUUGGGACAUCCUUGAAGGAUUGCUCAUCCUUCAUGCAUUUAUCUUUCAGGAUAAAUGAAUUUGUUUGUUUCUGUUCAAAAAAAAAAAAAAAAUUGAGUAGUUUGAGAACAAAUAUGCAAAAUGUGUAGUUUCCAUACACAUUUUGGAGUUUUCUAGAAGCACAUCCAAAAAACAAGUGAAUAAAAGUGUUGAGAAACAAGCUAUCCAAUUGGUUUUUGGGCAAGUAUCAGAAUUGAAAAUCAAUUUAGAAAAAAACAUCCUAUUUGGUAUUAAUACAAGUCAAGAGUUGUUGUCUAGUUUGGCUUUGAUCCUUAAUUGCAAAGUGUUAGAGUGACCUUGGUCUUAUCUGGGUCUUCCCUUAGAAGAGAACCCAAUGACAAUAAGUUUUUAAAAUCUGGUGGUUGAGAGAAUUUCGAGGAGGUUGGAUGGUUGGAAAAAGGCCUUUUUGUCACUAGGGGGAGGAUUGCCAUAAUGCAAUCAAGUCUAUCUCACAUCCCUAGCUAUUUCAUCUCCUUCUUCAAGAUCCCAGUAUCAAUAGCCUCAAAGAUUUGAGAAAUUGCAAAAGGAUUUCCUCUGGUCAAGGGUAGAGGAAGGAUAAAAAAAUCAUCUUAUUAGGUGAGAUGUUGUUUGUAAGCCAAAGGAGUUAGGAGGUAUGGGAAUUGGGAAGACUUCCUCAAGAAAUCGUACUCUUUUAGGGAAGUGGCCUUGGAGGUUCCCUAGGGAAAGGAGUGGUCUUUGGCAUUAGGUUAUUACGAGUAUCUAUGGGACACAUCCUAAUGGAUGAGACACCAACAUGGUGGUUAAAUGGUCACACAGUUGUCAUUGGAAGGCUAUUACACAAGUUUUUCAGAAUUUCUCCCCAUAUAUCCGUCUUGUGGUGGGGAAUGGGGAGAAUAUCCAUUUUUAGGAAGAUCUAUAGAGGGGUGACCAACCUUUGUGCUCACAAUUCUCUAGUCUUUAUAAAGUUAUUUCUGUCAAAAACCUCACCGUCUCAGUUGUCCUUGGUAAUUCCUAUCCACUCUCUUGGAAUUUUAACUGUCAUUGCAAUCUCACUGAUAUAGAAAUUGAACUCCUUUAGAAACUCAUGUCUUUCCUUAGUUCAAUGCAUUUGUCUCCUUCUAUGGUAGAUUCAGAAGUUUGUCUUUGUCCUCCUCAGGCUUGUUUACUAUAAAAUCUUUUUUCUUGGCAUUGUCUAAUUUCUCAAAUCUCAUCUUGUUCCUUUUACCAAGUUUUUGUGGAAAUCAAAAGCCCCUUGAAAGGUUAAGGCCCUAUAAAUCCCUUGGUCCUCAAUGGUGCAUUUUAUGUAAAGGAAAUGGAGAAUCGAUUGACUACUUUUUUCUACAUUACCCAUUAACUAUUGGGCUAUGGCACAAGCUCUUUAGUUUAGCAAGAGUGGAUUGGGUUCCACCAAGGAGUAUUGGAAACAUGAUGAUUAUUGCUUUUAGAGGUUUGAGGAAUUCAAUCAAAGGCAAGACACUUUAGCAAAUUGCAUGCCUUACUUUAAUGUGAAUUGUGUGGCAAGAGAGAAACACUAGGAUUUUUUAGGAUAAGGGGAGAUUGAAAGGGAUGUUGUGAGAUUUACUUCACUUCUACUCCUCUUUGUGGGCCUCUUGUACUGUUGCUUUUAGAGGAGUUCCACUUAGUGUUAUACAAUUCAAUUGGCUUGCAAUUUAUGAUUCAAAAGUUUGAGAUAGUUGAGGGUUAUCUUUGUAUAUAGAUUUGUAUAAAAGGGUGUCUUCUUACUUUGAUUAGAAUUUGUAUUUUGCUGGAAGAACCUCUCAUCCUUCUCUUGUACCUUUACCAUUGUUAUCAUUAAUAUAAUUUUUUUUUUUGUUUCUAAUAAACAAAAAAAAAAGUGUUGAGAAACAUGGAACCAACCAAGCUGGUGGAUGGCCUGUACAUAGAGAUUUGUUUCUUAACUAAAGGCUGAAGUUUCUCCUUAGUUAAGGCUGAUUUAUUUCCUAAAUUAGCCUAAUUGAUUUUCCUGCUCUAUAGUAUAUUUUCUUAUAUAUAAUUUUUUUCCUCAUUAGUAAUUUACUUCAAUUGUUUUAAUAUUACAUAAAUUUUAGUUUCUCCUCUGUAUGUAAACCUGUUGUAUAUGUUGUAAUUUUCAACACAUCAAUUGAAUGAAAUUCAGUUUAUUUCUCCUCUAAACCAGCAAGAAACAAGAGCCCUAAAACUGAAAAACAGACGCCUAAUGUUUUUUUUUUUUUUUUGAUAGGAAACAACAAAGGGAUAUAUUGAUAGAAAAAAGAAGUACAAGAGAAGGAUGAGGAAUCCUUCCACCAAAAAAAACUAAACUACAAGAAUACAAAAACAAGAAAAUACAAAGUAAGAACAUACAACCUCUCUAAAUUAGACCAACCCAUUGGAAUUACACACCGCUAGUCAAUCAAGUUGUAACACAUUAAGGGGAGCCCCCUUAAAAACCUUAGAACAAAAAGCCCAAAGAGAAGCAAGGAAAUGAAUAGAAUCCCAAAUAUUCUCUGAAUUCUUUGUUUUAUCCUAAAAAAUCCUCUCAUUUCUUUCCCACCACACAACCCAAAUUAAAGCAAUGCACGCAACUUGCCACAAAAAUAUCCCUCUCUUAGAUAAACCAAAACCAUUAUAAUUGAUGGAUAGCAUGUCGGAAAUGCUCCUCAGGGGAACCCAAUCCAUCUUGGCUAACUGAAAUAAUCUGUGCCACAACCCCAUCGUCAAAGAGCAAUGUAGGAAAAGAUGAUCUACCGAUUCUCCAUGCUUCAUGCACAAUUUACAAAUAUCAGGACUAAGAGCUUUGUAGGGUCUUCUCAAUUGUAACAAGUCAUUAGUAUUUACCUUCUUGUAUGCCACUAACCAGACAAAUGACUUGACUUUGAAAGGGACUUGAGAAUUCCCAACAAACUUAGUAGGGAAAACUGGAGGAGAACCAAAAAAUUGGGAUAAAGCAAGAAAGAAAGAUUUGACUGUAAAAAACCCUGAAGAAGAUAAAGACCAGGAUCUUGCAUUUGAAACCAAAUGUGAUAAAUGCAAACCAUCAAGUGACCACAUGAGGCCUUCUAAAUCUUCUAUCUCAGAAUCGGAAAGGUUACGGCGGAAAUUAAAAUUCCAAGAGAAGGGAUGAGUAGAACCGAGAAAUGAAGAAAUAGGAAUAUUUUUAUCCGUGACUACUCUAAAUAGUCUUGGAUAUUGGGAUCCCAAAGGUUGGUCCCCUCCCCAAAAGUCUUCCCAUAAUCGAAUUUUUUCCCCAUCUCCUACCACAAACCGAGUAAACUUGGAAAACUCCUGAAAGACUUGUGCAACAGCCUCCAAGGACAACGAUGUGACCAUCUGACUAUAGUGUUGGCAUCCCAACAUUAGAGUGUGAUCCAUAAAUGCUUAAAAUAACCUAAUGCCAUAGAGCUGAACUCUCUCUAGGCUACCUCCCCAACCAUUUCCCUAAGAGAGCGAGAUUCCUUAGAGAAAUCUUCCCAAAUCCCAAUCCCCCUUUUGCCUUCAGAUUACACACUACAUCCCAACUAACAAGAUGAUCUCUUUUACCUUCCCCAACCCCUGACCAUAAAAAAUCCCUUUGCAAUCUCUCAAUUUUUGCAGCCACUGAAGCGGGUAUCUUAAACAAGGAUAGGAAGUAGCAAGGCAUGUGGGUGAGGCAAGAUUUGAUAAGAGCUAUCCUACCUCCAAAAAAUAAAUAAGCCUUUUUGUCACCCAUCUAAUUUUUUUGAGAUCCUCUCAAUCACUGGAUCCCAAAAGCCACAAACCUUAGGAUUCCCUCCCAAAAGAAGACUCAGGUAGAGUAUAGGCCAACCAGAAGCUUUCCAAUCAAGCAACUCGACUAACCUAGAAAGAUGAGUCUGUUCAAGAUUGAUGCUAUAAAUAUUACUCUUGUCAAGGUUAACCUUAAGCCCAGAAAUAUGCCCAAACACUAGCAAUAAACUCUUAAGAGUCUACAAUUCUUCCUCACUAGUGUUAGAAAAGAAAAUGGUAUCAUAUGCAAAUUGCAAAUGGGACACCCUUGUUCUGUUCCUACCCACCCUGAAACCCUCCAACGAAUUUCUUUCAUCUGCUCUCAAUAACAUCCUGCUUAAUACAUCUACGACUAAAGUAAACAAAAAAGGGGAUAAAGAGUCGCCUUGUCUUAAGCCUCUAGAUGCCUUGACCCACCUUUUAGCGUUUCCAUUCACUAAGAUUGCAUAAGAUAUCGUAGACAAACAACCUCUCAUCCAUUUCCUCCAUCUAGGACUAAACCCCUUCUUCUCCAACACAUGAUCCAAAAAAUCCCAACUCACACGGUCGUACGCCUUUUCAAAGUCAAUUUUGAAGACGACUCCUUCCUUCCCUGAUCGUCUUUUCUCAUCCACUAUCUCAUUGGCUAUGAGAACUACAUCCAAUAUUUGUCUCUCUUGAACAAAAGUGCCUUGAGUAGAAUGGAUAGUUUCAUAUAGUACCCCUCUUAGACACCCCGAUAGCACUUUGGCUAUUAUCUUGUAAAGACUAGUGAUCAAGCUAAUAGGUCUAAAGUCUAAGAUUUUCUUUGUCAUGCUUUUUUUUGGGCAAUAGAACUAUGAAGGAGGCAUUAGUGCUUUGAUUGAUAAUCCCGCUUCUGUGAAACUCUGCAAACACUCUCACUAAAUCCUCCUUGAUCACAUCCCAACAAUUUUGAAACACUGCAAUGGUAAAGCCAUCAGGCCCCGACGCCUUAUCCCUAUCCAACUGAAAAAUGGCCUUAGAAAUCCCUUAUUCAAUAAAAAGGGAGUCCAACCUAGACGCACUCUUUUCAAAUAUAAGGGACCAAUCUAAGCCUUCAACUCUCCAAGACUCUCCAGUAGGACUCGCAUAGAGCUUUUCAAAGUAAAGUAAAAUCUCCUCUGUGAUGCUCUCAGAAUUAUUCAACACUAAGCCUCUUUCAUUCUCCAACACCUUGAUAAAUUUCCUAUCUCGCCUGUCAUUAACCACUUUAUGAAAAAACUUUGAGUUACGAUCCCCUUUCUUAACCCAUUUCACCCUAACUUUUUGUCUCCAAUGAAUUUCUUCCCUCAAAAUUAAUUUCUCUAGCUCCCCUUUUCUUAAAGCUCUUUGAACUAAAAGUUCAGAAGUGAGACCCCCUACUUGCUCAAUGCCAUCAAAGUUAGCCAUUUCAUUCAAAAUGCUUUUUUUCCUUUCAUUUAGCUCUCUAAAACAAACCUUAUUCCACUCUUUCAAUUUGGCCUUAAUGAAUUGUAAUUUCCCCAUGAACUUGUGACCUUCCCACCCGUUUCCUUGAAAACCUCUCCACCAACUUCCAAAGCACUCCUUGAAACUAGGAUUUUUUUAUUAUUAUUAUUGGAAACGACACAAAGAUAUAUAGAUAGAAAAAAGAAGUACAAUAAGAAGGAUGAGAAAUCCUCCCACCAAAGACAACUAAAUUACAGGAAAAUACACAGAAAACAAACGAAGUCUCUAUAAAGGACCAAUUCUUAUGGAGUACACACCACUAACCAAUCAAGUUGUAUCACAUUAAAGGGAGUCCCUUAAAUGCCUUGGAACAGAAAGCCCAAAGAGAAGCAAGGAAAACAAUAGAGUUCCAAAGAAACUCUGACUUCCUUGCUUUAUCCUCGAAAACUUGAAACUAGGAUAUUGCAACCACAUAUUCUCAAACCUAAAAUGUGUUGGGCCCCACUUGAACGGGUUGGUAUCCAAAACUAUCGGCCAAUGAUCCGAUGUCCUUCUAGGAAGAACUUCUUGAAGGCUUUGAGGAAAGAAAUGCUCUCACUCAUUUGAGUAAAGAAAUCGAUCCAAUCUCUUACACACGGGAGACUCUUGCAUGUUUGACCAAGUGAAUGGUGCGUUCCGUCAAGGUGGAUCAAGCAAUUCACAUUCUCUUAUAAAACCAUCAAAGUCCUUCAUGCUUGAAGUUAAACUAGAACCUCCCAAUUUUUCUGAACUUCUCCUUAUGACAUUAAAAUCACCGCCCACACACCAUAACGGAAAAGAUAGGCCAAAAAUGUCUAAAAGCUCCACCCAAAAAUCCUUCCUAAGUAAGGGACUGUUUGGGCCAUAAACUGUGGACAACCAUAGAGGUCUGCAUUCAUCCAAAGCAAACUUGAUUAAGACCAAAAAGGAUCCUAUUACCACCUCCUCACUGCGCAGUUUUUUAGAAUCCUAAAUAAUCAAAAUCCCACCUGAAGCCUCGCAUGCCGGAAGAGCAGCCCAUUCCUUAUUUCUGACUGUCCAAACACUACCCACAAACCUUCUAUCACACUCCACCUUUUUUGUUUCCUAAAUCAUCACAACAUACAGAUUCUCUAACCUUAGAAAAUCUUUAACCACCCUUCGUUUUUUCCUUGAUCCCAAACCCCUGGUAUUCCAACUAAUUAUUUUCAUGGAAAAACCUCACAGACACUAAACCUCUGAUCCAGUUCCAACAGGUCUCACAUACCAGUGGAGCAUCUGCUCUUCCUCCUGGAAUAUACCUUAAUAUCCAGAGAGCUUAAAACCUCACGCACUUUAGCCAUUUUCCUGGGGGAAAGGCCUUCUAUUUGGAACUCGCCCAAUAGGGAGACCACAGCAUCACCUUGGCUAAUUGUAACCAGGUUGGAAACCUCAUUAGGCAAAUUGGGUUUAGACUUAAUGGGGUUAAAACUCUCGGGCAACUAGUUUGAAUAAGCAAACUGGGACUCCACCACAUCAAGGUUAGGAUUGCCAAUAGAUUUUUGACAUAAAGUACCAUCAUCGUCUUUUUUGGAAAAAAUUUCAAAGAUUACUCGAUUUUCCAUAGGAAACUGAGACUGAAUGACUGAACUAGGAAGAUUUGGAACAGACGGACUCAGAAAAGGAAGUGACAAACCAUAAGAAGGGGGAAAAGAAGACAAAGGUGACUAAGAAUGUGAAGACGAAUUUACCUCCAUGUUUUCCACUACCAACAUUCCACAAUUCCCCUUAAAGUUGAGCCCUUUACCUCUGAUUUCUGGAUUAGAAGGCAAAACCGUGACUGAUGAACCACGAAGAUCGGACCCCACUCGGCCCGAAAAUCCUUCUUUGUCUUCUUCAAAAUAGGGUUUGCGCAAAGCCACUUCGCCUUUUGACAACGAAGUCCCUUCCCCUGAACACCGCUUUUGAAUCCUUGACUAUUGACAAUAAAUGAGAGGACUCGCACUAAAUCCUCGUUCCAACUGAGAUCCCGCCCCGAAAGCCUCUUCCUUUGGAAACUCUUCGCUAUUUGACGAUGGCUUCCCGUGCAAAAGAGGCUCGCUGCGACUUCAAAGUCCUUGUCGGCGAUCAAAACUUGGAGGAAAAAGGGUAGUCCACAACUUCUUUGAACUAAACUUCACUUCCUUCUUCGCGGAGCCUCUCAUCUGAUCAUCAGGAUACUGAUACAACUUUCCUCUUUCCCACUGCAGAAGCUUCUUCUCUUCGUAACAAACCCAUCUUAUCAAAGGGCUUCUUUCCUCCUUUUCUUUGGCCCAACCACGAUGGGCCUUUUAAAUUACAACCCACUUUUGCAAUAGUUAGUAGACUAGGAUUGGGAAGAGACUGGGCCUUUCUCUCAAAGGCUCGACCAUUCUCAUCUGAGAAAGCCUCGUCCCCGCCGGCCCUAGCUACGCCCGCCUUCUUUGUCCCAACUUGCCCAAUGUUCAGUUUUUUUGAAUUCAAACUGGGCAACGAGGGAGGUAGGAACCAGCUGUUCCCCACCUCUUAACCUUUCUUUCCACGUGUCCCCACUGGAAAAACUUUAGCCAUAAUCCUUUCUCCUCCCUUCUUCUUUCUGCCAGCUUCCCUAACACGAAAACUUCCUCUAGCCGUUGAUCUAUCUCUCUCCGCCCACCUUCCACCACUUGUCCCCGAGUGAGAAUGUUGUUGAGACAAGAAGGUUAACAACUACUAGAAAGAAAUCUUAAAAUGGUGUCUGAAUAACAACAUGUGCAAGGAAUGCAGAACCUAUUAAGGAUGUUUCAAGGGUGAAGAAGUUGGCCACAAAUCAAUAUUGCCUUAAACCCUACACUACCCCUGGUACUAAAGGUAAACAACUGCCAAUUGAAGAAAGAAAUGAAGAAUGUGAAGAAAUAAAUGGAGGACCAACUUUUGCUGGUGAGAUUGAAGGAAAUUUAAAUUACAAGGAAUUCCUUGCAUUAAUUAUGACAAAUAUAGUCUUGAUGCCUAUGCAUGAGAUUGAGGAAUUCCUUGCAUUAGUUUGACUUUGGAGGGAACUCUGGCUUUCCAAAUAAAAAUUAGCCUGAGGCAAAGCAAAACAAUGAUCAUUAUCAGAAAGAGCACCAAAAAUUGACCUAGGAGAGAACAAGCUUGAAGGAAGUGAAGUCCAAAACCCCUCGUCUUGUUCACAAAAGAUGAAGACAAACAAACAAAAAUCAAAAAGAGCAAAAGAGAGAAGAAGUCAUCAAUUUUCUUAUUUGAUAGGUUAUACUGAAAGUUAGAAUUCCAAGAAAGGACACUCGAGACCAGAAGGAUAUGGGAAAUAGGGAUUUCCCAAGCCUUUAGAAUUAGAAAGAGAUUUGGACAGAGAAUGUUGCAGGUCUUAUUCACCUAUCAGAGGUCAUCCCAAAAUUGAAUUGUGGAGCCAUCACCAAAUGUGAAACAAGUAAACUGAGAGAAAUCUGUGAAACCAUGGGAAUGGCUUUCUAGGCAAAUAAGUGAACCAUCUAACCUCGACAUUGGAAUCCCAUCAAUUAGCAUCUAUCCUAUGAAAGUCUUUAACAACACUUGAUCAGGGAGAGUCAUGAUCCUAGGAAAUCUCUGAAGCCACUUACCUAAGAGAGCUCCAUUCCUUAGGGAAACCCUACCUAAUCCCAAUCUUCAUUCACUCGAACACUUCCAAACCUAACACUAAUUUAAGAACAAUAACUUUUUCCCAACACUUGACCAAAAGGUGGUGGUCAAUUUUCUAUUAUCAAACAUGCUGAAUAGGCGGAACCACUUAUUCUUUUACUUGGCAGCAGUUACUGUGGCUAUGAAAACAACGCCUAAUAUACUUGAGGAGAUAGAGCAUAUUAAUGUCCUGUAAUUCAACAUGCAUACCUACACUCUCGCGUGUCUGUCAGCAUUUGCUCAAAUGAAUCACUGUUUGACUCAUUUGAUCUAGCAUAAUUAAAUGCAUGCAGAAACAAACACUACUACUACUAACAUCAAUGCUUAAAAUAAUCAUCUUUCUUAUUCCUAACACAAUAAAAAAUCUGAACCAUCUUAAAAAAGAAAGUUGACAAUGAACUUGGAAAUUUACAUAAAAGUAUACAUGUAUGCUACCUGCGAAUUAUGCUAUACAGUUCAGGCCUUGCUCUCAUCCAGUCAGCAAAACUACUGUGGCCAAAUGAAUCAGGGUGGAGUGCUGCCCUAUCUGUGUGGAUAUAUACAGCAAAGCAUAUAAGAAAGUAAUAUCUUUCCAAGUACUCCACAAAAAACGAAAGCAAUGCCUCCCUCUUCAUCUCAUCUCGUUGGCGCAGAAUACUAUUGCGAUAUGUAGCAAUUGCUUCACGUAAGUUCUGUAGCUCAAUCCACAAGAAAAAAAGACUUUAAAAAUGUGAAAAUCUAGAAGAUAAACCAUGAAAACAGAACUUUACAGUCAUGAGGGAAUGAAAGGUUCCAUUUUGGAUGCAACCAAUUCAACAGAUAGAUCAGAAGAAAGUUUAUUUCAGAUGAACUUUUUUAAAAAUUUGGAACCAGAGAAAAGUUUAUUUCAGAUGAACUUCUUUAAAAAUUGGAACAAGAACUUACAAACUAUACCUGCAUGGAGGCACACUUGUCAAUGACUUUAUCCACUUGUCUUUUGCCUUCAACACCCCCCUGAAGUCAUAUAACUGAAAAAUUCAAAAACCUGCUAAAUGUAAUGUGGAACAAAGAUUAUAUGGAAUUAAAAGUCACCAAUUUCAAGCACCUCUAACACCCGGAUCAAGCUUCUUAUGGCUGCAUAUUCUCCCCUACGAAUUGCCUCCUCUGAGUUUGGCAAAUGGUCAGACACAUUGGUACCAGAGUCAAAAACUUUACCAAUUGAAUCAGACCUUGGCAUACCUAUUUAUGUAAACAAAACAUACACAACAAAAAAAUUACUAUUGAGAGCAAACAAAUAGGUGCACUUAUAUGUGGGGAAGAGAGAGAGACACAGAGAGUAAGAGAGCUGGUAAAAUAUUUGACAAUUGAACUCGUUAAACAUAAAAGUAAAAAUAGGUGCAUGGAAAAUCCAGAAUAUUCCCAGUAGUCAUUGUUUAAUGAAUUGAGAUGGGGCAGGCCAAGAUGGUUUGAAGUUUGAAAACAUGCAAGGAGCAGCUAAAAAAGCACUUGUAAGGAUGUUCUAUAAUGUCAGUAGCAGGCUCUAAAAGAAUAAAAGAAUGACAAAGAACAUGAAAUUGCAUUAUGUAAAAAGGAUAAAUAUUCCCACAAUCUAUCAGAAAAGUUGAUCUAGCUAAAAUGGAAUAGCUAAACAAGAUUUGGACAGCUGAGGCUUAGAUCAUGUUCAUGACAUUGAUGGCAUAUUCUAUUAAUGGUUCAAGGAUAAGUAUCUUAAGGUUGGAUAGAGAAAGCAAUAAAGACUACCAGAAGCACCAAUUCGGUUAAGGUAAACCAAAGUAGCAAUCACCAUCCCAGUUGUGGUUCGUCCACGCCCCAUUUGACAAUUGAAAAUUAUCUCUGUAUUUAUAUUAGCUUGAGAAAUUUUAUGAACCUGAAAACAUAAAGAACAAGUGUCAAGUCAGCAAAUACAUUUAAGGGAAAUUGUGAAUGCAGCUUUUACAUUACCAUGCAAAGACUAGAAAUCCAUCCUUCCUGUAGAAAUGUAAUCUGCACAGAUACAUGCACAUGUGCACAUUCUAUGUUCAUGUCUUUAACAUGACCAUUCAGUGAUGUGGCAUUGUAAUUCUUUUUGCUUUUUCGUCUUGCUGGUAGGAAAUUAAAAUCACUAAUGUGGGAGACCCAUUAAUAUCCCUCAGUCUUUUAGCUCUUUCUUUGUAGUUUUAACUAUCAGCAGUCCUUCAGUUACACCAAUUACUUCUGGAAUUCCACUCUCACACUGCUGAAAACAUCAGUAAAACUAACUUUUUUUUUUUAAUUGGAAAGAACAACUUUAUUUUUUAUUUCUUUAUUCAGUUUUUACAGGAAAUAAAUAUUCCAUUAAAUGAUAAGAAGAAAAUCAUGAAUAGGCAAAGGACGAACUAUUCAUAAUCACACUACGAAGAUUUAUUUGCUAAGGAUCCAAGUAACCAAGCAAAAUGUGGGCCCGCAUCAUCAUCUAAACACCAACAAGAAAAGAAAAAAUCCAAGUUAAAGCUCAGGGAGGAAGAAGCACUAAACAAAAGCCCCUAGCAUGAAGCUUGCUUUCCAUUUGAAAGUGAACUCAUUGAGAGUUAAGAGUUAAGUUUUAAUUAUUUUUAAGACCAAAAAUGGUGCAUGUGAUCAUCAUUAAUUUGCUCAAGUUGAAGAUCCCUUUUAUUCUUAUUUUUAAUUUAUUUAUUUUUUACAGGUAAGCUCUUUUUUUUUCAUGGAGAGUUGUCACUGGCAAACAUUUUGAGUCUUUCAGAUCUGUGGGCUGAGGGUGAAUCAUUAUCAUCUUGUAGGUGUCCCAAAAAACAAGGAGAUUCGUGAAGGUAGGAUGCUUUCAUCCAUCAAAAUAUUCAUGUUAUUUACUUGAGAUGUUUUUAUUUUUUAUUUUUUCAUUCUUUUAUUUUGUUUUGUUCUUCUUCUUCUGGUUUUUUUUUUUUUUUUUGUGGGGUGGGGAGGUGGGGGAGCCUAGGAGGGGUUGUGCACAGUUCCACAGCAGAUCAUUUAGCAAGGAGGGGGACCAAGCAAUUGGUAUCUUUUAUAGGAAACUUUUAAAACAACCCACUGUACUAACUAUUUUUCAAAGUAACGGAUUUGUUGCAUUUCUUGGUAUGGCUUUAACAGUUCAUCCACUGGUUGUAGCAUUACCACUUUUAUUUACAACUCCAUGUAACAACAGCAUCAAAGACACACAAGGUACAAAUAAGAAAGAACAAUAUAGGUACAUGAUGAAAUCAAAUAAGGAAGUAAAAAGGGCAUCUAGGGUUUGUUUAGAAACUGUCUUAAGAAUAGUUCUUUGUUCAUCAGAAUUGAAAACAGUUAUCAUACUUAAAAAAUACAUUUGGAAAACUUUUGACAGAAAACUGUUUUUUCUAUUUGUUCUGAAAAUGGAAUGUCUUUUAGAACAAAUUUGAGGUGUUUUCAAUUAAUUUUGUAAAGUGAUCUAAACAAUAAUUAAAAAUAUGGAAAAUAUAAGAUAAUCACAAUUGAAUAAGAGAAAUUGCAAAGGGAUUUUCUAUGGUCAAGGGUUGGGGAGCAUAAGUGAGACCAUCUCAUUGAUUGGGACUUAGUGUGUAAGUCUAAAGGGGAAGGGGGGUUUAGGGUUUGGCAAGAUUUCUAUGCGGAAGCAUGCUCUAUUAGGAAAAUGGCUAUGGAGGUUUCGAAAGUUAUACUCUUUGGCAUCGGGUUAUUCUAAGCAUUUACGGGACACUUAGUAAUGGGUGGGAUGUCAACACUAUGAUCAGGUGGUCACAUCAUUGUCCUUGGAAGGCCAUUGCACAAGUCUUCCAAGAUUUUUCUAGAUACACUCGACUGGUGGUGGAAGAUGGGACAAGAAUUAGUUUUUAGGAAGAUGUGUAGUAAGGGGAUCAACCUUUGUGUUCUCAAUUCUCAGGUCUAUUCAAAAUUAUCACAGUUAAAAACCCCACUAUUUCAUUAGUUCUUGAGUCCACUAAUCCUUUCUCUUGGAAUCUAAACUUUCGUCACAAUCUUUCAGAUUUUGAGAUAGAAGAUCUUGAAAGACUCAUGUCCUCUCUUUCACAUUUGUACUUAUCUCCAUUUGGUCCUGAUUCUAGAGCUUGGUCCCUAUCUUUUUUAGUUUUAUUUAUGGUAAAGUCGUUUAUUUCAAUCCUAUCCAACCAUAUUGAUCCAAUUCCAUCAUUUCCUAUUGAUUUUGUUUGGAAAUCGCAAGCCACAUUUAAGGUCAAAUCCUUUGUUUAGUUAGUGGCACUCAAGAAGAUAAACACCAAUGACAUGUUGCAAUUGAGAAGAUCCUACAAUGCCCUCAGUCCUGAUGUUUGUUUGUUAUGUAUGGAGAGAUGAAACAGUAGAUCAUAUUUUUUAUAUUGUCCAUUGAGUUUUAGGCUAUGACAUAGGCUAUUCAACUUGGCUCAUAUGGAUUAGGUUCCUCCUAGAAGUUAUUUUAUUUUAUUUUAUUUUAUUUUUUUGAUAGGUUCCUCCUAGGAGUAUAUGUGACAUGAUGAUUAUCUCAUAUAAAGGAUUGGGAAGUACCAGUAGAGGCAAGGUGUUAUGGCAAUUCGCUUGUCUUGCUCUAAUGUCGGUAGUGUGGUGGGAAAGAAAUGUUAGGAUUUUUUACGACAAGGCAAGAACUUCAGAAGGUCUUUGGGAGAUAAUUCAUUUCUUAGCCUCUUUUUAAGCCUCUUGCACCACAACUUUUAUGGGUGCUCCCCUUAAUUUAAUCCAACUUGAUUGGAUGUUAGUGUGUAGUUCCAAGGGUAUGGGCUAGCAAGGAUAUAUUAUUUUUGUAUAUUCCUACAUGGGAUAUGGUUUGUGGAACCUCAUAGUUGUAUAGAUUUACUUGAACUUUGGAGGUUCCUAUUUUCUUUUUGUGUAGUUUUUGGAGGAUCUCUCAUCCUUCUAUUGUACUUAUUUUUACUUACUUUAAUAUACUAUAAUGUUGUUUCUCAUCAAUAUAUAUAUAUGGAAGAUAUUAUAGGAACUUUUGCAUUGUCCAGAAGUGUGCAGUACCUUUAUGGAGAAUAAGCCAAGAAAAUUGUUUUCAUAUUUAGGUUCUCAAAUAGAAUUUUAUUCCUGAAAAACAAUUGAGAACUAUUUUCAAAAACCAUCCUCAAAAACUAUUUUUUGCAAACUGUUUUCAAAAACAUUGCCAAAUGGGCCUUAUUUUUUAUGGGAUAGACAUAGAUAAAUUUAUCAUGAGGAAAAAAAUGGAUUACAUCGUUCCCAAAUGCUUGCUUUAAUAUAAACAUGGACAUGCAUCAUGUAACAACAACAGCUAUAGAAAUAAUAAAAAUUAAUAACAAUGAUAACAAUAACAGCAACAACAACAAUAAAGAACAAUUAAAAAGAAAAACCACAUCAUAAUCCUUUACAAACAUUCCGACAAGGCAAUAGAAACAGAGCAUGCGAUAUGCAUAACCACAUUUAAUACAAAGGAAUUUUGUGUAUAUUAUGAAAUAUCAAAUGUACUAGAAAAUAAUGUGGGUGAAACAGAAUAUUUCCUGGUUCUCACGCAGAUACAUACCAUAAAGUGCUGAAAAAGGUACAAUCCAAAAUUUAAAAGAUGAAAACCCACCAAAAUAUCAAAAUCUAGCUCCUUGGGUGAUUUUUCAUCAGUUACAGGAACACGUUCAUAGUCAACAAGGUAGCCUUCUACUUGCAGUUCCUCAUACACCUAGACCAAAACAAAUUUUGGACAAUUAUUAUAUUUCUAUAUUGCAAGUAACUGAAAUGAAUGUGAACAGGCAUACCUCUAGCGGUGUCUUCACAGAAUCACGUGACACUGGUUCCCAUUGAUCCACCAUCUGACCAUCUGGCAGUUCAUCAGUGACAAGGAUCUUAUAUCCAUAUCUGCUUUGUCAAGUGUGCAAAUAAAGCUUGCUAUCAUGCAGAGUAAGAAUGACAAAUAUCCAAUAUUUUUCUAGCCUCUGAAGAUAAAAAGAGGGCAACCAAAAAUACCUUGCAGCUUCCAUCAAGAUAUCUUCUUUUAACCGAGCCUCCAUUUGUUCAACCCUAGCCCUGUUGAUUCCCUAAUUUAAUAAGAAAAGUCAUAAAAAAUUGAAACCAGCAGAUAAAUAUGUAUGUGUUUUGUGAGUUGCAUGGUUGUGUGGAGGGAUGGCAUGCACUUUGCAGUAUCUCUGUUGUUAACUAUCUUUAAGAAACAUAUAUUGAAACAUUUUUUUUUUUUUGAUCAAUAAGUAUAUGAUUGUAUUGCAAAGAGGCGCUAAAGUAGCGACCCACUGAAUUACAGUAUAAAGGGACUUACCCCCUUACAAAAGGGCCCAUACAACAAAGGACAAGACAAAACAAAAAAAUCCUCUCCCUUAACACAUACACACCCACUCUAUAAAUUCUAUUAAGGUUGAAGGACCAUCUUUUAUCCACAAUUUGAUUUCCGACCACAAUAAAUACACAAAAGAUACUUUCAGCCUUUGAAUGGACAGCCCGCAAUCCUCAAAUGCAAUUGAAUUUCUAGCCUUCCAUAUAACCCAAAACAAGCAUAACGGUCCCAAUUGCCACGCCACCUUCCUUUUCUUUCCCACAAAAGAGCCCCUCCAUCCUAAAAGGGUUUCCUUGACCGAAAGAGGAAAAACCCAUGAAACUCCAAAAAAGGAAAGGAACACCAUCCAUACUUCUCUUGUUUUUUCACAAUGAAUAAGAAGGUGGGCAAUUGACUCCUCACACUUAUGGCAUAAAAAACAUCUAUUUGUCAUAACCUAACCUCUCUUUUGCAAGCGAUCCAAGGUUAGAACUCUCCCCCAAGAAGCCUCCCACGCAAAAAUGCUCAAUUUGGGCUGCACACAAGAGUUCCAUAUAAUCUUUGAAGGGAAAAAAGCAAGGGACCCUGGCUGCAUGGUCCUAUACAAAGAUUUCACCGAGAAAUCCCCAUCCUUUGAUUCCAUCCACUUCACCCUAUCCUCCUCAUCCACCCUAACCUUCUUCCCCUCCAAGCAACAAAAUAGCCUUUCCAUUUAUUCCAACUCCCAAUCGUUGAAAGGUCUAUUGAAACAAGGGUUCCAACUUCCCCCCCUUUCCUCCUCGACUGUCUACACUUCAUUUACCCAAGCCUCUUUGUUCGAAGUUAAAGCAAAUAAAGAAGGAAAAGUCUCGCACAAAGGGAUGGUUUCACACCAUUUGUCUUUCCAAAACUUCACCUUCUCACCAUCACCCACCACAAAGCCAAAAGAAGGGGUUACUAGAUGUCCCAUUUUACUUAUUGCCUUCCACAACCCAACUCCGUAGGCCUCCUUACUCUCACAAGAUAUCCACCCUCCUCUUUCCUCCCCGUAUUUCCCUCUAAUCACUUGGUUCCAAAGUGCCUUUCUUUCAUUUGCAAAGCGCCAAACUCAUUUGCCAAGGAGAGCCCUAUUGAAAGCCCCAAGACUCUUAACCCCCAACCCUCCGCUUCUUUUGUCUAAACACACAAUUGACCAUCUUACUAAGUGUGGUUUUUGCUCAAGAGCCCCGCCACCCCACAAAAAGUCCCUUUGAAUCUUCUCCAAUCUGAUUCUAACCACUCUAGGCAUCUGGAAAAUAGACAUAAAAUAAAUCGGCAAAUUUAACAAAGUACUGCGCACUAAAGUAAUCCUCCCCCCUUUUGAAAUGUACUGACGUUUCCACAUAGCCAAUUUCUUUCUGAAUCUUUCUUCUAUUCCAUCCCUCGCUGCAACACAUUUAAACGGAGCACCCAACGGCAUUCCUAGGUAAGUGGAAGGCAGUUUUCCCACCUUGUAACCGAACUCAUCAGCCAACUCAUCCACAUUCUCGACUCUGCCAACCGGAAUCAGCUCACUUUUCUCCAGAUUUGCUCUUAACCCUGAAAUUGCCUCAAACCACAUUAACAACCAGCCCAAAUACAACAACUGAUCCUCCUUUGCUUCACAAAAUAUUAGCGUAUCAUCAGCAAACAACAAAUGUGAUAUCUGGACCCCUUCACCUCUUCUUCCCCGAAUCAAACAAGGCGACAAGAAACCCCCAGCCAUUGCUCUCUUUAUCAAACCACUAAAGGCCUCCAUCACCACUAUAAAUAAGUAAGGCGACAGGGGGUCUCCUUGCCUUAACCCCCUUGAGCUUUGGAAAAAACCCGUAGGGCUUCCAUUCACCAUAACUGAAUACCUAACAGUGGAUAAACACCACUUUAUCCACCUGCACCAUCUUUCCCCAAACCCCAUCUUCUCCAUCACCGCUAAAAGAAAAUCCCAGUCCACAUGAUUAUAGGCUUUCUCAAUGUCUAAUUUACAGAGAAUCACCCCUCUAUUGCUUUUCACAAUGGAGUCAAUUGCUUCAUUAGCAACCAGCACUGCGUCCAUGAUCUGCCGUCCCUCCACAAAAGCAUUUUGGGACGUUGAGAUGACCUUAGCUAAAAUGCCCUUCAUUCUAUUAGCCAACACCUUAGCUAGCCACUUAUACAACCCUCCCACCAAGCUAAUUGGCCUAAAAUCCUUCAAGUCCUCUGUCCCCCCUUUCUUAGGAAUCAACACUAGGAAAGUUGCAUUCAAACUUCUUACAAAGCUCCCAGUCUCAUGGAACUGCCUGAAAAAGUUCAUUACCUCCUCUUUAACAAAUUCCCACGAAAAUUGCCAAAAAGCCAUUGAAAAACCAUCAGGGCCUGGCGCUUUCUCGCCACAACAACCUGACAGUGCCCUAAAAACCUCCUCCUCCAUGAAAGGCUUCUCCAGCCCCUCCACAUCCUCCUCUUCCAGCCUUUCAAACAUCAAGGCAUCUAUCCUGGGCUUCCACCACCACCCCCCUGCCAGCAGCCCCUGGUACACCCUGCAAACCUCCUCUUUGAUCUCCCUUUCCUCAUUGUACCAUCUCCCAUUCACUUUGACUCUAUUCAUCUGAUUCCUUCUUCUAUGAGCAUUAGCCAUCUGAUGAAAAAACCUUGUGAAGAAACAUAUAUUGAAACAUUGCAAAUGAAAGGAUGAACUGACGCCAAUGUACUGCUGGAAAAUAAGACAUCUUGGUUUUAAAUCUCCACAAACAUCCAUGCAUGAACUCAACUUCUGGAGUGACAAAAUCAUAAUCCAAAGUCAAAGUUUAAAACCUUGUGCCACUCAACUAGAUAUUUAAGUUGUAGAUUUCCAUAAACUUCCUUAAAUGUCAAUUACUUAUAUACACUUGUAAGGUCAUUGAAAUCAAACCCCAACCAGGAGUUAAAACCAUUGCUAGCAUUGCCUUGGGGAGAAUUCAAGGGUGUUUCCUUUAUUAACAUAGCCAAAAGACUCAACAACAAUUCAACGAUCAUUGCCCUAGUUGCAAAGGCAAACACUGUAAUAAUCAAAAGUGUGACCUGCAGUAUACCUUGAAGCAAAACAAAAGCUGUUUUGGAAGCUCUCUUUCAUUCUAUCAUUUUUUGGGAUUGGAAGGAGAUCUAUGAGAUAACUGAUUAUGAAUUGACAAUGGAAAUUCAUAGGGCAGGUAUAGGAUCAUAUGCUGGGAAUCAAUUCAAGCUUAAUUUUGACAGUUUUCUCCCAUCUAAUGCUGAAAUCAAUUCAAGCUUAAUUUUGAUAGAAGCAACAUGCACUUUGGAUUUUCUUCUUUUUGUUUAUUAAAAACAAAAAUGUAUUAGUGGAUAAAUCAAGUACAUGAGAAUGAUGAAGAAUCCUCCCCAAGUCUACAAAAGCUGAUCAAAAAAUGGAAGAAUUGCCUUCUUCAAUAUACUAAUAUAACAUGUAACUCGAUAUAAAACCACUUGAGAACAUUCAAUAUAAAACCUCUCAUUUGAGUGAGGUUUUAUAUAUCUAUACAACCAUGAGGAUUGUUGUAGUUAGAGAGAAACAAGAGACAAAAUAAUCCUUUUCUCAUUCACUCUAAGGUCUUGAUACAAGGCAAUAUAUUGAACAAAACUUUUGACUCCAGAAUCUAAACAAGGAAACAACAAAUCCAACAAGGAAACAAAUAAAUCCUAGCAAAAUUUUAGAACCUACAUAAUAUAGUAUAACUAUACAACACCUAAUUAUGGAAAUUAUGUUACACGGUAAACAACCCAAUCCCAAUUCUUCCAACAAGGAUUAACAAAAUCACAUUCAAAAAGAACUUGAAACAAAUCUCCUUUCCUCACUAUACCAACCUUUCUUUUUUUUAUAAGUAAAAGCAAUUGUAUAAAGAAAGCCUGAAGUACACCUGACAGUAUACUCGGAGUAUACAAGGCAACUAGGCCAAAGGGAAAGAAAAAACAAAAAAACCCUUACUUACAACCCAACCAAUCAAUGAAAUCGAAAAUGGACCAUGAAGCACAAUUUACAUGCACCCUAACCCAAUUCGAGAACAUGUACAAAAAAGACCGUAAAAUAGUUUGAUCCGCUAAUUCAGAAUCUUCAAAGAUUCUUCUAUUUCUUUCCUUCCAUAUAGUCCAAAAUAAGCAUAAAGGGGUUGCAUUCCACGUCUUUUUUCUUUUCUUUCCAACAAAGGUGUCGUUCCAACCAAGAAUGGUUUCCUUGAUAGAAUUGGGCAAAACCCAAUGAACACCAAAAAGAGCAAAAAUAAGGUGUCAAAUCAUAGUUGCCUUGGGACAAUGAAUAAGCACAUGAUUAGCUGAUUCUUCAUCCGCUUUACACAAAUAGCACCUACUUGGUAAGGCCCAACCCCUCCUUUUUAGUUGAUCCAUAGUUAGAAUUCUUCCCCAGAGAGCCUCCCAAGCAAAAAAACUGACUCUCUUUGGAACCCAAGGAUUCCAAACUAAGCUUGAAGGGAACUCUCUACCAAUGCAAGGAGCUAGGAAGAAAAGAAAGACUUAACUGUGAAAAUAUCUUUCUUUGAAACCCUCCAAGACAUGACAUCCUCAAUCCCCCUUCUAAGCGCAUGGCCAUGUAACCUACUGAAAAAAGUUUCCACCUCUUCCAUCUCUCAAUCAUUGUUGAGUCUUGUGAAAACAGGGUUCCAACAACCUAAAUUCCUGGACUGAUCCCAUAACUGAGCUACCUAAGCAUCCUUGGAGGAGGCAAGAUAGUACAACCUUGGAAAAGCCUCAUCCAAAGAAUCUUCUCCACACCAUCUAUCCUUCCAAAAACGCACUCUUCUACCAUCCCCCACCUUAAAAGCCACCCUUUCGCUGAACUCCAACCACCAUUUCCUAAUCGUCUUCCAAAGCCCCACUCCAUGACUCUCCCUUGAAUCGUCGGAGCACCAACCACCAUUUUCCUCCCCAAAUUUCCUUACAAUCACUUGUUUCCAUAAAGAAUCUUGUUUCAAAGCAAAUCUCCAACACCAUUUUCCAAGAAGAGCCUUAUUCAACCUAGAAAGAUUUCUGAUACCUAAGCCCCCAUCCUUUUUCUCCAUGCAAACAAUGGACCAAUUUACCAAAUGCGGCUUACUUUGAGAAACUCCUCCCCCCCAAAGGAAAUCUCUUUGAAUCUUUUCCAACCUUAGGCUCAUCUUGCGAGGAAUGAUAAAUAAGGAAAUAAAGUAAAUUGGAAGGCUAGAGAGAGUGCUCUUUACCAAAGUCAACCUUCCUCCUUUGGACAAAUACUGUCUCUUCCACAAAGCGAGCCGCUUUUGAAAUCUCUCCUCCACUACAUCCCAAACCCAAGAUGAUUUGAAAGUAGCUCCCAAAGGCAGCCCUAAAUAACAAAAAGGAAGAGAACCCACUUUACGGCCCAAUACCCUAACCAAGUCCUCAAAAUUAGGAACCACCCCCACUGGAAUCAGUUUGCUUUUGUGAAGAUUGAUUUUUAGCCCAGAAAUUGCUUCAAACCACAUAAAAGCCCAACUUAAGACCUCCACAUGCUCCUUGCUGAACUAGUGUGUCAUCAGCAAAUAAAAAAUGAGAAGCAACCACACCCUCACCUCCUCUCCUACCAGCCAUGAAACCCUCAAGAUAGCCUCCUUGUAAAGCCCUCUUCAAUAUAGAAGAUAACGUCUCCAUUGCUAAAAUGAAAAGGAAAGGAGAAAGAGGAUCACCCUGUCUUAGGCCUCUAGAACUUUGGAAAAAGCCUACAGGAGAACCAUUAAGCAAAAUUGAGAAACGGAUUGAAGAAAUACACCACCUCAUCCAAUUCACCCAAACCCCAUCUUAUCCAAGAUUGCUAAUAAAAAGCCCCAAUUCACAUAAUCGUAUGCUUUUUCAAUAUCCACCUUGCAAAUAAUUCCACCCUUUGCAGUUUUUAAUCUUGAAUCUAAGGCCUCAUUUUCUAUAAGGACAGCAUCCAAAAUUUGUCUACCUUCCACAAAGGCAUGUUAGGAGUUCGAAAUGACAUUUCCCACCACUCUUUUCAAUCUAUUAGGCAAAACUUUCGCUAGAAUCUUGUAAAGACUCCCCACUAGGCUUAUAGGACGAAAAUCCUUCAAAUCAUCUGUACCCCAUUUCUUAGGAAUGAGAACAAUAAAAGUGGAGUUUAAGCUUCUCUCAAAACGGCCAGAACUCUGAAAUUCAACAAAAAAACCCAUUACUUCGUGCUUGACUAUGUCCCAGCAAAAUUGCCAAAAAGCCAAAGUAAACUCAUCCGGUCCAGGGGCUUUAUCCCCAUUCAAACCAAAGACUGCAGCCUGGACCUUUUCCACCGAAAAGACAUCCUCAAGAAGCCCCGCUUGGACACUAUCCAAGGAAGAGAAAGACAACCCCGAAAUACUUGGUCUCCAGUCCCCUUUUUCUGACAAAAUAUUCUGAAACACAUUAACCACCCCCUCCUUUAUCUCAAUUUCCUCAGUCAACUUCCUACCAUCCACUGUAAUAGAAGAAAUAAAAUUCUUUCUUUUUCGAGCAUUAGCCAUCUUGUGAAAAAACUUUGAAUUUUUAUCACCUUCUUUCAACCACAAUUCUCUUGACUUUUGCCUCCAAGAGAUCUCUUCCAAGACUGCCCACUUGCUGAACUCCUCCACUGCCCUUCUUCUGGCCUCACUAUCCUCUAAAGAGAGACCUCAGUCUCUUUCCUUGGCGUCCCAGAAACCAAUCUGACUAAGAGCAACGUUUUUAUUCAAAGAGACAUUACCAAACACCUCUCUAUUCCACACUUUCAGAUCCUGCUUCAGAGCCUUUAGCUUGCAAGCAAGAAUGUGACUGUAGGAUCCGCUGAAAUUAUAGCAAGACCACCACUUCCUAACCAAGUCUUUGAAGCCCUCCACUUUCAACCACAUAUUUUCGAAGCGAAAAGGGGUUUUUCUGCCUCUAAUUCCUCCUCCAUCCAACAAAAUAGGAGCAUGAUCAGAAAUGGAUUUCGGCAACAAGCUUUGAGAAAGGUUGGAAAAGUGACUCUCCCAGUUCUCUGAGACCAAAAACGAUCGAGUCUAGAAGCUGAUCUGUUAUUUAAACCUCCACACCAAGUGUAAGAACCCCCAACCAAAGGUAGAUCCCUCAACUGCAAUUCAUCAAUUACCUCUGAAAAACGCCUCAUUGCCGAAGACAAAUUCAGGCAAUUUCUUAUUUCGCUGGGUAGCCUAAUCACAUUGAAAUCACCACCAACACACCAAGGAUCACUCCACAAACUUUUAAUAUCCCCAAGUUCAAACCAAAGGAAUUCUCUCUCAGAAUAAUGGACUGGCCCAUAAACACCGGUAAAAAUCCAAAUGAAAUUGUCAUCGCAAUUUUUGAAUCGACAUGAUAUGGAAUACUGCCAUGUUUCCAUCUCAAGAAGUUGCAACACUCUGCAGUCCCAGAAAACUAAGAUGCCCCCUGCUUGCCCUCUGGAGUGCACACUUCCCCAAUUCACGAAUUUACCAAAACCCAAACUUCUCACUACCGAAUCCGACAUGAGUUUGCAUUUUGUUUCCUGCAAACAAACUAGGUUUGCCCUUUGUAUCCUUAAGAAGGCCUUCACUACCUUUCUUUUGUCCUUAUAAUUUAUUCCCCUAACAUUCCAUGAGAGAAUUCUAAUUAACAUCAACACUUCUUGAACAUUCCCCAACGAAUUUCCUGUUCCUUUUUCCUGAAUCCGAGGGGGACCCAUACUUAAUGGAACACUCUAACUUUCGUAGCUCUCUCUCGACUCUGGAUUUAAGCAAAGAAUUCUUUUUUCCUCCUUGAACAUAAAUCUUGCCCCUUUUUCUACACUCUAAACUUUGAAACAUAGUCAAGAUUUCAUUUUCGAAGCCAUCCACCGGCAACCCCAUGAAUCUAUUGAAUGAAAGCAAUCUUCCAAAAGUCUCGUCUGAGAAAGUGCCUUCGGUUGCACCUUCCUUGCUUUCGUUGUCUUCGAGACACCCAAGGUGGGAAGGCCACUGGACCUCCGAGCCAUCUAAUUGGACAAUACGCAAAGGCCCUGGCUCCACAGCAUCCCCAUCCAUCGAAAAGCUUCUCGAGUCCUCCCAACAGACCAAUGGACCCAAGACUUUUGCGCCGGAGGGCAAAGAAGAAGGAGAAGGAGUAGAAGAGAAUAACCCGACCCCCCCGAGAGAAAGGACUAAGGGAAUCUGACCUGUAAAGCGAGCGGUCUCCUCCAACAACGCGUCAUUCGUGACGUCUGAACUCAAAGCGUCAAAAAUCUGAGGAUUUCGUUGCUCAAGAACAAGCUUAACAUCUUCCACAGAAAGUUGGGGCUCGCGAGGUGUGCCCUCAUCCAAGAUCAUUCUCUACGAGACCACAAACACCCUUUCAACAGAGGAAAGGGUUUGGGCCGAUCCUUCUAACCUCCUAAACGAGCCCUCAGAGCCCACUAAGGCCCCUUGGGCUUUAGUCAAGCAACCCAGCUCAAACCUUGACUCUGGACGUGGGCCCAUCCCAAUGACUUGGCCCAAAUUCUUCUUUUGGACAAAGGCCCCUAAAGACCUCUCCUUCACACUUAGACUAGCCCCUCGCUGUUGGGCCUUUUCACCACCUGAGGAAAGGCCCAACUCUGUCUCUUCAAUCAGUGACUCAGAGUCAUCCCUCUACGGUGCAGAAACAGAAGACCUAGGCUGCAUCACAUCACCAGAUCCCCUCCUUUGCUCCAACUGCGACAAGCAAUCUAUACCUUUUUCCUUUGAGAAAGUGGCCAACUCCACUCUCGCCCUCACGCGUGAAUCACACUCCAAGUCAUCCCCAACCUUCAGCUUAUGGCCACCUCUCCAUGGUUCCACUCCCGAUACCCGAGGGGACAACUCCCACCAUAGAGGAAUGGAAAAACAGCGCUCUUGCACCACAACCUGCAGGCUACUAGGAGUGCUUUCACCAUUUAUUCUCACCAAAAUCCUCGCCCAGUUAAAAUUCCGAGACCUAGCAGUGUCUUUAUCAACCGCUACAAAACUCCCACAAGCAUCGCCAAACUGUUUGAAAAAAUCAUUGUCCCAGAGAAAGAGGGGAAGGCCUAACAGUCUUACCCACACUUCUCCCACCUCCACACCUUCUCUAACACAGCCAGCCUCAGGGACCCAUUUAUCUAGCCAAAGCCUUUUCCUCCUGUAAAAACAAGGUCCUUCUGAGAGAAUCCGCUCCGCCUCCGAACAGAGUUCAAACUCAAAAAUAAUGAGAGUCUCUCCAAGAAAAGCAAGGUGAAUCUCCCCCUUCAAUCUCCAAAAAGCCUUAGCCCAGAUUCUUAGGGAAGACAGUGAAAUGGGCUCCUCUUCUCCUCAUUUCCCCACAAGACAGUGUCUUAAAUCCUGUAGUUUACUGAAGGAAUUUAUCCCCCUAAUUUGGAGCCACACUUUCUCUUCUAUUCCCCUGCAACUAAGCUUAGCUGCUUCAGCAUACGACAAACCUCUAACAGUACUAUUAGUCAAACCUUGAGAGAAGACGACCAUUUUAGGAACUUCAGGACUAACAGUAGGGGGCACAAUCCCAAGACUUCUGAGUUUAUUGGCCAGCAAGACCCAACCUCCCACCAUCCCACUUCCUUCAGGAAACACAAGGGAAAACCUUCUUCCUUCCGUAGAGCGGACCGAGCAAAGUAAAAAGCAUCCUGUUGUAUUCCUCCUUAGUGCCAAACAGAAACUUCUUCCUCCUUCUAACCACGUCUUAGAGUCCUUCUUCCAAUCAGCAUUGUUGCAAAAUUCCUCUACCCCUUCCAAUAACUGGGACAAACUUUUAGCGCCAAAUUUAAUCCACUCCACAAAGCCUCUUCCUCUCUCCGUGAUCGUACCCACUAGCCUCCCUCUUGCUUGAUCAAUCGAAAUCUCAAAGGAUUUCAAUUCAAUCGCAAACCAACACAUGCUUUCGGACACCUCAUUCCCUUCAGAGCACCCUUGAACUCACCUCAUACCAGGAACAAGAUGUAUCUAUAUCCUCUAAACAAAGAUAAAUGAGCAAAGCCAGAAUGACAUACAAGGAACGAGCUCAGAGCUCCGAGCCUCCAUCAGCCUCACAAACCCGCCCGCCUUAUGCUCGCAAAACACCUUGACAAAGAAGUCAUUCCCUUCUAUCUGAGCCACCUCCACUUGGGGCUGCAGCAUGGGUUCAAAUUUCACUCUUUAUGACCUACACACUGAAUAUCAGUCAAGCCAAACAACAUUCAGAGGGAUGCCCUUAAACAUCGAGGUAUAAGAGGCUCAAAAAGAUGAAUAGAAAUGAAUAUGAUCCCAUAUUUUCUUUGAAGUCCUCCACUUGUCCUCCAAAAUCCUAAUAUUUUUGUCCCUCCACAGAAUCCAUAUUAGCUAAAGACAGCUUUGGAUUGGUUGUUCAUCUUAGAAUAAAUCAUUUAUGCCAAAACAAGCAAACAAAAAUAUAACUUAAUGAAAGGACACUAAAUAGCAAGACAACACCCACAUUGAAAAAGGGUUAUUUGAUUAAAAAGGUCAUUGAAAACCCAAAUUUGAAAAAUUAACCCUCCAUCCUUUUUUGGCCUCAUUUUAACAAAAAUGUCCUUACUUUUUUCUUGCAAAAAUAACCCUUUCUUUUAAAACUACAUGUAAAUACUUGAAAUGGCAAAAGGCAUUUAUGUCAAAAAAAUGUUACUUUUCAAAUAAAAACAUGGGAAGCGUUAGUUUCACAAAGACGAGGAUCAUUUCAUCCCUUUUAACCAAUUAAUUCUUGAAAAAAAAAAACAAUAAACUCAAUCUAACAAUGAUAUAGAUUGAUGUUGCAACUAAAACAUUUUAUAAGUCAUGUUACUGACGAGCUAAGCAAAAGCCUUAAUCUUUAGUGGAGCUUCUGAGUUCCAAAUUAACUUAGCAGGAGCAAAAAAAGUAAUAACAGGAGAAUGAGGAAAAAUAGAGAGAGCUUCAUAGAAGGAGCUCACAUACAAACAUACUAAGGGAGUCAAUGAUCAAUUUCUUUCAUCUAAAAAAGAAGAUGGAUGAUAUAUAUAGAUGAAGCAAGAGUGAAAGAAGGCAUGUUAAUUCCUCAAUCUCUAGAUCCAAAAGGUUUCGACAAAAUUUGAAAUUUCAAGAUGGACUAAAAGAGGGUCUAUCUACAACUAAGGUAACAAGCAAAUUUCUAGUCCUUACAACUCUGAAAAGAUUUGGAAAUUGAAACUUGAGGAGACAAUCACUCAACCAAAUAUCUUCCUAAAAACGAAUUUUCAUAUCAUUUCCCACUAAUAUUGAAUGAAAAUAGAAUGUUUAUAUAUUAAAUUUUUAAGGCAAUCCUAGUAAACUUCUAGUGAGCAUCCUUAGGCUAAGCCAUUGAAAAAAAAUAUUCAUUCUUAAAUCAAGUAAGAAUUUCAAUUUCUCAAAUUGCCUUUUUCUAGACAUGAAAACACUAUUUUUUCACUCUAAAAGAAUGUUCCAUUGUCAUUGAUUAGGCUCCACCUUAUUUAAAAAGGUUUUUUUUUUUUUUUUAUAAGCAAAGAUGCAUAAUAUAUAAAAGCGCCAAAAGGAUGCACCAAUGUACGCGAGAUGUAUACAAAUAGCACCUAAAAGCACAACUAACAAGAGAGAACACAAAAAAACAACAUUGUCUCUUAACAAAAGCCCAACCACUCUACAAAAUCGAAUAAAGACAUAGAAUCUAUCUCCCUUUACAUCUUUACCCAAGUAAACAAAUUACUAAGAAAGGAAUUCUUCAAAUAUUGAAGAUAGAAAACACAUCUUCAAUCAAGUAAAAACGACCUUGAUUAAUCGAGGUGUUAGAAGUGUAAUGAAUGUUGCUACUAGGAGUGUAACAAAUUGUUGCUCUUGAGGAGUACGUGAUUCACAUGAUAUUAAAAUGCCGAAUAGAUACUAUUUGUGCAAGGUAGAAGAGGGAACAAGUGAUCAAAUCCCCCUUCAUUGUUCAAAAAGCACACAUUUUGUGGCAAUUAAUUUUUCCUUUUAUUUGAUGUAUAAUGAAUGAUGCACUCUUUAGUGAGCGGGUUGCUCUUGAGUUGCCGUGGCUCUUUGUUGGCAAGAAAAGAAAAAAGAUUUGGAAGGUUGCACUGCUAUGCCUAUUUUGGACCAUUCAGAAGGAAAUAAACGCCUUUGAGAAUUGUGAAAGUUUGAACCAAAUGAUUAAAGGUUCUAUGUUGUAUCUAUUAUGGGAUUGGGUUAGGAAUUACAUUGGGGAUGGUUCUUUGUCGAUGUUAGACUUCACAGAUUGGUUUGGCUCUCCCUAGGGCAUAGUUGUUGGUUUUUGUGUAUUCGCACUUUUGGUUGCUUCGUAUACAUCAUAUACACUUUCUUCUAUUAAUACAAUCUUUAUUUACCUAUCAAAAAAUAAAAUAAAAUGUGGCUUUAAAGAUCAUGGCAUGCUUCUUGGAUUAAGGUCAAAUCAAUAAGAUAGAGUUAAAGACCAGAUUAGAUGGGAGGGUCUUAAUUGGGUAAUCUUGUAAAAAUUCCUUGUUUAUAACUUCUAAUGGGAAUCCAAGGGUGCUUCAUUUUAGGACCACUAAAAGAGAAUUCUCA
Molecule: long non-coding RNA, 96712 nt
Filed under: Vitis vinifera (wine grape)
Lineage: Eukaryota; Viridiplantae; Streptophyta; Magnoliopsida; Vitales; Vitaceae
Description: long non-coding RNA (VVIN_LNC002082)
Source: RNAcentral